UAACAAUUGAAUUGACUAGGGACCGGAACCAAAAUGACCCUAGAUUUUUAUUGAGUUUAAUCUUAAUCAAAAAAAGACUUCUUGUAUCACAGAAAAUACAAGAACCAUUAUUUGAAUGAAAUAAAAGCUAUGGGAUGGAGAUAUAAAUGGAUCCUUUUAUUCACAAUCGGAUUAUAUUUAUUUGAUACACUGUUGUCAAUAUGAAUGUUGAGAAAAGACUACAAAAGAAAAAACAAUUUAUAAAUAUAACUAAAAAUUCCAAUUUCAAUCAAUUAGAUAAUUAGAAUUAUAAGAAGAAAAAAAACAGAAAUCUCAGUUUUCAGUUUAAAAAAAAAUGAAAACAAAAACUGAAAACUGAAAACAAAAUGGUUAUCAAAGCCGUCCAAAUAAUAGAAGUUUGUUUCCACUCUUUGUUUAAGCAUAGAUGCCAAUUUUUGUUUAUCAUUUUUUUAACCUCUAUUUUUUGUUACAGUAGAAGCCCUAGAAGGAAAUCGAGCACUGGACUUACCAAACUCUUAACUUAUUUCUACACACCAAGAGCUUGAUUUCGGUUCUUAUUUAUACUAUUUAAGCUAUAAGCCGUGAUAAGAAUUAGAGAACUAUCAUUUGUUGUGAGCUUCAAUUGGUUAGCACUUUGUAUGUUUUCAUUAGAAUUUAUAUUUCACUUAGACUUUCUUAUUAAAAAAGGGAUCAUUUGGUGACUUCACCAUGACAGUCCAAUUUUAUGGGGGCCAUGAGUACUCACAAAGGUAUUUCAGCCUCCCCCUAUAUCUACCGUCGCGUGAUUCACCAUUGCCGGGAAUCGAACUCAAGACGUGUUGUAUAGAAUACAAGCCUAAAAUUCGUUUCUAACCACUGAGUCACCCCGCGUUUGAUUAUAUUUCACUUAGACUUAUCUUGCGGUAUAGCAUGUCAUCCCCGCCCAAGUUUUUCUGUUCGCAUUGAGUUUGGGAUACCAAAACUUGCCAAACAAAGUAGAUUGAUUAGUAAGCGAAGCUAAUUAUUCGACUAAACAUUGUUUAGAAUUUUAAUUAAAAGAAACAAUAUGAAUCUGUUUUUUUUUUUUUUUUUUGACAAACUAUAACGUUAAGGAGUUAAAUUGUUAGUUGUUAAGAGUACAGGGAUAGGUGAGGAUCGAACCUCCACCAGAGUGCAUAGACAUUAUUGGUUCUACAACUGCGGUAAAUCACAUAAAACAAAACGUAAUACUUUGAGGAUGGAAGACACUUCGUGGAUAGCGGGCAAUCAACACUAUCAGUCGCUAUCCAAAACUUGGAAUUAUGUUUAUUGUCCGAAGGAUUUUUCUUCCAUUAAAUUGCUAAGGAAGAUGAGGAUGGGUGGAGUGUCUAAAUGUCAAGGUUGAUAAGAAAGUGUAUGGUGUUCAGCAUGCGAUUGAGAUUUGUUGAGUGGCACAACAAACCACAUAAAAUUUUCUAAAUGAUAAGCAAUGAUAAGCUUGAGUAUAAUUUUUUACCACGUAUUUAUCUUUAAAAUCAUUAUAAUUAGAUUUUCUCUUAAUUAAUAUAGACCGUUAGAUUGACCCAAGUUUUUUUCCUCUUUUCUUUCCCCUCGUUUUUUUCUUCUCUGAUUUUCCAUUCACCGUGUAGCAGUCGUUCUUCCCCAACUAAGUUUCUUAUUUUUCUUCACAAAAAAAUUGUAGAAAAUAUUAAGAAAAGAAAAGUCAUCAAUAUCAGACUCGAUCAGGUAAUCGUUCCAACCUUCCCAGCAACUCUCAGUCUUAACAAGGCACCAAAUUUUCUCCGCCACCUAACUCGUCAUUCAUUCAUGGGUGUUUCAAGCUUGGUGAAAAUUGAUAGAGUUCCAUGUGUGUACAGGGAUGUGAACAUAUUGGCCACUCUCUAAGAAUGAGUCAUUGGAAAAGUUGAAGGAAAGAUGUAACCGAUGAAAUUAAUGGAUUGGAAUUACAAUGAAGUCUGUGUUGGUUUAUCACAAAGAACCCAGAAACAAAAUUUUAAAAGCAAACAAUUACAACUUCUCAAAUAUUAUGUAACAAACUUUCAAUGAAAUGUUGCUCAUAAUUGAAAAAAGGUUGACGAAGGACGGAGUUGGGAUUAUUUUAGAUGGGGAAGAGUUAAAAGAAGGAAGCACCAUUUAAUUACUAAAAGUAAUUGGAGAAAUGGUAAUUCAAUGGUGGGCGUUUUUAAGGUGUGGACCUUGUGUCACACCCCGAUCCCAACAUACAUUGAGGAUCGACACCUGACAUGGGGACCUAGGGGACAUAAAUCUUACGUAAGAUACAGAAUGAAAUACUAUAAAUAAUAUCCCAAAAUGAAUAUGAUAGUGGGUUCACCCCCUAUAAAAUAUAUACAAGUUUGUACAUUCACAAAAAAAAAAAAAAAAAAAACACACACACACACACACAAAACUCUUGCUAGGCCAAGACUUGCCCAUGGUUCUCAAAGGAAAGUCCUAAAAGAAAUAGUACAAUGAAGGAUAAAGGGGUAACCUAAACACUCCAAGUCUCUGAUCUCUGCACUGCUACCCCCACCGGCUCCUCGUAAUCUACCUCAGACCUGUCACUUGUACAAACAGUGCCUACAUUGUGGGAAUGGUGCACCGGGCAAACAAAAACCCAGAUAAGCUGCAAAACUCGUGUGGUAGCCGGCCUGGGACAUGGGAGGGGGCCGAGUCUUUCAGAAACCCUUGGGUCAUUGAUCUUCAAGCUUACAUGGAUGGGAUUGUCUCGACGUUGCUUUAGGAAGUCUCGACAGUCGUGAAAGACGGCUUUCGAUCCUUCCACUCCUUCUGUAAGAAGGUGUCUUCCUCCACUCCUUCUGCUUCGGGUUGAAGCAGCUGGGUUGAGAGAAGUCUCAUGUUGGUCGCGAUUUCGAUGAGUAGCUCGCUCCUCAACAGGAAUACCCAUGUCGAGGGAAAAUGAGCCUCUGUGUUGGAGGCACCCAGUUGAUGGUUGACUUCCACAGGGGUGAUGAGCUCGUGUGUUUUAGUAUAUCUAGCCUCGUGGAGCAUCUCGAAGACCUUUUCAUACUGCUCUUGGAGGAUCUCAUUCUUCAUCGCUAUCUUGUUGUUCUGAGCCUCCAGCUCAUCGACUUUAGCCUGAAGAGCAAACUUCUUUUGUUCCUUCUUUCGUUGUUUCGCACCAGGUGUAAGAGGGGUGUCAUUCUGUGUGCCGUGGCUUCCUUCGCUCCCCAUGUUAGAGAGGGAUGCCUGGUCAAAAGAGAGAGUACGAAUGGUGGAAACCAGCUUGGCAAAGCUAAAGAGAGUGGGAAUAAGUGUCGUUCCCACAGACGGCGCCAAAUGUUGAUGCACAAAAUCAGUGAGGACUUUGGUACAACAGAAAGUGUUAAGUUUGUGUCCUUCGCUAGAUUGGUCCGGUCAUUAGUGUGGAUAAGUAUGUAAAUGGAUAGGGACAGGGAAGCAAACACAAGAUGUAUGUGGUUCACCCAGAUUGGCUAUGUCCAUGGAGUGGAAGAGUUCUCAUUAAUUGUGAAGGGUUUACACAAGUACAUAGGUUCAAGCUCUCCUUUAGUGAGUACAAGUGAAUGAUUUAGUACAAAUGACAUUAGGAAAUAUUGUGGGAGAAUGAUCUCCUUUUAUAGAAUAGUUUCUAGCUUUGUUCUGACAUUGACACGUGUCAUGCUGUGAUUGGCUUUUGAUGUUGACAUGUGUCGCAUUGUGAUUGGCCUCCUGGUUUGAGGGAAACUCUUCUGGGUCCUUGACAGUAUAACGUUGACAGGUGCUCAGUAGUUUCGGGAUUGGUCAAGUAUGGUACAAACAAAGUCACUGAAAACUUCGAAGGAGUCACCCAGACAUCCAACGACUUUUCUAAAUCAAAUCUCAGAGAUUCCCAAAACUAUCGUUCACAAAUACACUAAAAACUAAGGCUAGAGUGACACAGUUUGGCCAAAGCCUACAUAAGUAACCAAAUAAGAAGUGGCCCCCCCAUAGCGGAUUAAUCAAGUAGAGCCACUCCUGAGAAAGUAACCAAGUAGGUAGUGACCCCAUCACGAAUUAACCAAGCAGAGUCACUCCUACGAAACUGUUAGGUAGUGAUCACCCAUCGCGGAUUAACUAAGCAUGAUCACCCCUAAGUACGUAUGGCCAUACCUAAGAAAUAAGGAUCGCCCAUCGCGGAUUAACUAAGCAUGAUCACCCCUAAGUACGUAUGGCCAUACCUAAGAAAUAAGGAUCGCCCAUCGCGGAUUAACCAAGCACAAUCCAAAAAUAUUAUGGGUCCCCUAUCGCGGAUUAACCAAGCAGGACCAUCCAUGUACCACUGCUACAUGGUGCAGAUUCGGUGUCACCUAACCCCGUGACACUAGGGUAACGGUCCUCUACUAGCCCUCACGUUUUUCAAACAUUUCAAAUAUAUAAUUUAAAACACAAUUCAUAAACAUUUCGAAUAGGGAAGUCACAUAGUGUUUAAUAAUGUAGGUCAAUGGAAAACUUUAAAAACAAUUAUUUAGCAUAAAACAUAUUUUAGAAAUCCAUGCUGUAUCCACAAAGUAUACUAGCACGGGAGAUUUUCAGGGUAAUAACUCUAUCACAUAUAUUAAAGUCACUCACCUGGAGUCCGCACUAACGCACCCUAGCACGAAUAUCAAGAUGUCACGUACUAUCAUUUGUAACAUCCCACAUCAACCAACAGAGAGGGGGUGAUGUGUCUUAUAUGUACAUGCCCACCUCUAUAGCACGAGGCUUUUUGGGAGCUCAUUGGCUUCAUAUUCCAUCGGAACUCCAAAGUUAAGCGAGUUUGGGCGAUAGUAGUCCAAGGAUGGGUGACCCACUGGAAAGUUCUCGUGUGAGUUCCUAGAAACAAAACCGUGAAGGCGUGGCCAGGGGGGCCAAAGUGGACAAUAUUGUGUUACGACGGAAUUAAGACUGAGAUGUGACAGAAUGGUAUCAGAGCCGCUCUGCCGCGUGGUGCAAGUGUGCCGAAGAGGACAUCGAGCCCCUAAGGGGGGUGGAUUGUAACAUCCCACAUCGACCAACGAAGAGGGGGUGAUGUGCCUUAUAUGUACAUGCCCACCUUCAUUUAGCACGAGGUCUUUUGGGAGCUCACUGGUUCCGGGUUCCAUCGGAACUCCGAAGUUAAGCGAGUUCGAGCGAGAGCAUUCCCAUGAUGGGUGACCCACUGGGAAGUUCUUGUGUGAGUUCCCAGAAACAAAACUGUGAGAGCAUGGCCGGGGCCCAAAGCGGACAAUAUCGUGUUAUGGCGGAGCCGAGAUUGGGAUGUGACAUCGUCACCUAAGACAAAGUACAAGUCCACAUUUAGAGUUCUUCGAGUAUUCACAUAAUCAAAAAUUUACAUACGCACCCUACAACUAAUGAAGAGAAAUCGAGACACGUUGACAAAAAGUCAACCGUCGAUCAACGGUAGGGUCCACAACCCUACGUAACUUAAUCCGUAAGAUCCAGCCACUGUAUUUGUGAUUCAUAAGUUCCUAAGGUCCUCAAAUCUUACGUACAAUAACAUACUAAACUUUAGUGACGAUCUAAUGGUCGAAUCAUCAUUUACUAUAAUGUUCAAAUGACGCAAAUUCGUCAAUCGGAUGUCAAAUAUGGAAUCGGUCAUCGAAUUUAGCCUAGGAAGAUCAAGUGGUGUCUCAAGCCACGCACCACCAUGCGCAGCAGUUGGCAACCCAGAUUCGUCGAAAAAAUCACCUGAUUCCAAAAUGAAUGUCGUGAGACGUGGAGUAAAUUGUAUACCUGUGAGAAGCCCAAUUUGGCCAGGAAGUGGCCUGAAAUCACUUUAGACCGUCGGAAACCCUAAAAUAGGUGAAUCUCGAUUAGUCAUCUCUGGUAUUCCACCGUCCUCAAACUUGUUUAGGGUUCUCAAAAAAAUGCUAAUGAUGAUGGUGAUUGAAGGAGAACGUUUCAGAAAUAGUGAAUCGCCGGCGAGGGUUUCACGGAAUCGACAUGGGUGUUCCUCGUGGAACCAAGACCAAAUCUCAACGGUUUUGGCUAGAAAUGGAUGCUGGGAUGUCGUGGUGAGGUUUGGUAUUGAUGGGAGGUCGAAGAAAGUCAAAAAAAUCGACGAAAAAACUGUCGUCGGAGUCACAGGAAACGUGUUAGAAAAAUGAGUCGCCGAGUUUGAAACGGGUCGAAGGCUUUUGGGACAGCUACUUAAUCUCUCUUCUCUGAUUAGUCACUCCACUCACUCUCUCAUUUGAUUGGUCCAGCCUUCCCACAUGGUGGGAGUUCCCUCAUAUAGUAACCCAAAAUUUACUAUUUAAAUUUGGUAUCAAACGUCCGUAACUUUUUUGUUAUAGUUCCGAUUCACAAACGGCUUUCGCCUACGCGCUCGUAUGAUCGAAUUAUACUUGAAAACAUUAAUUGUGACCUUAAAAAGGUCUACAAGUUUUAAAAGAUUAAUUACAAAAAUUCACACCUUGUAACUAUACGAUUCAAAUUCUAAAAUUAACGGAAUUAAAAUAAACUAAAAAUAAUGUAAACACGAAAUACAGACUUUAAUAAUGAAAUACGUAAUUAAUAGUGGAAUUCUGGGGAUGGGAUUUCACACCUUGCGUCCGGACCUUGAGUGCGGAUCAGAAUCCAAAGGUCGUGAUCUGACGAGCUCAUGUAUAGAACAGAGUUGUUGUGACCCAAUGCAAUUCAAAACUUUUAUGUUUUUUUAUUUACUGGGUACGUUUUUGUAGGAGGAAAAGGGGAAGUCGAGGGAUUCUUUGCGCAAUAAAGAGGGAAAGAGAGAAAAGGGGAGCUAAGAGGUUCUUCGCGCGUUAAAUUUUUGCUUCUGAUUUUGCAACCUAGAAAUAAAGUAUUUUCUUUAUGGUUUAUGGUUCAAGAAUAUAAUGGAUGCAACCUAAAAAUGUUUAUUUUUUUAUUUUUUACUUUUUUUCUUCUUAUGUUGGCUUUUGGUUUAUUCUUAUAAUGCACUAUAUAUUAACUAAAUUUAUAAACAUUUUGUAUCUUUGUUGCAGUCAAAUUAAUCAUAUGGGUUGGCAUGACGAAGUUCGACUGAGACAUACAGAUGUUUUGCAAUCUUAAGUCUAACCUGACACACCCCGACCUCAAUAUCCAGUGGACACCAAAAUUGAGGUGUGAUGGCCAUCAUCCGGAUGGGUGACGAAACCAUUAUAUGCAUGAAAACAUAAUUACCCAAACACGUCUUAUUAAAAUAUUGAGUAAAUACCAUACAAGAUAGAAUACGUCAGAGCUGUUGCAAAAUACCUCAACGUCCGAUGUAAUCACUGAUAGAAUUACUGAAUCAUGUAUAAAUGGAAAGCUGAUAAAUACAUGUAAUUUGAGUGGAUACUUACCAGCAGCAUGGAUACAAUAUCAUCCACCAGUCGUAACUAGUGAAAGUUGGAUAAUAUAAUCAUGUCAUUGCCGAGUAAUCUCAAGGCAAUGACAAGAUGAGAAUGUAACUGAGUAAUCAUAUCAUUACUAAAUAAUCUCAAAGUAAUGACAAGCUAAGAGUAUAACCGUAUAAUCAUGUCAUUACCUCGUAAUCUCAAAAUAAUGAUAAGCUGAGAGUAUAACUGUAGUACCUCUUAUUAGUGCAAUGCAUGAUAUGAAUUCCAUCUCACAUAUAUAUGCAAGCCAUAAUCAAACCAAUAAACAUCCAACAAAAGCCACAAUCCUUUUAACAUUCGACCACAAGAUCAAUUUUCAUAUUUCCCAAACCUAGGUUCCAAAGCAUUGUUUCGAAUUAUUAAUACAAGAAACCACCACCACCUCAAUCAACUCCUAUUCACAAGUGUAAGCAAUUACUAAAUGCAUCACUUUCGACUCUAGUCUUAAUUAGAUUACUUGGGAUACUCACACCAUCAGAUCCAAGUACUAUUUUGAUAAACUUUAAAUAGCAUGGUUAAAAUAAAUGAAACACUUUUAGAAAAUAAGUGAAGAUGUUGUUUACAAAUAUAGAUGCAUCUGUAUAUAAAAGCUUUGGCGGUUGAUCCGUAUACACACUUCCAGAGAUAUAAGCAAGUUCAUUGGAAUAUACAUACAUAGUUAAUGUAUUACAAUAUAAUUAAUAAGAAAACAAUUGCAUCCCUUUCAGAUUAUAUAUAUAUAUAUAUAUAUAUAUAUAUAUAUAGACACACACAUACAUACACACAGGCCCUUUAUGCAAAGGAAUUUCCAUUUUUUUUCAAAAAUGGGGAUUAGUUGUGGGGCCCACGCUGCAUUGAACUUUAACGAUCCGAACAGUCUAUUUUGUAAGUCUCGAUUCAUAGAUCAUCCUUGUAAAAAUUCAAUUCAAUCCGAACCCAUUUGCCUAUUUAAUUAUCAAGAUAAAAUUUUAUUGUUUCUUAUAUAACAAAGUAUUCGUUAAUUUCUUUGAACUCAAUUAGAUAUCUUAAACAUUUCCGAUUUGGUUAAUAUUGUGUAAGGAUGAUCUAUGUGGUGCAACUUGAAAAAUAGACGAUUACGAUCGUUAAAGUUCGAUGUGGUGAGAACCCUACAAUUAAUCUUCAUUUUUAUAAAAGAAUGGGAACCCCUUCCCUUAAAGGUUUCCUAUGUAUAUAUUUGUUCUCCAGACAUAUGCAAAAGGUAAUGUAAAACCAAUGAGAACUUAAAUAGAUAUUCCAUACAUAGGACAAUUCCAUAUAUGCUUUUUCAACAUUUAUAUCGAAAAGCCAAAUUGUUUUGAGGAAAUUAAUUGUAGCAAUGAUCCCUUAACUUUUAUCUUAUUGGAGCAAUGGUCUCUCAACUAAAAAUUCAUAACCAUUGGUUCCUUAACUCCACACAACGUGUAGUUAUGGUCAUUUUCAUUAACUCCGUCAGAACUUUUGUUAAAACAAGUAAUGUUAGAAGAAUCAUUGCUACAAUUAAGUUAAAGUUGGGGACCAUUGCUCUAAUUAAAUUAAAAUUGAGGGAUCAUUUCUCCAAAUUGCUUAAAGUUCAAGGACCAUUUCUACAAUUUUCUCAUCUAGUUUCCCAUAUUUACCCCAUGAUUCAGCUUCACAUGCAUUGCACAUGACUCAUUUUGAAAUUUUUUUUAACGAAAUUGAUGAAAAUGACCAUAAAUGCACGUUUUGAAGAGUUAAGAGACCAAUGGUCGUGGAUUUUAGUUGAGGGAUCAUUGCUCCAAUUUAGUUAAAGUUAAGGGACCCUUGCUACAAUUUUCUCAAAUGUUUUGUAUGCGAAAAUAGGCAUUUGUAAAGUUUGGCUUGUUCAUGGCAUUAUUACUUUAGUCUAAAGUAAGGCUGGAAAUGGCACUGUAGAAAUGAAUAGUGUUCCAAUCCGAAUUUCAGUUUAAUUACAACAAUGCCAUUGCUCUUUGUGUUGCCUUUAGGUGAGCAGCCCGGCUUGCAGCCAGGCCCAAAUGUAUUGGUUUUAGCUGAGAAGCCCGGCCCUUAGUCAAGCCCAAAAUUUUAAAUUACAGUUUUGCCCAUACAAAAUAACAAUCCGAUUGUAUCGAGAAGGACAAUUUUGUCCUUUCAGUUUUGGGUGAGAUAGGGGGUAACAGGGUAAGUUUCAUUUGCUGUCGUUGAAUGAGGGUUUCGAGGAUGAGGGCUCUGUGUGUGUGGGUGUGUGAGAGAGAGAGAGAGAUAGAGAGAGAUAGAGAGGGAUAUGGCGAUGGAAGGAGAGCGAGGGGGAAGGGAAGGGUUCUCGGCACUGUUGCUGCAUGUGAAUUUCACAAGUGGGAGAGUGGGUAUGGUCAGAGAAGACCAUAUAGGUCGUUGGGAUUUCAGGGAAACGGGGUAGGGGUCAUGAAUGAACCCUGCUGAGAGUGGGUACUGGAUCUUGCGCUGCAUGCCUCAAAUCAAAGAUAAGUUCGUUUUUUUUAUUGUAUUUUUUAUGGUAGCUUAGCUUUUGGAAUUGUUUAGUAUGUUAGGUCCGAUUUUGGGGGAUUUAUCUUUUUAGAGAGAGAGAUGGACAGGGAGAUAGAGAUAGAGAGAGAGAGAGAGAGAGAGAGAGAGAGAGAGAUGAGGAAGCAUGACUGUGUGCAAUUUUUUAUGUUAAUUAAUGGGUUGGUGCGCAGGGUGAGUGACAGAGUGACAGAGUGAAGGAGGGACGUGUGGGAGGGUAUGAGUUUUCAGUUCUUUCUUUUGAUUCAACAGGUUAUACACUGUUUGAAAAACCUUUUUUUUAUUAUUUUGUUCUCGUUUGCUUUGUUAAAACCAUCAUUUGAAUUUUUGGGUUUCAUUGUGCUUAUUUCUCUGCUUCUUCAUAAUUUGCUGGUGUUUGCUUCUCAUCCCUCUGUUGGUAGAUCUUUUUCUCAUUUCUUGGUUCCUUAUGUAUUCUUUGGUACAAAUCUGUUUACUUUUUGGCUGUGUGAUAAUCUUAGCAGGUGAACUAUAUGAACGUUUUUUUGAAACGAGUUAAGAAGAUCCAGCUGAAAAGAGCAUACAAGAUAGAGAACUGGUAUGCUGCUCGCCAGGGAAAGGCUGCUGGAAAGGUUGAGACGGAUGCCUCUUUCAGAAACCAGGUCAGUUUCCUGCUGCUCGGCGUCUUAAUGUAUCCAAAUUGUUUAUCUUUUGAUGAAAUUAGCUGGCUAUAUUUUCUAUUUUAUUUAUCUGCAUAUUAUUUUGGUUUGUUGAAAUUUUGACUAUAGUCAUUGUCACAUGGGCGCCUAGCCCAACCCAAAUUAGUUGAGGAUAUUUAAAUCUUCACCAUGGUAUUAUAGUACUCACUCACAGUUGUGAAUACUAAGGUGCAUGCAUGGCAUGAAGAAGUGGACCGUGCACGCCAAGGUCAGAGGGAUGCAGAAGGCAAGCUUUUUUCUUUGGAGGUAAGUAUCCUUUGUUUAUUGCCCAACAGUGUUGUUAUUAUCAAUUUGUAGCUUUGCGUUCUGAAUUUUUUGCUUUGUCAAACAACCUUCUUGAAAUGCUCGAUUUCAAGCCGAAGUCCAAAAAAUGAAAGUUGAGAUGGCUUCCAUGAAGAGGGAUGUAGAGCAUUACUCGCGCUAGGUGAAAUCUGCUUCCUCUCUUUUCGUAUAUCUUCAUAUGAAGAGUUUUACUAAGUUAUAUUGAGAACUAUGUUAUUUAUAGGUUAUAUUUUCCAUUUUGCAGGAACACAUGGAGCUAAGGAAGAGCUAUCGUGAACUCACUGAUCUACUGGUAAUGUCACUCAAACUGCUUUAUUUGUGCAUGCUGCUACUAUGCGCUUGAAUGCAUUUUAUUACUGGCGGGAUGCGAAGAAAGCUAGAUAUAUGUGCUGGAUCGCUUGAUUAAUGUUAGGGUUUUAACAACUAAUUGUUAGCAGCUAGAAGCCCUGGUUAGAUUAAUGCUAAUUUGAUUUUCCUUACAGUACUUGAGUGCCAGUUUCAUAUUGUUUGUUCCCUGUUGGAUACCUGCUGUACAGUUUCAUUUCUGUUUCUUCAUAACUUUCUUGGCCCUGGGAUAUAUGCAUAUUGAGUACAAUGAAUAUCCAUUGUUCUCUAACUGUUGGGCUUUACUAUCUUUGUAGCAGCCUGCCUAACAUUUUUUAGGCUCUACACUCUACCAUCCAAUUUAUGAAAAAUUCAAAGAUUGGACGAUAUUGAUUGCAGAAAUGAAAAAAAUACUAUGAUAUUAGAAAGGUGAAUGUAAUUGUGUUAGAAUAAGCGUCUAGCAUGAUGGGUAAUAUUUUAAGUUUGUAUUUCUAAAAUUUUUUCGUUCUGGAGUAUGAUUUACCUCAAUUGUUUUGUACUUUAAUCUUUACUAAUUUUCAUUGUGGAGUAUGAUUUGCCUCAACUAACAACUUUUCAUUGUUUAACUUUUUCCUCCCUUAGAUAGUUGCAUAUGUUUGAUUUGUUAAUCUGCUUCUUACACAUGUUGUUUCCUAAUGGUGUAGGUGGGUUGUCGGAUGCAUGUGCAGAUUACUUGAAUAGACGAAGCUAAGAAUGACUUAGUAUUAAGUGAGACAGAAGCUUGGGUCAGUUGGAUUUUGACAUUUGAUUUAUUCAUGUUUUUUGUUGCUUGCAAUGUUCUCGCAUUGUUUGUUCUGAGAUUCUGUGAUCUUAUUUUUCAUAGGAACUGACAUUGGUUUGCCAUAUAAUGUUUCAGGAACUAAUACAACAACUAAUCACCUUGCUUAGCUCUCAAGACACAUACUUAACAGGUUAACAAACACUAACCUAUAAACUGAUCUGCUAAGCUGGACCAUUAACCUCUGUUUAUAUCCCUGCCACUCAUCUUUUGGCACUUAUCAAUAGCAAAAUCUAGAGUUGUUGAAACCCCAAUUUUAAUGAAUAUUAUUUUUAGUUGAUAAUUAAAAUUAAUUGAUGAUUAAUCUAUUCCAUUGUGCAUUAUUUUAUCGCCAAAUACUUUGAAUAUUCAUUAGCAAAAGAUAUAGGGUUCACUAUUUAAUGAAUAGAAUUUUGAUGGUGGAUUGCAUUUCCUGAGUUAUAAAUGUGGUGAAUCCAUUAUUUACUAGCUGAAUAAUCAUAAUGUUUUGGCCACUUACCUUGAAUUUUGUUCAAAUUGAAGAAGUCACAUGUUUCUUUCUGUUGUUGAGGUAAUCUCUCUGUUGAAAGCUUCUAUUUCUUUUUUUUUUUUCUUUUUUUCAUUUGGGUAGAUUUUUUUUUUUAUGGAUUUAUGUAUUUUUUUUCCAGAGAAUUCGAAAUGAAAUAAGAAUAGCGGAUUGAGCAUAAACAAAUUGAUGAAAUUUUUAUUUGAGUGUUUGUGUUAGUCCUUUUUUGAUUUGUUGAGGUUUGGAAUUAUUUGAGUUUUUUUGCUGUUAGUACUAUGAAGGAUGCUUGGCAAUCGCGAAAUGGGGGCUACCUCUUUGGAAAGAGAAGUCUCGCUAUCCAACCUCUCAUGAAUUACAAACAGGGUGAUUUCUUGCUGAAAAACCACUGAACCAGUAGAACUUUCCUCGGUUCUUCAAUUCGAUUCGAAUAAUUUUUUUACCCAGAAAAGCCAGCGUUUCCUGGUGGGUUUUACAGCUUUCUCAAUGUUUUUGUGAUUUUGGAUUUGCAAAUUUGUUUUCUGUUCAAAUUUCCUUUUGUGAUUUUGGAGGUUUUGUUUAUCGAUUCUCUCACUCAUCUCUCAGCUCUCUCUCACUUUUGAGGUACAUGCCGUUGGAUUCCGUUUGCUGCUGCUGAUCUGUAGGUAAAGCUUCAAUUACCAUAUAAAGUUUACAUUUUUCAUGAUUUCUUGAAUUUGGGUUUUAAACAAAGGAAAUAUUGCUAGAUUCUUAUCUUAUGUGCAAAUUACUGGCUAUUUGGAUUGGUGCCUGAGAUUUAGAGAAUGCCUCGCAGCUUUAAUUUCUUUUUCCUUCAUUAUUACUGUUUUCAAAAUUUUUAUUGCUGGGUAUUGAUAAUUUGUAGUAUGUGAGGGCUUCAAUAUGUUGGAAUUUUGAAUGGUUAUUGCUUCAUCGGAAUUUGGGUGGUCCAAAUUUUGAAUUAGAAGAAACCCAUUUGAUUAAUAUUUUUGGUGGAUUGGUUCUCUGUGUUUUCCUUGCUAUUUCUCCCCCAGUUGGAAAUUGGAAGCCCCAACUUUGAGCUCAGAGCUUGAAUUUCUCAAUCGUUCGUUUCUCUGCACUCUCAUCAAUCACUCUUGAUCCUCUAUCUAAAGAACUGGGUAAUUUUCCAGCUCUAUCAAGUAAUACUCCAUUUAAUUGCUUAAUUGAGGUUUUUUGUUUCUCUUUUUCGCUCUUUCAUCAGUUCAUUGACUUUGAUGUUGAGCUUAAGUAAAUGGGAGAUCAUUAAUUGGCAUUGUUCAAGAUAUAAUUCUGUGUUUUUGGAUUUGUGAAACGAUUUGCCUAAUGAUGAUAGUGGUUAAAAUAAAUUUUUCGUUAUGAAGAGAACAUUGUUCUUCAUUUGCCUACGGUUUUAACUACAAAGUUAAACUACUAUGCUUUUGUUCAAUUGACUGCAACUCAUGCCGCAGUUUGCUUCACAAACCUCUACGGUUAGCUUCCAUACAGUAUGUUGCAAGUUUGAGGAUAUCUUUACAUCUUAAUUUUUGCUCUCUCUGGUUGCUUCAAGUUUGUAAUUUUACGUGUUACAUUGCUACUUGAUUUGAUUAUAAAAAUGCAAAACAAAAUCCGUUUUGCUUUUAUUCAACUUAAAUGUAUCCUUUUGUUUGUUCAUAAUUGUGUUGAAUUUAUUCAACUUAAAUGUGUUUUAUUCAUCUAUUUACGCUUAAAACAACUGGUUCCCCUAGCAAUGCGCGGGCCUAAUUUCUAGUACAUAUACUAAAAGCCAGCAGAAAAUUACUGUUCAUCAUGGGAGAUAGAGCACUGUUCAUUAACAGUGAAAGGGCGAAAAUGCCCUCGGUUUCUUCUUUACUUCACGUACUGUUUACGAAUUGCUACAGUAUAAAGUCCGUUUUGUCCUUCCUGUCCACACAUCUUUCAUCGUCCGUUUCUCUUGCUUCGACCGUAUCUUUUUUGCUUUACCUUUCCUCUUCAUUUUUCGCAUUCGUUAGGCUGCGAUUUUCGGAGGUGGAUUGUUUGCCCUCCCAUUUCCAUGCUCUCCCCAUGCCUAUGUGGUCACAGUUAAACCACGUCAAUAUUUUAUAUUAAUUUUUUAUAAAAAUAAUAAAACAAAAAGUAAUAAGAAUAUAAAAUAUUGACGUGGCUUAACGUGGUCCGUGAUCACAGUAGGCAUGGAAAUGGUCCGCGACUUUCUCCCUUUUCGCCAGCCCCUCUUUUGCUCUCAAAUCCUUGCUCUUUCUUUUGCAAAAUAGUCUCAGAAGAGAUCCUGGGUUUAUCGAAUCCUUUGUUGUUCGGCGUUUUGUUCUCAUCUUGUGAUCGUCGGGUCAGCAGCUUUAAGGUAAGUUUGUUUUUAAUGAUUUAUCCUCAUUUUACGAUGUCUGGGCUAACAAAUUUAAGAUCUUUAUUUUUCUUUUUGCUGCGGAUCUGCAGGUUUUGACAAGUUUUUUGUGAAAUUGGUGCUGUCAGUGGGUGUUAACAUCAGGUACCCAUGUUCAGUUUUUCGUUUUGAUUUGAAGGAAUUUCUUGCGCAGAAGUGCUAGGGUUUCUUGGUGAGUUCUUCGGGUUGUGCAUAUGGGUAAUUUUCUUUUCGGUUUAACCCGCUGCUUCUGCUGCUCUCUCUCUUUCUCUCAUCCCUGCCUGCUCCUCUCCAAUUGUUUGCUGUUCUUAAAUAUUGUGUUCAUUGCCUGAUACAAGGAGCUGCAGCAAUCUGUUUUAUCCUACACGGGACAACGAGGCAAUGGCGUGACAACAGGUGAGCUUGGAUAUCCAAAGAAAGAGAACAGUUGGUUCAUCUGCUGGAGUCUGAAGCUCAGAGAAGUGGAGGAAAAUUGCAGGUGUGCGAGAAAUUUUAUUUUGCUGAUAGGACUCCUUAUUUACGGAUGCAUUUUGAAAUAAUUGAAAAGUUGGAUUUGAGUUAACAGCUAUAAAAAUGUAGACAUGAUUGCUGAGAUUAUGCUAUGAAAGUGGAAUAAAAAAAUGGUAGUUUAUAAUAUUGCGUACCAAUUUUUUUCUCUCUUUUUUACCAAAUGAUAAGGGUGGUGGCUCAGGCCGCCCCCCCUACGCGUCCCCACUCUUCGACAAGUUGAAAUCAUGGUGAUAGUUUAUGGGCUGUGGUCUUGGGAUUCUGCAAAUAGAUUAAAAAACAGACACUUAACUAUCUUGUUAUUAAACAUUUCUGCAUCAUUCAGUUGCUCUUGAUUUUCGUCUUUUAAGCGAUCUUAUUUCUGCGAUCUGACUUGAGGAGGGUUUUUAGACCUAUGGUUGUGGGUGUUUUGUCUGACCCCAUUAAAUUGGUUUCCGAGAUUUGUAGACUUGCGAUCGGCAGUCAAACAUUUUGUGAUUCUUGCUUUUUUUCCGACUGGGAUUGACGAAUUUUGGCCGAAUCUGUUUCCUGUUUUCUUCUCUGUUUGAGCGGCCGCUGCCUUUCGGUCGUUGAGCGCCGGCAGUCUUUAGAUCUUUGGCAAAUCAAUUUAAUACAACCGAGGUAUGUUUUAUAACUGCUGUCUUUCAAUUUUUGUUCUGUAUUUUUGUUAAUUUGGAUGAAGCUCUAAUAAUUUUGUUUUGGAUCAGUUGUGGUCCUCUGUUAGGAUUUUCCUGGCUAAGAGGGUAUUUGCGUUUUUGUUGCUUGGUUGGUCGAUCACAGAUUUACGAACAGCUGUGGUGGUCCUGUUAUUUUUUUGGUAUGUUUUUUCUCCUUUUUGGUUUUUUCCCGGUUUGAGCACCCAUUCAUGAAGAAUUAAAAUGUGUUUAUAGUUUUUCAGGAGAGAUUAGAAAAGUGAUUUCAAUUUGGGAAAAUUUAAUGUUGGUUAAAAUUUGUCUAUAAUUUUUGGGAAGGAAUGAGAGGACCCAUUGAAGUAUGUGUUGUGAUUAUUUUUUAUUCAUAUUUUUAACAAAUUGGGCAUGAAUUGGUAGGUUAACUGUGUGUGUUUAUUAUUUGAAUCGGCCAUGUUUGUCUUUCUAUGGUUCUAAAAAAUUUGUAAAGGCUGUUAACUUGGAAGAAAAUGGGAUCGAGGGUGAGGGGAAAACGGCAGAGAAAGCAUGGAAGAGAGAUUUGGGAUUAGGGGUAGGAAAACAGAUGAAAAGAAUAUGAUAGAGGAAUGAGUUCAGUUCAUUUUCACUAUUUUUUUUAACUGAUUUGGAUUUUGUUUGGGUUUGAGGCCAUCAUUGGCGUUAAGACGUUUAUUAUCAGAUCGUGUGUGUUUUUUGCUAACUUUUAUUGGUCAUUUUUAUGUUGUUCUUAUGAUUUUGUGUGGUAGGGUUUCUGAAUUUUAUCGUUAUUCAUUUGGUUUUUUGUGUGUGUUGGUUUGUUUAUUUUGCAGGUUGUGUUUGUGCUGGGACAACAUUUUCCACCUUCUGUUUGCACUGGGAUGAUUGCGUUUUAAAACUGUUGGGGUGAGAUUUACAUAUGGAAUCAUUCCAUUUUUUUUCUUCCAAAUAUGUGCAUUUAGUUCUUUUUAUUUUAAAUUUUAAAAAUUAAAUCGUUAUUUGAGUAAAAUGUUUUAUUAAUUUAUGUUAUGUGUUGUGAUCAGGAAUUCUGUUGGAUUUGCAAAUUUUGGUUUGAUGAGAGAGAUGAGGAGUUUUUUUUGUUUGAAUUUUUUAUUGGACCGAUUUUCAAUUGGAUUGCAUUCUGCCUUUUUGCACCAUUCUUAUGCAAGCAAUUCAUUGUUUUAAAUACAAUUUGAAGAGAGCUGGGUUGCGGGUUGGAUAUAAAAUGUUAAGGUGAGAUAAAAUCGAGAUACCAAGGGUGGAAGAAUGAUUCAGAAUUGGGGGAGGAAAACAGAGGGAAGAUGGAAGAGUAUAAGAGAAGGAUAGGGUUGACCUCAUUUAGAGUUUUUAUUUACUUUUUUUUUUAUUAUUUAUAAAUUGAUUCAGGACUAGCAUAUCAUUUCUAAAUUUCUAACAUUUUUGUUUAAUUUGACUCCAGUUGAUGGAAAACAGAGCUCUUACUCCUAUCAAUCAGUUGGUCCCGUACAUAAAUGCAGAAAAAUCAAGGUUCGAGUUUGCAGAGUAUGCAGACCAAGGUUUCCUGAAACUACUGGUGCUGUCACGCCCCAAUCCCGACCUAUGUCCAGGAUCGACACGUGACGUUAACAAAUACCCAUAUCUCUAACAUACCCCGCCUCCGGAAUAUGGGCAAAGCACAACUGCGUAAUAAUUUUUCGUAUACUUUAUGGCUGCAUCUAACAUCCUCGUUAGAUUAUCAUACCUUAUGGCUACAUCUAACAUCCUUGUUAGACUGCCUACGUACUCUCAAAAGGGAUCAAACCAUUCGUAGUUCACCACACUCCAAUCCACAAAAAUUUGCACAUGCACUGAUUAUAAAAUGGAACUGCACCUAUAGAAACCUAAUCAUAACCCGUGGGCGAUUUGCUCCCACAUAAGAAAGACGUCCACAGUACCAUGAAAUACUUCCACAUCUUUCCUUCCCAUUUACACAAUAUUUUAUUUCACCUCCCUGAUAAAUAUAGCAUUUACAUUACAUGUGGCAGACAAAUUUGCAUAUUCAACUAUAAUAAAAUACAAUCUUAGUAGGAAAAACCUACAAGACCACCACUCGUUUGAGCCAAACUUUAGCUUAGCACUCAACUGGUGCUCACACCAUGUGAGUGCACGAUCCUUUAAGAUGGAUGCGAUGGUUCUCUUUUGAGAUUAAUUUUGUUACAGGUAUAACAUAGUUGGCAACCGUUUAGAAAUAGAUGCCUCAUGUUCAAAACUCUCAUUACCAAAUGUUCUAACAAGUUAGUAGAGAAGGUAAAAGAACCCAAAUGGCGAGAAAUAGUGUCCUGAUGAAACAAAAGAUGUAACCCUCAUUCAAGCACGAACAUCAUUUCCUUGAGAAUCUGCGAUUUCUUCCCUCAUUUGGUCAAUAUAGCUUGUAUUCCAACUGCAACUUACUAAUAGCAUUUGUUCUCUCCUCGAAUGAAACCAUAACCAGCCAUUUUAAAUAAAGCUGAACAGUUUCACGUUGGGAAAAUAAAGAUUAUAACAUACAGGUUUUGGAUUAGAUUCCCAAACCAACAGAAAAUUAAGAUAGGAAUCUAUUUUGGGUUAACUGAGGUAUGAGUGGUAUACAAAUGAGAAAUUCCCUACAAAAGUCAAUAAAACCAGUUACAUAACAUGUUGAAUAUAAUACAACAUGAAAUAAGAAGCACCACUUGUUUAUCUGACUUUUUAUACAUGUAUUUUCCUAAGGGAUAAAAACGUGCGGGUUUUGGGAUCAAUCUGAAGAGGGCUUCACCACGAAUACAUAGCCUUUGACCGUGCAUGAUUUCGUUGCCGUAUGAGAAAGUUAUCAUUUUUUUUUUUUGUGAAGAAGAAUUAAGGGGGAGAAGAACAGCUGCCCCCUCUGUUUCUGCAUCUGCCCAGCGGGGAAAGAAAAAGAAGAGAAGCCCUUGGCUUCUAGAAUACUCCCUCCCCAAAAUUACAAUUUUGCUCUCUAACUUUGAUUGUUUAUAUCUUAUUCGUUAUAACUCUGUUUCACGAACAGCUUUUGCUUACAUGCUCACAUAGUCGUCAUCUAUUUAAAUAUAUCAAGAAAUACAAUAAAAUACAUCCUCGUAUAAGUAUGUUAACCAAUUAGGGCACUUUCGUCAUUUCCACUUAUCGAUAGAUUUUAACACGUUAAUUAUAAUAAUGUCCGGAAACAGCUUUAAAAUUUCCAAAUUCUAUUUCCAUAACCAUAAAUCGAUUUAUUAAUUUUUCAGGGUAUCACAGGUGCAUAUUCAGGCUUGCAUUGUAUAUUACUUUCCUAUUAAAAAUUUGUUUGGAAUUUGCUUUUCCCACAAAGGAGAAGAGCUGACAGUUACGCUGUGGGCAGAUGUUGCUCGAAGUAUUGCUUCUUUAUCCAUUGAAUCAUUGUCUCUGCCGAUCUUUGCGGUUUUCACAAGUUUAAAGGUCAAGCUGUACCUAGGUGUUUGACUUAAUUAAAAACUAAUCUAUUUAUUUCGGAGGCGGAGCAAAAUGCUAUCUGUCUUACCCCUCUUGGUGAUCUUAGUCGGAAAGAUCGGCUAGUUUGGGAUGUGAGUAAGAAUGGGCAGUACUCGGUUCGAUCGGGCUAUCAUUGGCUGCAAUCUAGGUCUGUUGGGUUCAGGGAUCAACGCCAGCUUGGUGCUUGCUUAGUUCCGAGGCAUUUGUGGCGCAUGGUUUGGUAGUUGAGUGGGCCUCAUAAGCUCCGUCAUUUCUUUUGGUUAUCUUUGCAUAAUGCAUUACCGUCAUUUCUUUUGGUCCGUGACCAGGCAUGAGGAGAGCAUGGAAAUGAGAGGGCAGACAAUCCACCUCCGCGACUUUCUCCCUUUUCGCCAGCCCCUCUUUUGCUCUCAAAUCCUUGCUCUUUCUUUUGCAAAAUAGUCUCAGAAGAGAUCCUGGGUUUAUCGAAUCCUUUGUUGUUCGGCGUUUUGUUCUCAUCUUGCGAUCGUCGGGGUAGCAGCUUUAAGGUAAGUUUGUUUUUAAUGAUUUAUCCUCAUUUUACUAAACUAUUUAUGGUAACUUAGUAUGGUAACUUAACUAAGUAAGUUUGCUUUUAGCCCAAGGGUUGGAGAUGGUCUUAGUAUGGUAACUUAACUAUUUAAUUCCAUCUCAUUAAACUAAAAAAAACAAUUACAUAAAAAUAAGGGAAACCUUGUCCAGAGAGACCUGAGAAAGUCCACCCCUAAGGACUUUGCGCCAGCACCCAGCGUAUUUAUCUACUCAAGUGAACAGUAAUAGACUGGAGUGAACAGUAAUAGGCCAAGGCAUCUCCACCCCUAAAAAAAUGCGCUGGCACCCAGUGCAUUUAUUUGGUGUGUUUUUUUUUUAAAGUUUAUUUCAGAUAAGAUUUUUAACCAAUUUCGGAUAAAAUUUCAAAUAAACUUAAAAAAAAACACUCUAAAAUAAAAUUACAUACUCAUCAAAUAAACUUAAAAAAACACACUAAAAUAAAAUUACAUAAACUCAUCAAAUAAAUUAAGGAUGAGCUUUUUGGUAUUUUUUUUUCACACAAAAAGUAUAUGAAAGCUUUGGUAGAAGGUCUAGAAAAUAUUGAAAUGUGGUGUAAGGUGGAAGAUGAGGGUUAGGUAUUUAUAGAAAAAAAAUAAUAACUUUUUUAAAAUUUUACUGUAUUUUAAAAAAAAAUCUGUAUUUUUUUAUAUUUUUAAUUAAUUUUAAUGUAGUUAAUUAAUUUGGACCGUUGGAUUUGAAAAAUAUUCAAAUCCAAUAGCCCAGGAUCGGCCACGUGGCCAACGCCAGCAAAUGGCCCAGCUUCUUGGUCAGCCUGUUUUGUGCUGGCCCAGAGACCAGUUUGGGCUGGGUGCCAGUCUGUUUUGUGGGCUGGAGUGAAUGGACAGGGUCCCAGCCUGUUUUUUGUGCUGAGUGCUGGCCUAAUCCACCACCGGUGGACUUGCUCUGAGAGAAAGUGACGACUUCUCCUCUCAUUCCACUCCAUACUUGAUCUCUAAAGUCCAUUUGGCAUGUAAUUGAUGUUCAAUUUCAAAUUUAGUGGUAGCAAUUAGCAAAGCUAAUGAAAGAAUCAAAUAAAAUGAAAGAAAAAGCAUCAUGAAAUAAAUCAAGAUGAAGAAUGAAAUUUUGGCAACUCGCCAUUCUCUUCUUUUAUAUAAAAGAUACAUCCUAUUUGUAGUGAAAACAGGUCCCGACAAACCCAGUUAUCCUCAAGAAGUAUUUUGUAUGACUUUAAAAACAUAAUCCGUGAAAUUAUCUCUUGGCUGAGAACAACAACAAAUCUUCAUGCAUAGCUUGUACAGAAAGACAUCAGGCAUACAAAAGAACACGCAAGCAUAAAAUAAACGACGCAGGGAAAACCAAAAAUACUAUAGAACACGUCGCUGUCAAAAGAACAUGAAUAAAUGAAAAUUACAAAACAAAGAAGUGAUGAGAAACCAAAGUACCCAUUUCAUAAUCUAGUUGCUUUUUAGUUUGCUUGCCAUUUUUAGUUCUUCAAUUUAGAGAGAAACGAUAAUUCAGCACAUGAAUAAAGUGAAAACGUAAAAGAUAUGUGGGAUAAGCUGACAGCCAUCCCUGAGUAAUGCAUUCACUUAUGAACCCCAAACACAACGAAACAAAAAUUCACACAUGAACUACAGCUCCGCUAUGUAACAAGAAUUAAAAGCAUCUCAAGACAAAAUGGCAAACUAUAAGAGCACUGUAAAAGUAAAAUUGCAAGAAAUCUAAUACUUGGAGGGCAAGUACUACUCAGACGAAAAUGAAAGAUUGAACUACCUCGCGUGGAACUGUGCCUUGGUUUUUUCCCAUGCUUACAGGAAGCUUUGCACUGAGCUCUUAUAGCCCAAAUUUUCUCUGAAAGAAAAAAACACAAUUUUGAAAUAAGAUUUUCAUAUUAUACCUUAAAGAGAAGAAUUAGAAAACAAAAAAGAGAACAAUGAGUACUAUUCAUCAUAUAUUGUUAGAGUGUGUGGUCCUUUGGUCCAAUGGUCCUGCAGCCAUAUUUACUUUAUAACUCUUUCUUUUAGUCUAAAAAACAUCUUGGAUCUCAAAUUAAUAUGAAUACGGAUUCAUACGCAUGCAUUGCAUUACAACCACAAUGCAAUAUCUCAUUAGAAAUCCCCACACAAAAUUUUUUUAUUUCUACUUUGAUUUUAGUUUAUAUUUUUUCUAAAGCACGAGGGAGCUAAUUUUUUUUUAAAUUUUUUUUAUUCCAAUAAUGUUAUAGGGUUGAAAGGAUAUUAUCAAUUUAAUUGAUUGUAUUUGAUUGGUGGAACUUCUAUAUCUAUAUUUCAGUUUUUCAAAUUCAGCACUGGGAGAGUCAUUCAUAAAAUGUUUGACAGUGAGAUUACCUCCAUGGAUUAUGCUCACAAUGGACAGCUCAUUUUCCGCAGUGAUGGGACAAUAUAUUUCAGUCAUUCGCCAUUCAAUCAAUUCAAACCGAGGAACAAGCAACAUCAAGAAGAGGAUCUGCCAUGUCAGGAUCACUGUCGUCCAAUUAAUACAAAAAAUCUAGAUAAAAACGAUCAAUUUACAUAAAAGCCUUUCAUUUUCUCAGCAACCAAGCAAAAGAAAAUACCUAUCCGUUAACACUCGAUUUGGGAGUAAAUGUUGCUGAAACUGGACUUCAAUCCCCUCAACCGCAACAACCGAAUCGAGGUGUGCAAGUCAUUGAAAAACUCACCCAAGAUUUCAAAAUCUGCAUAAAUAAAUAAAUAAGCACAUAAAUUAGCCAACCCUGUUAUGAUCCCACAUCGGGUACACAAGAAAUUGUGUAGUGGUACUUAAGUGCAAGGGGUCCUCCCACCUAUUGGACUAGUUUUUUGGAUUGGGCUCUUCCCUUGGGCUUGAGUACCUAACAUUGGUAUCAGAGCCUAGGUUCCCGACGCUGCGGGACUUGGCGAGUGGUGCAGCCUCGUGGUGCCGCCUUGAGAGUAUGGGCUCCUAAGGGUCUUGGCGACGGGCAAGGUAUGAAAUGCCGAUAUUAUCGCGAUAUUUCGCCGAUAAUAUCGGUUUUUUGAGUUACCGAUAUUUUAAUACUUAUCCACUGAGUUUUCGUCAAAAUAUCGCGAUAAUAUCAACAAUAUCGCGAUAUUACCGAUAAUAUCGCGAUAUUUUGGAGAUGUGCGAAUCGGAGAAGAACGCCGGAGCUUUUACAGCUCCGGCCGACUGUAAAAGAGCACCCUAGACUCCGAUCUAGGUAUCAAAAUGAAAUACAAGAUGAGAGGAAUGUUUUUAUAACUUCCGUUUGCCGUGAAACGGUCGAAGGUGUUCGGAAAGUUCGUCGACACCCACGGCCUCGCCAGAGAUGGGUGUGCCUAUUCCCGAGCCGAUUUCGUCCCAAAAACCUUGCAAAAACACGAGAUAGAACUUAAAUUUCACGUCUAAGCUUCAAUCUAGAAUAGAAUGAGGUAAACCCGAAGCUUACCUAACCGGAGAAAUUCAAGAAACUCGUCGGAGGGUUCCUGCGUCGCCGAGUUGCAGAGACGAGAAGGAGAGGGAGAAAGACGAGGUUGCUGAUGACGAUGGGUGUCUUCCUCAAGCAAGUGCGAUGGUGUGCGUGUGUGUAUGUGGGUCUCGGUGCAGAGAGAAAGGAGAGAGAUGAGAGUUUCGAGAGAGAGACGGCACCGACGAGAGCUAUUUGUUUUUUUUUAUCUUAAAAAGAGAGAGGUCUAAGAGAAAUGGGAAGAGAGGGCCGAGUGAAAUGAAAGGAGGUCCUUGAAUUAUUGAGAGAUAUCUCUGAGAGAGGCCUAGGAUUUCUAAAAGGUAAUCAUAAAUGGGAAAAAUGGGGCACAUCUUAGCCUUUAUUUUGGAAUCCUAAGAAGUUCACCACAUGGAUGCAUGACAUGUGUGCAUGCCAUGUUUGUUGAAUGGGAAAAGUCUGACACGGAAAGACAAAGAGUCGUUUGGGGCUCUGGGCUCGAGGCAAGACAGAAAGUGCUAGGGUUUUUUUCUGAAAUGAACAUAAGCUGCUAAAUUCGCAUAUAUUAUAGUUGUUGCUAAAGAUUGUCACUAGUGUGGACUUGGACGUGUUGGUCAACAUGUCCUCACAAUCCCCAAGUUCUCUGGUUCGAACCCUUGCGCCCAUCAAAUUUUCUUUCUUUUUGAUGCGCUUUUCCCAUGGCUCUAGGUCUUGAUUUCGAAUCCAAGUGAGCCCUUUCCUUUUUCUUUUUUGUUCUUUUUGUUUUAUUAUUUGUUUAUUUUAAUUUAUUUGUUUCUUUUAUGUUUUUCUUUUCUUUUAGUUUCUUUGUCUUAGGCGUUCGUUUUUAUUAAAGUAGGAUGUAAAAUCAAUUAUCUUAAAAUUAUGUGUUUUUAAAUUUUGGACUUGUUUGUUGGAUACUUUUUUUUCAUUUUAUCAUUCUUUUAUUAUGAAAAUAUGCUAAAAUAUGCUAAAAUAUCACUUAUGUUUUUGUGAAAAUAUGCUAAAAUAUUUAUAUAUAUGAUUUUGUUUUGAAUUCUUUUUGUACUAAUUCAUUAUAUAUAAAUGAUUAUGGUGUGUUUAAACUUCUUUAAUUAAUUACUACAUAUUUUCUAUACUCACAAUGUUUGCCAGCUCGCUAUAUAAUCAACUUAAAUCAGUUAAAUCCAUCAUGCAAUGCAUUUCCUUCCAAUUUUUUGUGAUAAACUUGUGAACACGGAAAAUUCCUGAAACGAAAGAGACAAGAACGAACGUGCACAAACAAAUAUUAUGUAUUUGAUGAUUUUGGGUUACAAUCUCUCUCUAUUUGAUCCUCUGAUUCAAUCUCCGUAAGGUGUGUAUUUGUGGAUGUGUGAUUGAUCCAAAGGGCCGUUGGGCUUGAUCUAAUGAUGAACGUUCUUCAAGGGCCGUGGACUUGAUCUUGAAGGUGGAUUUGAGCGGAUCUUCAAAGGGGCUUUUGGGCUUGAUCUUGAAGAACGGUUGGAUGUGUGGAUUUGUCGAAGUUGUUGAUCCAAAGGGCCGUUGGGGCUUGAUCUUGGAUGAACGGAUGAUGAACGAUGGUGCUUUCUUCAAGGGUCGUCGGGGCUUGAUCUUGAAUUGGUGGAUGGUUGAUCCAAGGGCCGUCGGGGCUUGAUCUUGGAAGAACGAUGAACGAAGAACGAAGAACACUUUCUUCAAGGGCCGUCGGGGCUUGAUCUUGAAUUGGUGGAUGAUUGUUGAUCCAAAGGGCCGUUGGGGCUUGAUCUUGGAAGAACGAUGAACGAAGAACAAAGAACGCUUUCUUCAAGGGCCGUCGGGGCUUGAUCUUGAAGGUGGAUGAUUGUUGAUCCAAAGGCUGUCGAGGCUUGAUCUUGGAAGAACGAUGAACGAAGAACACUUUCUUGAUUCUUCGGGAACCUGGACGCUUGAGAGCUUCGGAGUUUCAGAGCUUCAGAGCUUCAAGGUGUAAUAUGAAUUGGUCCCCCCUAAAUGAAUGAAAUGGGCUUGUAUUUAUAGAAUUUUCCAAGGCCUAAUUUUGAAUAUAAUAUCUCAGAUGAAAUAAGUCGUUUCUGCCAGGUGUUAACACGUGUCCUAUUUGAUGACUUUUCCAACUCAUUUCAAUUUUCGUUUAGUCACACGCUACGUGUAAAAUUUAUGUAAUACAUGAGCGUUGACACUUUGAUUUAUCGGUCAACAUUUAUUUACCGAAAUUUCGAUGUCUACAAAUGCCCCCACUUCAAGGCACGUCGUAUACCUGUGCUUGUCACGUGUAGGAGAUGCGUUUUGAAGUCCCUUACCGUAGAUGCCGAUUCAAGGGCCGUUGAAGCUUGAUCUUGAAUUGGGCUUGAGAUUUCUUCAAGGGCCGUUGAGGCUUGAUCUUGAAUUUUUGUUUGAAAUUUCUUCAGGGGCCGUCGAGGCUUGAUCUUGAAGGUUGAAAUUGGGCCACAAGGAGCUUCAUGUGGUAGAUGAUCUUUGGCUUUGGUAGUGGAUGAAUCGGCACGUAUUUUAUUGCGCUUGUUGACUUUCCACAGCUUUGAUCUUGAACUGGGUUGGAGGAUUUUCUGGAUUCCUCCAAUUGUUGAUUUUCCACAGCUUAUUCUUGAACUAGGUUUUGAUUCAAGGGUGGUAGACACUUGAUCUUGAAUCGGACUUGUGAUUUCCUCGAUGGCCGUCGAGGCUUGAUCUUGAAUUUGGUUGGAAACUUCUUCAAGGGCCGUCGAGGCUUGAUUCUUGAAGGUUGACUCGAACAUAUGGCAAGCAGGCACGAGGUGAAGGUGACGACUUGUUGCUUUGUUCAAUCUUUCUAAUUCACACCUGAGCAGUUUGGUCAACGGUAUGAUCCUCAAGAUUGAUGGGCUCUUCUUCCAGUUGGUGACUUGAUCUUUAAGGAUUUGAUUCAAGGGUGGUGAAUCGGCACGUGCAGCCCACAACGCCUAGUAAGCCGACCCAAGAAUUUGAGGGUCAAAACGGAUUCACCGUCAGAGUGAUUGCAACUUUGAUGAUAUGAGAUACUCUUGCUUUUGAAGAAGUAGUGGAUGAAUCAGCACGUGCUUUGUUGCGCUUGUCUCCACAUGCUUCAAGGUAUCAUCUUUAUUUCCUUUAUCUAUUCCUCAGGCAGAUGUGGCAUCUUCUCGAGUUCUUCAUCUCAGACUCUUUCUGCUGAGUUGACUGUUCAUGCUGCAUUCUUCUCUGCUUGUUCAUUCUGCACGUUGUCUCCACAUGCUGCAAGGUAUCAUUUUCACUUGCCUUAUCUGUUCUCCGGGCAAAUGUGGCAGCUUCUUUGAAAGUACAGUAGCAGCGGGAGGCGAGUACUCGAGAGCAGUGCUAGGUAGGCAAUCAGGGAAGGGUUCCAAGCAGUCGGUUCCUUACCCGAGUUUGAGUGGAAGUUCCGGCAUAUUGUUUUUUUUAUCCUUGUCUUUGUAGGUAAGAACAAGGACAAAGGAAAGGACAGGGAGAACGCAUGAUAUGAGAUACUCUUGCUUUCUACCCUGGUGAUAUGAGAUACUUUUGCUUUGGAGUCAUUGGCUUGCAGAGGUACCCCAAGGAAUAAGGAACACUGAAUGACUCGAGAGGCUUCGUUGGGAAAACAUCUUUGGAGAUGAAGAAAGACUUUGUGUGUCUGCCUUGCUAUGGAAGGCGAAGGUAGACAAUUAUAGGAAGUUCUUUGAUACCUGUAGAUGUACUAUUCUUUCACUCGUGUCGGCAACCAAUGCGUGAUUGAUCUAUAUGGCUUCACGUGCUUCCUUCUUUAUCAGAAAUCUUCGACAAACUGUCCGUAAUUUCCGCCAAGCUGAGUGUGCAUGUGAUAGGUGUUGACGCGGCUGAAAAAGACUGGCGCUUAUUCGAUAACUGGGAUCUGCGCUUCGACAAAUUACCCGUGAUUUCCGCAAAGCUGAGUUUGCGUGUGAUGGGUGCUGACGUGUCUGGAAAAGACUGGCGUCUCUUCGAUGUCUGGGAUCGGCACUUCGACAAAUUGCCCGUGAUUUUCGCAAAGCUGAGCUUGCGUGUGACGGGUGCUGACGCGUCUGGAAAAGCAAGAUGCUUCUUCGAUUUCUGAGCUUGCCUCUUCGAUUUUUGAAUGGCCUCUUCGAAUUCUGAGCUCGCCUCUUCGAUCUCUGAAAUCCCGUCGAGUGUUGAUUUUUUAUAGAGGCAUGCUGUUCGUUUCAAAGCACACUUGAAUUUUACUUGUGAAAACUCCCUUCUUGCACUUCUAAGAUCUUGAUUCGUCUGACCUCUUCUUCCUUCAACACUUUGAAAAUGUCUGGACCCUCCGACCGUCGUUUUGAUUUGAACUUUGGUGAAGAUGUAGUCCCGUCUUCUCCAGAUAACAUAUGGCGCCCAUCCUUCAUAUCCCCUACUGGUCCUCUUACUGUUGGGGAUUCGGUGGUGAAGAAUGAUAUGACCGCUGCGGUGGUGGCCCGAAACCUUGUCACUCCCAGAGAUAACAGACUACUUUCCAAACGGUCUGAUGAGUUGGCUGUUAAGGAUUCUCUGGCUCUCAGUGUGCAGUGUGCGGGUUCUGUGUCCAACAUGGCCCAACGCCUAUUUGCUCGAACCCGUCAAGUUGAAUCGUUGGCGGCUGAAGUGAUGAGUCUUAAACAGGAGAUUAGAGGGCUCAAGCAUGAGAAUAAACAGUUGCACAAGCUUGCACACAACUAUGCCACAAACAUGAAGAUGAAGAUUGACCAGAUGCAGGAAUCUGAUGGUCAGAUUUUACUUGAUCAUCAGCGGUUUGUGGGUUCGUUCCAACAGCAUUUGCCUUUGUCUUCUGGGGCUGUACCGCGUAGUGAAGCUCCUCAUGAUCAACCUCCAGCCCCUCUUCUUUCUGGAGUUCCACCGAGUGGUGUGACUUCAAACAGUCAACCUCCGACGUCUCUUUUCCCUAGAGCUCCACCGAGCACUGAGACACCACCUGAGCAAUAAAGACUCCCUCCCGUUUGUUUGCACAUUUGUAAAUUUUUUUUUUUUUUUUUUUUUUUUUUUUUUUUGGUAUGUAGAAUGCAAUUUUAUGUAAAAUUUCCAGAAAAAAUAAAUAAAAUGGAUUUUUAUUUCUCUUAAUGCUUUUUUUUUUUUUUUUUUUUUUGCUGUAUAUAUUAUACACACACAUUUAUACAUACAUAUAUACAUACAUAUAUAUAUAUUUUCACGUGGAGUGAUCCACCAUCCCAAAACCCAUUUUCCCUUUGUUUUUUUUUGCAUGGUGCUAGCCACCAAGAAUUCACCUUUUUUUUUUUUUUAAUUAAUUAAUUAAUUUAUUUAUUUAUUAAUUUAUUAUUAUUAUUUCUUUUUCGUCUGCUUUCACAUGGUGCUUGAUCCACCACUCUCUUUUCUUUUUUCACGUGGUGCCAGAUGCACGCCCCUUUUUUUUUCACGUGGUGACAGCACCACUCUGCUUUGCUCUACCACAUUUUUUUUUUUUUUGUAUAAAUUAGGAUGCUUGGCUGAGGGAUUUUGUAGGGAAGGACGAAGACGGACGGAGAGCCGGAGUUUGAGGAAGAGCUUCUCGGCCGGCUAGUCGUUUGACAGCGGUCUUUGAAGUUGGUGGCAGCUGCGAGGCAAGAGACGGAGGAGGACAGGGCAGCUGUGACGGACAGAGACGCCAUGGCAGGACCUCGAGGAGUUUUAAGAUACUGGUGCAGGUACUGGCGAGGUGAUUUUGACGAGAAAAGCAUGAAGAGGGCGUCGAGCACCAUGGGCCUGCAAUCCUUAAGGUUGAUCUCGUAGUCCUUGAGCUCUUGUUCAGGCAUGACGGGAUCCGCUGCGGUCUUUUUUAUCGGCAAUAAAGUUCUUUGCCUCAUAAAACAGCCCAGAACGCGAUAGAAGAGUUACGAACAAAGCACAAUGUGCAACUGUAGGUGUCUUGAUGCAGUUGAAGUAAAACUUCCCUUCCUCGACCAUGCGUGCUGCAACGCAAGCAUGAAGGACAGCAGCAUAGGUGAUUUCAUCGAUCUGUGUACUCGUUUCCUUCUCCAUUUGGCAGAAUAAAUCUACUCCGAUCUUUCCUUGUCCGUGUAAGCUGUACCCAGUUAUCAUCACUGUCCACGAAACAAGAUCUCUUGUACUUCGACCCUGGCAAAAACUUUUGCAGCUGAUUUGAUAAAUCCCGACUUGACAUACAUGUCCAUAAGAGCAUUCAGAACGGUGAGAUUCAUUCGAAUACCAUGUCGCAGCAAGAAUCCAUGAGUCUCUUUUGCCAUGUUUACCUGCAGACAUUCUUGCGCAUGCUGGGAGAACACUAGAGACCGAGAGCGGAUCAGGUUUCACCCCGUCUCCAACCAUCUGCCUAAACAGCUUAAGACCCUCAUUGAAGCAUCCCCUCUUCACAUUGGCAUGAAUCAUUUCUGUCCAAGAAAUGACAUCUUUCUCCGGUAUUUGGUUGAAAACUGCCCAAGCUUCGUCGACACAGCCACAGUCCAUGUAUAUUUUCAAGAUGGUAUUGCUCACCAACACAUCAUACUCCAAUCCACGUUCCUUGGCAACCCUGUGGACUUUUGUUCCAUCAAUCAACGAUCUCAACAUGCCACAGGCACCAGCCGCCGUCGCCACAGCCACAGAAUCUAUCUGUGCUCCGGACUCCACCAUUCUCUCAAACACAUGAACCGCCUUGCCGGGUUUACCUUCCGCAAUGUACAGCCUGGCCAGCAUUGUCCAUGAAACAGAGUCCGUAACCAGGGACUUGUCAAACAGCCCUUUCGCGGAGUCCGCGCUGUCGAGGCGACCGUACAACUCAAUGAGAGCAGCAACCACGUACCGGUCACCAGAGCAGCCGAGCUUGUGAGCGUGGGCAUGGAGUUGCUUGCCGAGGGAGAGAUCAACCGAAAGGCGAGAGGCAGACAAGACGCGAGGAAGAGUGUGUCUGUCGGGCGACGAACGCGCGGAUGAGCAUUUGGUGGUAAGUGGCGAGGGCGUGGUGGAAGUCGGCAUUGGCGAUAUGGGUCUGGAUAAGUCUGUUCCAUGCAAAGGUAUCUGAGUGGGGCAUUUUGUCGAACACCUUGUGGGUGACGGCCACCUUCGUGGUGGGUUUAGCAUUUCGGGAGUGCUUGUAGUGGGCUGUGUUGAUUGGGUUCUCGGUGACGAUCAAGCGCUGGAUUUGGGCGGAUGGAAGGGCUUCCAUUUCAGUUCAGUCGCACCCAAUUCAGCAUUGCCCGUACGGAUUCGAGCGCAGUUAUCGAGGAGGAGUUUCCUUAAGAAUAGAACCAAUCACCGACUCCUCAAACCCAUCCGGAUAUGCGAUUUUCAUGAGGUGCAAACAAGAACCCUCUGCCAUAAGUGGCAUGAUCACCCAAAGGUUUCUUUCAACGACAAAUGAACAAAACGCCCUCACGACAUUGGGAUGAUCUAUUAAUCUCAUCGUCUGCGCCUCCCUCCGGAUAUCCUCGAAAUUGCUAUUGCACCGAUCGAGAUCCAAGCACUUGACGGCGACGACUUCAUUGAAAGGGAGAUAGAUCGCUCUGUAAACCGUUGCGCUGGCGCCAUAUCCGACCUCUUCCAGAAGCUUGUAGUCGUUCGGAUUCGCCGAGUGAAGCCUCGAAUUGCUACCCAUCCUCCCCAUCUGUUCGAGGACUUGUGCUUCAGAUAUGUCGUUUUGAGGCUACGGGCUCUGCGUUUGGGCUGUGUGCCAGUUUGGGCUUAGUGUUGCUUUGGAGAGAUCUAGGUUUGGUUGAAGAGGUACGGUGAAGCCAUGGGCAAGGGAGAUGACGAAUUGGGCUUGGAGGCUGACACUUGGGCCUGGAUGGCCUCCUUUUGAGAGGCUUGCUGCUGAUGGAUAUACAUAUAUAUAUUUGUAUGUAUAUGUAUGUAAAAGAAAUCUUUUUUUUUUUUUUUAAUUUUUUAAUUUUUUUUUUUAUGUGACUGAACUCGAAAAAAUUGAACAUUCGAGCUGCCUACGUACCCCUCCAAAGAAGAGAUCAAGUCGCAACGUAGUUCAAAUACAUUUUUGGUAUUUUCUUUUUGUGUCGUUUGCAGUUUUAACUCAUGCAGGCAAGGAGUGUUGGUGUCGUUUGCAGUUCCAACUCUUGCAUACAAGGAGCGUUGGUGUUGCCUUUUAUGCUCGUGUAGGCCAGGAGCGUUGGUUCGUGCAGUUUAGGCUCGUGCAGGCGAGGAGCCUUUGGUGUCGUUCGCAGUUUCAACUCGUGCAAACAAGGAGCAUUUGGUGUCGUUCGCAGUUUCAACUCGUGCAGACAAGGAGCAUUUGAUGCCGUGUUGCAGUUUAGGCUCAUGCAGGCGAGGAGCGUUGGUGUCUUGUAGUUUAGGCUCUUACAGACAAGGAGCUUUGGUUCGUGCAGUUUAGGCUCGUGCGAACAAGGAGCAUUGUUGGUUCGUCAAGCGAUCCGAGAGAGUUGUUCCUCACAAUCUUCAUAGCAAGGAGCCUUGACCGCGUGAUUGAAGAAGUCUUCGGGUAAAAAGUCGCGCAUCGUGAUGGCAACAGACAAUCUUUGUGUCGUAGUUUCAUCAUCUUCAACACGUUCACGUUGCUUUGAAGGUUGACAAUAGCUGCUUUGCCCCCUUUUCAAUUGGCGGACUUGUGGAGGAGACGUAUGCUUCUUGUGCAAUUUCUUAGGAGUGACUUGAGUCCAUCCUUCAAUUUUGCUUGUCUUGGACGAUGCCCCCAGCGGUUGAGGUGAAAACUUUGAGUCGGAAGAGCCAGAAGUGAAGGUGGUAUAGUUUGACUUUGCCACUUCGUCAAGAUCUAGCUCGAUGAUUCCUUUCUGAGCCAGCUUCAUGAUGAGAUCUUUCAGCACGAAACAUUUUUCUGUCGGAUGACUGAUGAAGCGGUGGAAUUUACAGUACUUUGGACUGUCGGUGCGAUUCAUCUCUUCUGGCCGUUUGCACUCAGGCAAACCAAUCACCUUCUUUUCCAACAGGUCAUCCAGUAUGGCAACCACAUCAGAGUCGGGGAAUGGAUAAGUCUUCUCCUCAAGCUCCUUUAAAGUGCGUCUACGCAUUUCUUGAUCACGAAAAGCUUCGGUUUGAAUCGCCUUGCCUCGUGUGGAUAUUUUGACGGGAGAUGUGUUGACCGUCAUCGCUUCCUUGGUGGGUUUCCAUGCAGCCUUUUCCACCUUUGUCCCAAGAACUUUGUCGUUCUUGUAGUCGGCGAUUGGUUCUUUCUUCCCAUGAUGGGCGAUGCUCAACUCCAUGUCAUGGGCGCGAGUGGCCAAUUCCUCGAAGGUCCGCGGUUUAAUGCCUUGAAGGAUGUAUUGCAAACCCCAUUGCAUGCCUUGGAUGCACAUCUCGAUUGAAGAGGUUUCCGAGAGCCUGUCUUUACAGUCGAGGCUUAGAGUGCGCCAUCUGUUGAUGUAGUCAAUGACUGGCUCGUCCUUCCACUGCUUUGUGCUUGUUAGCUCUAGCAUGCUCACAGUGCGGCGAGUGCUGUAGAAGCGGUUGAGGAAUUCCCGCUCCAAUUGCUCCCAGUUGUUGAUGGACUCAGGCUCUAGGUCAGUGUACCACUCAAAGGCGUUUCCUUUUAGUGAGCGCACAAACUGCUUGGCGAGGUAGUCCCCUUCGGUCCCUGCGUUGUUGCAAGUUUCAACAAAGUGGGCAAUGUGUUGUUUCGGGUUUCCCUUUCCAUCAAAUUGCAUGAACUUUGGCGGUUGAUAACCCUUCGGCAUCCUUAAGGCGUCGAUUUUCUUUGAAUACGGCUUCGAGUACAACCCGGAGGUAUUUGAGCUCCCUUCGUACUGUGCCUUGAUGGUGUUGGUGAUCAUCUAUUGCAGCUGCUGGAUAGAAAGAGAUCCCAUGAGUGCCGCUGCUUGGUCUGGCUCCGGCUUUGCAUCGUUUUUCUCCACCUGAGGCUCAUCUUCUUCGUCAUCUCUUCUCUUUAGUGGAUCAUUCUCUGGGUCGGGUUUAUCGCCGUCCUGCGCCUUUAGUCGAUUGACGAGUGCUGCAAUUUGCAAGUCUUUUUUCUUCCACCGUUCGGGUCAGCCUUGCGAUUGCUUCAUUCAUCUGAGCCAGUUGUUCUUCAACGGAGGUAACGCCGAUAGUCAUGACUUGUGCGACCAAUAUACGUGACUUUCCUUUAGACAUCCAGGAUGCUGAUGAAGAACGUCGUUGGCUGCUUUGGGAUGUCAUCUUAUGUGCCUCAGCAUCAUGCUUCGGUGCCCCCAGCGAGGUCAGGUUGAUGACAGACUCGCACCUUGGAUGCUCCCCUUGCUCUUUUAGCGGCACCAAUUUUGAAGUAGCAUGUUGGGGAGCGGUUGUGGCGCCAAUGGAUUGUCUGUUUGCGGCAGAAGUGCUUAGGAUCCUUCCCUCAGUGGUUGCGAGAAUGGCUUGUCCUUUGCUUGAUGCCAUUGACUUUGAGGUGUGCUUGGAUUCCUUGAACGAAGAAAGAGAUGAGAGGUAGAGAUUGUCCCACCGGGCGUGCCAAUUUGUGAACACGGAAAAUUCCUGAAACGAAAGAGACAAGAACGAACGUGCACAAACAAAUAUUAUGUAUUUGAUGAUUUUGGGUUACAAUCUCUCUCUAUUUGAUCCUCUGAUUCAAUCUCCGUAAGGUGUGUAUUUGUGGAUGUGUGAUUGAUCCAAAGGGCCGUUGGGCUUGAUCUAAGGAUGAACGUUCUUCAAGGGCCGUGGACUUGAUCUUGAAGGUGGAUUUGAGCGGAUCUUUAAAGGGGCUUUUGGGCUUGAUCUUGAAGAACGGUUGGAUGUGUGGAUUUGUCGAAGUUGUUGAUCCAAAGGGCCGUUGGGGCUUGAUCUUGGAUGAACGGAUGAUGAACGAUGGUGCUUUCUUCAAGGGCCGUCGGGGCUUGAUCUUGAAUUGGUGGAUGGUUGAUCCAAGGGCCGUCGGGGCUUGAUCUUGGAAGAACGAUGAACGAAGAACGAAGAACACUUUCUUCAAGGGCCGUCGGGGCUUGAUCUUGAAUUGGUGGAUGAUUGUUGAUCCAAAGGGCCGUUGGGGCUUGAUCUUGGAAGAACGAUGAACGAAGAACAAAGAACGCUUUCUUCAAGGGCCGUCGGGGCUUGAUCUUGAAGGUGGAUGAUUGUUGAUCCAAGGGCUGUCGAGGCUUGAUCUUGGAAGAACGAUGAACGAAGAACACUUUCUUGAUUCUUCGGGAACCUGGACGCUUGAGAGCUUCGGAGUUUCAGAGCUUCAGAGCUUCAAGGUGUAAUAUGAAUUGGUCCCCCCUAAAUGAAUGAAAUGGGCUUGUAUUUAUAGAAUUUUCCAAGGCCUAAUUUUGAAUAUAAUAUCCCAGAUGAAAUAAGUCGUUUCUGCCAGGUGUUGACACGUGUCCUAUUUGAUGACUUUUCCAACUCAUUUCAAUUUUCGUUUAGUCACACGCUACGUGUAAAAUUUAUGUAAUACAUGAGCGUUGACACUUUGAUUUAUCGGUCAACAUUUAUUUACCGAAAUUUCGAUGUCUACAAAACUAAUAGAUAAUUGACUAAAUAAACAUCCUGCAAAGUUUCAAUAAAAAUUUCCAAGUUUUUCUUACAAUUUCUGUGGUUUCCAUAUUAUUUUUAUCGAUAUCGAUAAUAUCCCGAUAUUUCAAUCGAUAUUUCCGUGUUUUUGGACUACCGAUAUUUCCGAUAUCAUCGAUAUUUUAUACCUUGGCGACGGGGGACUUGCCGACUGGUGCCACCGUGGACGUUGGGUCUUUCGAAAUGUGGUGUAAUGUUAUGAUCCCACAUCGGCUACACAAGAAAUUGUGUAGUGGUACUUAAGUGCAAGGGGUCCUCCCACCUAUUGGACUAGUCUUUUGAGUUGGGCUCUUCCCUUAGGCUUGAGUACCUAACAAACCCAUAAAUCAAAGAAAUCAAAAUCCACCCAGAAUCAAAGAAAUCAAAAUCCAUCCAGAACCAAAGAAAUCAAAAUCACACACAGAUAUACAAGGUGUACAGUACUGACAUGCCUUAAAUGAUAUUAUUCACAAGAUUUAUAAAGCUCAUGUCGUAAUACUUGUGCAGAAUCUAUCAUUCACGGCGUCACUUUUGUGCAAGUUGUAAAUAAAAUUAUUCACAAUUUAAACAUUGUGUGUCGUAUUUGACAAUUUAUACUACGCACUUUCUUUUUCUUUUAAAGCUUUGCGUUAUGUCGUGAAGUUGACUUUCUAUAUAUUUGGGUUGUACCUUUUAUGGCGCAAAUAACACGUCGUAAAUAAUGGCUUUUAGCACAGAAGUUUUGUGGUAAAGAAGCCCGCGCACUAAUUCAUUCUCGCGCCUUCUCUUUUUUAUUUAGCCGCUUCUUUUUUUAUUUUUUAUUUUUUUUGUUAAAUUCCCCUCAAAUGUUAAAAGAAAAAUUAAUGAAAUAUUUGAAAACUUUGAGUUUUAACGAUAAGGAUAAAAUAAAAGGUAAAAUGAAUAGUACCAAAAUUGACUUUUUAGUGUUAAAAUAUGAUUUUUCGUUAAAGUGAACAGUGCCGAAAGUUUUUCGUUAAAGUUCAAUGUUAAAAGGUUUGUAUUUUCUUGGUAAACUUGAAAGACAAACAUUGCAAUUGCAUUUUCAUUUACCCAAUAUUAAUUGUCGAGAGCCCACCCCCUUCCCUUCUCACUGACAUCGUAACUCUCUCCUCUCCAUCGAUCUCGCUCCAUCUGCUCGCCGUCGCUCUAUAUGCUCGUCAUCACCGUCGAUUCGUCUGCUCGUCGUCACCGUCGCCCAUCUGCUUUCCGUCACCGUCGAAGUGCCCCGCCAUUCAAGAUCUGAAAUCCCCAAUACAGGGUGCUUUGCGGCAUUUCGUUCUCCAAAACUUUAGGUAUGCUCUCAAUCUGUAUCAACCCUAUCCUGUCCCCUCUAGAUUUUUGUUUAGUCUCAACUUUAUGGUGCUUUUCUUAGAUUUGUUCUAUCACUGUAAUUUUAAGGGAUUUUAGGUAAUAAAUUUGGUUGAGAAUCUCAGUUAGGUUUGUAAUUGUUUUCUUGGUUGCCUGGGUUUGAGGAUGAUUAAUCCACUUUCUGAAGUUUAAUUACUUUGAACUUUGAUUUGUGGGAAACUGCAAUCAAAAUGUUGCUAUGGCUUUAUAGUUAGAAUCGAUUGUGAGUCUUUGCACCACAUCAAGCAAUACCCCGGUGUUGUAAUUCCGAGGUUUGUAAUUGCCGCUGUUAAUGAUGGUUUGGUCCAUCCUUUUUAGGGAGAUGACUUCAAUGAUUGAAACUAGUUUAUCAUUAUUUCAGAACUCUGUAAUACGAGACAUGAUAUUCCAAAAAAUAUUUGCAUGAAUAUAUGUGCAUUGACUGACUAUUUUUCAGUCUUUGAUAGUGGAGAUAACUCUUUCAGGUCAUAUGUAGUUCUUACAGAAAUUGUAUGGUAUUUUGGUUGGUUUUGUGUUCUGGUUGUAGCAAACUGGUGGAUGCCCUGAGAUGAGUAGUUAUCUACAAAGUGGAUGGAUCCUGAAGAGUACAAAGUCUAAGGCAUUUUAUGUAAAGGUAAAUCCUGUUACUUUUAAUUACUUAUAUGUGAAUGCCUGCCAUUUGAAGUAAAAAUUCUUUUAGCCAUUACAUUCUUCAUAAAGAUCUUUAUAUGCUCAAAAGAAGGAUUUUUUUUAGAUGCCAUGUAACUGGUGGUGGCUAGCCUCUUCUUUUUAAGACUCUAGUGUGUUUCAAUUACACUAGUCAAUCGUUCUUAUGUGUAUUAUGUUUUGUUGAUAAGAUGGCCAAGACAAAGUUGUAGAGCCCUAGUAGCAGGGUGCUGUUGGCAUUUAUAUUUUUCUUUUGAAGGGGUGUUUAUUGCUUUUAUACUUUCAUUGUUUACUCUCAUACAUACAAUACUGAAAAAUAAGCAUGUAUUGACGCGUAAUUUUAGAUCCAUAUUUAUACAUAAUUUUGAUUACAUGUCCAAAUUACCCAAGAUUCUUUUUCCUUUACAAAUUUGUGGAGUGCAUUACAUGGAUAUGAUUCAUGUAUGAAAUACACAUGACUCUCACUAAUUUAAGGGCAGCAUCAUUGACUGUACAGUUUUCAAUUCUUUAUAAUCAUGAGUAUAGACAUUUUUUAAUUCUUUAUAAUCAUGAGUACAACAAUAGUUUCUAUAACAAAAUUCUGUUAAAUAUGUAAUAUCAGUAUUUGUUUUCCAGGUUCAUUAGUUGAGGAUGAUUUUUCCAAGAAAGAAAAGAUCGCGGCUUUCAGGCCGAUCUAAAGAACAUUAUGUUGAUAUUGCACCUGAGAUCUUACAAGAAGAGGACGAAGAAGUACCAGAUGACCUAUUUACAGAGGAGUCGAAUCAAACUAAAAGAAAGAGGGGUCCUACUAGAAUGAAGACAAUUUCCACAAAUGAUGGUCAACGAAUUGAGAUUGAAUGGAAUGAAAACGGCCAGUUUAUUGGUGACGGAUCUAUUGACUUAUCUUCUUACAUGGGUUCUUUGGUCCGAGAGGUUGUCCCUAUAACAUUUGAUACUUGGAAGGAUGUUCCUAAGAAAACAAAGGACAUCCUAAUCAAGGUAAUAUGCAGAUAAGUCAAUUCUGAUCCCUCUACUUCAAGGUGAACAAUUUAUAGUUUAUAAAUUUUACUUGUGUUAAUAUAUAUUUUUUGGUAAAUGUUAUGGAUAUUUUAUCAAAUCAGAGAGUAAAUUCGUAUUAAGUGAAGAUUGGCAAAGAACAUAUUGUUUUGAAAGGAUGAAUAAUGUUUGCAGAUCACAUAUAUCAGUAGUUGUGAAGUCCAUAAGAGAAGCAAGAAAUUGGAAAGCAAGGCUUCGUCUAAAACCAAAUAAUGUCAAAUUAAUUCAAGAUUGGAAGACUUCCCUUGCAAAGUGUAAGCUCAUUUUCCUUUUCUUUUAUUUCUAAGAUUAGUUAUCUUCUUUUGAGUUCAAAAUUGGGUCAGAGAAAUCAAACUGAUAGUAGUUAAAAGUCUAUUUCAACACCAAGCCUUGUCUACACAAGAAUUUGGUGUUAGUUAAACAUGUGUAUGAUUCUAUCUUGAUUGCAUGUUAAUUUAGUUUGAAGAUAGAUUUGGUACAUGCUAGCUAAUUGAUACGUGAUAUGAAUCUUUGGUUUCCUUUUGAUAGGACAAAAGCGAAACAUUCAGAGAGAUGAAGUCUAAGCAACUCCGCACACAUGUAGUCGCAAGGGAUAUGGUAGGUUGGCGGAGGAUUUGGUAAUUACAUUUCAUUCUAGUGCCUUCUUUUCUACAGGACAAGAACAAUUUACUAAUUUUAUUCUGUGUUCUACUGUGUGUUUACUACAUUUAUGUUUCUAUUUUGUAGAAAAGAAAAAGUGUAGACCCUUCUCUAGUUUCUAGAGGUGAUGUUUGGAUUGCAGCACAUACUAAAAAGGGUGGUGGACCAUCCAAUUUGCUUGCUGCAGAGACUAUUGUAAGUAAUUUUUAACCAUUUAUUUCUUCUUGUUUGUUGAUAUGCAAUGAUGAAUGAGGUCUUAACUUUGAUGUGCAACGUUAGGAAAAAAAUUAAGCAAUAUGGAAAUGGAUCAUCAUCUGGUUUUCGAGGUGACGUUCUUUCCAAAGUUUUUGGUGCUGAGCGACAUGGUCGUGCAAGAGGAGUUGGAGGUGGUGUUCCUCCUACAAAGCUUGGAAUAUUUUCACAACAAAAAUUGCGUAAUCACCAAAUGGAUGAAAAGGUGCACAAUUUAACUAAUCAGGUCAGAGCACUGACAGAAUUGGUGUAUCUUUUUAUGAAAAAUCAGGUUAGUGAUUUAAUAACAUUGGUAUCAUAUUGAAUAUUUGUGAAAUCAGUUUUAGUGACACAUCAAAUCACAGGGUAAUGAUCUACCAAGUGAGGCAUCUCCUGACACACAGGUUGCAGCUCCUGAGGCACAUGUUGAUACUGUCGCAAGAACUGAAACUUGUCUUUCCCAUUGCGCAACAAAUGAAUCGUGGUGGCGAGGUUGAUACACUUUUUCAAUGAGCCUUCUAACUAUUAAUGCUCAUUGACUCUGUUAAAAGCUCUGCCAUUUUCAAUCUAACUAGACACUAGAAAUGAUCAUUGACUCUGUUAAAAGUUAUGAUGUUUUGGUCCUUCUCCAUAGUUGCGCAUCUACUGAUGUCUAUUUUUUUUCAAAUACUGCAGGUUAUUUCUGAAAACAUUGAAACAUCGUGGUGUACCAGAUGGUUUGAUUAUAAGACACCUUCCUUUUGGUCCACCAACUUAUUUAUAACUGCUAAAUGGUACGUAGUGUGAUAAUUUUCAAAUAUUUUGAUAUUAAGACAGGUGUAGGACAACAUAGAAAUUCUUAGGGCCUUCAGCAACAAAAUUAUGAAAAAGUGAGUGAGAUACAAUUAAAAAAAUGAAAGAGAAGGAUCAUGAUUCAUGAUCUAAAGGUUUGAAUAGGGUAGAAAGGAUUUAGUUUCGUUGUUAAAAUCGAUUGUGAGUCUAUUGUUAUUGUAUUGUCAAUUUGUUUAUUUACUUGAACUUCCUAGUAUCAAUUUGGUUCGAUAUAUCUAGCACCACCAUAGAUAUAUCUAGUAUCAAUUUGGUUAGAUAUUGUCAAUUUGUUAUUGUAUUGUCAACUAUAGAAUGUGCAUCAGUUGUAAAAGGAACAAAACAAUUCAGAUUUUUUGUUUAUGUCCAAACUUAGAAUUGUAUUGUAAUUGACAAUUUCUACUAAUUAAUUUAAAGUAUUUGGAGUUUAAUAUGUUUAUGAUCAAUAUUGUUAUCCUUCUAUUGUAUCAGUUUAGAUGUUAUGAAGUGAGGUCUGUCUAAAAAUGAUAUGCUAAAUAUAGAUGUAAAUUACGGCAUCUAAAAUCAGCAAUAAUUGUUGAUGGUAGUCUUUUUUUACGAUGCACGAUGUAUGCCGUAAUCACCUUCACAAUAUUACGACACUCAACAAAUGCUGUAUCAAAUAUAAAUUACUGCACACAAGUAUGUCGUAAUUGUUUUUCAGUAUUACGACACCCUAUUAACGCUGUAACUAAUACCAAUUAAGGCGCGUAGGACAUGCCUUAAGAACAUUUAUGGCGUGUUUUACUUAAAUUAUUCACUACUAUUAGAGUACGUCGUAUUUGUCAAAACAUCUUUUACAACAGGGGCUUUUACUGCUUGGAGGCUCACGUCGUGAAUUUCCAUUUACGGCACCCUUUGUGCGCCGUAAAAGGCCAAUUCUAUUGUAGUGAUCCAUGGGUACAUUUUUAAUCUACAUGUUUCGUUUUAAUAUAUCUAUUGCUAUAAUAUGUUUUGGUUGGUUCAAAUUCGUUUUACAUAAAUAUAUGGGUACAAAGUUUUUGGAGAAUAUUAUGUAAAAUGGUUUUUAAGGUUGUUGCAUUUUAUGUACCCACAUAUGCAUGUCUAUAAAACAAUGUGGUAUGAUGUACAUUCUUUUCCUUGAGUUUUUAAAUGUACCCAUGAGUUUUCUUGUAAAUUCAGUAUGUAUCCAUAUGCUAUUUAUGUUAUGGGUACAUAAAUUAUUUUUGGUCUAAGUUGGUGGGUACAUUGCUUUUGUAUGUAUGAAUUCAUUGGGUACAUUAUUUCCCUUAAUACUACUCAAUAAAAUUCACAAAAAUAUGUGCAGUGUGCAUGAAUUUUUAUUGUAGAAAUUGUUUUUUUUUAAUUUUUAAUUUUUAAGUCUCAUAAUUCGUGAAUUUUGUACAUAUUGAUCCCAUAAAUUUUUGAAUUUUAUUAAAUUUCUUUUAGACUUGAUCGAUUGAUUGAAUCUCAUAAUAAUCCCUUAAAUGUUCCAAUCAAUAUUUUAAAUUACAGCUUUUUAUUUAAGAUUUCAAAAAGAUGACAUGAAAAUAUAGUAAUACUAAAAUUUUAUUUUAAAUUACAUUUGUGUAACAAUCAAUGGUAUGUUAAAACUGGGCAAAAAAAAAAGGUAUAUUAAAAAAUUAUAAUUUAUUCUUUUUUUCAUAACUGUCUUCUGCUUAGAUUAAAUUUUUACCAAUUUGGGGGAAUUAGUUCUUACCAAUAUAUAUGCACAGUAUUUGCUUUUUACCUGGGCUUAACACAUGAUUAAUUACUUUCCUACCUGCUAACGCGUUGAUUUGCGCAUCCAAAGUAUUAUCAAAGUCACUGCCACCAAAAAGGUGCCCACUCCACAACCUUUGGUUGAACCAAAGAACAUCACAACAAUAAGGAAAUCGUUAAAUCUAUCUCCGCAACAUUUUUAUUAAUCAUUAGAUAGAUUAAACGAUUCCCCUGUUCAUAUUGUGUUCUUUUGUUGAACCAAACCAUGUCAACAAAAUAUAUCUAUGGUUAAGCAUCUAGAUUCAUGCUUUUGGAUGUGCAUCUUAAACCCCUCAAUGAAUAGCCAAGCAAUUUAUCAUGUGUUUACAGUAGGUCAAAAGAAGAAAGUGUUUGUCUAUAUAUUGGUAGGAACCAAUUCCUCUGAAGAGGAGAGAUGGAAGUGAUGAUAAUACUUUAAAUAAUCAAAGCCCAAACAUUUUAUCAAAUUUCAUCUCUGUACUCCACGGAGACACUAAAUGAGACAUAUCUGGUCCAUCUCUGAACAUCUUUUCUUACCGUUCUUACAAUAGAAAGGGCACAAAAUUGACUUACACAGUCUUGCACAAUACUCACUUUGCUUCAACCCAUAUUUCACUUUGUCAAAUCAUACACGUUCCUGCAAUAGGUGAACUCAUAUGUAUCUACCACUUCUUGCUAAUUUUAAUUUUUCCAUUCCCAUUUUUGCUACAAGUUUCACAUAAAUUUUUUAUUGCACUUGUCAAUUCUUUAUACUUUUUUAUUGUAUUUUUUUUUUGUCUUUUUUUUGUAUUAAACAAUUACAUGUCCUCCAAAAGUUUUGCUUAUUGCCCUAUUUCAUCAAGCUCGGUAUAAAUAGAUCUUAAUUUUUUACUACAGUUAAAUACAUGGACAUGCCUCCACAAAUACAAAUUAGUUCUUGCUUAAAUACUUUGUGUGUUUACAUAGAAAAUGUUCCCAUCGUCUACCAAAAUCCUCCACACAUGAAAACAAAAAUUCUUACUCAAAAAUACAUAUUACAAUACCACCAUAUCUGUUGUUUUUUAUUAAAUUAACACACUGUUUUCAAUUUUAUCUUUAACACAAAAGAAAAUGCUCUUACACAAUAUGCUUGUUUACAUUUUAUAACUUAUCUACCACAUGUUAAUCGCAAUUAUAUAAAUAGGAAAACACGUGUCAAUAGAAGUGUGAUGCAUGCUACUUCGUUAACAAUAGUGGCAACUAAACAAUUAAAUAAUUUGUUUCAAUUAGUUAGUACAUUUUAUAAAUUUCUUAAUUAGAACUGUUUCAGUAUAUUCAAUACAUUUUUAAACAACUUUCCAGUUAGUUGCCCAAACUAAUUAUUCCAGCUUAUUCAUAGUAUAAUACCAACAAUUUAACAACCAAUGAUACUUCGUUUAACAUAAACUUCAUUUGGAAAAAACAAAAAAAUAUCUUUUUCUCUGCUGAAAAAUCCAACAGAGUUAUUGAUGCAGAUCAGUUAUACCAACAAAUUACCAUAGUUUACCCAAUGCUAUACAGGUUUGACUUUUGUUUAUAUUCUUGGAUCUGUUGCUUGGUUGUAUAAUUUGGUUGUGUGUUUUGUUUCAGGACAAUUUGUUCUUCGUUUCUUGAGGCUUUUGUGUGUAGAUUUGAAACCGUUUAGCUUUCAAGCCGUGUAUACUCAAGGUAAAUAAUUUCGUUUUUUUCUUUGUAACCUUUUUUGUAAGAAAUUUUUAUUUAAUGUUGUGAGAGUUGUGUUUUCUAGAGUAUGAAAAUUGAAUCUUUGUGAUCUUAUAUCCUUAGAUAUGUUUCUUGGUUAUAUGAUUUGGCUGUGUGCAUUGUUUCAGGACAAUUUGUUCUUCGUUUUUUGGGGCUUCGGUGUGUAGCUUUGAAGCCUUUUGUAGUCAACAUAAAUAAUUUUAUUUUUCUUUGUUUCUAGUCUUCUUUGAAAGAAUUUCUUAGUUAAUAUUCUGAGAAUUAUGUUUACUAUAGUAUGAAAAUUGAAUCUUUGUGAUCUUGUAAGUGAUGUAACGUCAUUGCAACAUGUAUGACUGCCAUUAUCGAACAUGAAGAGCUUUUUGAUUUUUGUACUCCGUCCUUUCAUACGAUCUGACUCAAAAAUUGUUUCAUCACAGGUUCUAACAUGAUUUUUGCGACGUCUUAUGAAAAUACAAUGUCACUUCUGGUAUUCCAACUUAAACAAAUUACAAGGGAUGUCUAGUUUUAAACCUGCAGUUAGUAUAUACUAAAACGACGGUUUUGGCCCUGCUCUCGACUUCUUCAGAAACCUCGAGAAACUUCAAACUGAGAAAGCUUCUCCCUUCCAUCUCUGCUACGCGAUCUCUGCUUUGCGAUCUCUGCUUCCUCCGUGAUUUCUUCCCUCCUGAUCGACAUCUAUUCGAAUUGAAAACCUUCUGGAGCUCUCUUCCCCAAAUUUCAGCAGCAACUUUGCUCCAGAUCUUUCCAAUUGAAAUUCCUCUCCUUCACAUUUUGCAUAUUGAAUUUCGCAUCAUUAUCAUCUCCCUAGAACCUAGGAGUUUGGUUCGGUUUCGAGUUUUCCGACGGAAAUCCGGCGACAGCGGCCAUCGAGGUUGGUCUGAAACUAUUCCUCAUCACCACAAGUACUUUCUACACCUAUUACACUUUAGAAAAAAUUUCAUGAUUUGGUGGAAUCCAAUUUAAUGAUUAGAAAAAUUUUCAUUAAUUUUCUGGGUUCGUGGGUUGGAGGUGGAUUAGAAAUUUUUUCAUUAUUUUUCUGGGUUUGUGGUUUUUUUCCAAAACGUUUUUCCUUUCUACUAAUCCAAGUUCCUUCACAUCAAUCUCUCUGUUUCGUUCUUGAUCUUCCGCGAGUAGAAUACCUCUCCUUGCUCUCGAGCGCGUGGGCAGUCGCUCCAAGGCAGCCCAUGACGUCAUUUUCCGAUUCGACUCGGAGGAGGUUGGCUGCUCUUCUUGGCUGAGCUUCAUGGCUGGCCGAAUUCCCCUAUUCCCUUCCUCUUAUACUCUUUUGUAUUCGUUCACCAAAACAAUAGGAAAACGUCUCCGUCUGUUUGAUUGACGGCGAAGAAAAAAAGACGGAGAUAAAAGCCUGACGGAAGCUGAAAGCUUGGACUCUGUUUGUAUUUUUAAUGGAUUUUCAGAACACAGGUCAAGAAUACUGCGAUUUGAGAAAGAAAGAAAGAACCACGUUGACAUAAUAUAUUCACAAUAGGCGUACAUAAAGCUUUACUGUGGUUCCAUUUUUUUGCAUAUUUCAAAGGCUCUGAAUUGUUAAGGGAAUUAGCCUUUUGUUUUAGGAAGAACUUGGAACCCCCUCCGUCCAUUCUAUUCCCGAUGGAAUUAACACUUAGAUAGUACUAUGACAAUGUGUCAUUAAUUGAUGCAUACCUGUAUAAAUUUAGGCCAAGUGUUUUAUACACAAAUUGAUACAGAUUAAGCUUCUGGGUCGAAAUCAUAUACCGGUGAGCUAACUACACAAUGAUACAUUCUUAUCUGUUAAUUAUCUUUGGUUACCAGCUAUCCAUGUUGCUGACAUAUUAAACUACACAACAUCUAUUGUAAUUUAUGUCUUAUUAGUAUCAUCACUUUUGUUCUUUAUUUCAAUGUCUAACAUAAUGAUCUGGUUUCAAUUUGCUACAGGCAUUAUUUCCAGACAAUAGCUAUGGUUUUGAUUGUAGCGGUGACUGAAAAAUUAUUCCGAAACUAACAUUUGAGGAAUUCAAGGUUUGUUAGUUAAUUUGUACAUCAGAAUACCAUGACAAACUAUGAAGUUGUAAUUGUUGACCUUACAAUGUAUCUUUUUUGGUUUGGAGCAUUAGACUUAUAUGUGUUGCUUUCACUUCAUGAAGGCUAACUCUUUAUUUUAGGCCUUAGAAUAUAAUUUUUUGGAGAAUCUACAUUGUUGAUAAUUUUUUGAACAAUAUUAUCCCCAAAAUUUCUCCGCAUGUUACCCUCAACGUAGACAUCAUAUAACCAUCAUUGAACUUCUGAACCAAAAAUUUGAGUUUUAUGAUUAUAACUAAACGUCUAUAAACACAUGAUACAGAUUGAGACGAAUGUCAAAUUUAAAAUGGCAUUAAUCAGGACAGCUGCAAACUCUGAUUUGCGGCCUUUGAAAUGGAGCAGUUACUUCUUGCUUCACUUCAACAGCAUAGUCCAGCUUCUAAAUUCAGUUCUCAGGUAUGAGGUUUCUCAGUUACCUCUUUUUUGUAAUAAAACAUUUGAUCAGUACUUGCCAGGAUAUCCAAUUAAUUAGGUCAGUUUUUGUUAGCGGUAAUAAUUUGUUUUUGUAGCUUUAUAUGUGUCUCUGUCUCCAAAUAUGAUGAUCUCUUAAUUUGCUUCUAUAGCUUUUGUAAUAUAAUGAUCUCUUAAUUUGCUUUUGCAUAUCUUCUUUGCUUCCUCUGCUAGCUCUAUAUGAGAUUCCAUCUCCAAAUAAUUAUUCCUUAUUUCCUAUUUUUACAGGAAGCAAAUCAUUGAAUACACAUGGAAAAUUAAAAGGGUUUUAGUUUUUGGAGUAGUUUAAAUUUUUUGUUUGUUAUUGCUUGUAUUGCUGUUAAAUAUUUGAUGGGUAGUUUGAAAUGGGGAACUUGGUUGAUUGAGUAUUAACUUUUAUUAAAUUAAUAUUCUUAUUCAAUAUUGAAUUAAGACUCCUCUUAUUAAAUUAAGACUCUUAGAGUGCGUUUGUUGCGCCAGACUGUCUCGGACUGGACUAGCUGCCGGGACUAAGCUGGACUGGCUUAGACUGGACUAAGCUAGACUAACUUAGUGAAGCGUUUGGUGUAAUGUCGGACUAAGAAGCAGGAUAAGAAAAACAGUACUGUUCACCAGAUUUGUGUUUGCUUAGACUAGGAUUACAAAUUUUUGCCAUUGUGUAAUAGAGUAAUGCUACAAAUCUCAUGAUAUGGGUUAAUUGGAGCAUAUUUUUGCCAUGUAUAUUAUGAAUCUUAAAAAAAAUUGACAAUUGUUUUGUUUCUAUUACCUGCUAAUAGAAUUGGGUUUAAUUUGCAAAUGUAGCUUAGUUUAAACUCUAUCACCCAACAGAAGAAAAAUAAUAGUGCCCAAUACAUGCAACUUCAACAAAUACAAGUACAUAAGAAGAUCUCCAUAAUUUAGAAAAUCCUAGUUAACAUUAGUUAACAUUAGCCAAAAUAGAUCUCCAUAAUUUACAAAAUGGCUAGUUAACAUAAGCCAAAAUACUAGUGCAAAGCUAAGUUAUAAGCCAUAACAUAAGAUUGUAUGAUUAAUAAAAUACAUCCAUGUUAACAUUAAUAAAAUACAUCCAUGUUAACAUUAGCCAAAAUCCUCAUCCGCUUGCGUUGUCGCUUAAAAGCCUUUGGACGAACACUUUCUUGAGUUCCGGUUUGAUUGCCCUGAACACUCCCACAUUUUUUGGUUUAUCCAAAAUAAGAGACAAUGCAUCAAUUUGAUCCAUAGGAGAGAGACCCAUUACUUCAAGUUCAUUAGCUAUGUCAGUAUGAUCUGCAAUACCUUGAACUAAAGCUUCAGUUACCAUUUGCAUCCUCUUCCCACUUUCAACAUAAAAAUCUUUCAGUCCACUGAUAAUUGCCUCGGUUCCAUCACUUGAAUUUCCCACAGCUCUUUUCCUCUUUCUUUGGCUAUUUUCAGAUGGGGUGCUUUGUUGGCUUUGUUGGUUCAUUGAAGAAACAAAAUUUUCACCUCCAAUAUCACUUUCACCAACAUGAUCAUGACUUUGUUCCUCCACCAUUUGAGCAGGGGUUUCGGCUACAUUACCCGUAGCCCGAUCUUUUCCAAAUAUAUAUGCAAAUCUAUCAAACAGUGGAAAAGGUUUGCUUCUCCAUCCAUCGGCUUCUUUAUUUCUCUAAGAUUAUAUCAACAUAGCAAAACUAAAAUUUAGCAUGCGUAACAAAUAUAGCAGCAAGAAUAUAACUAAUGUAUAAAUAAAAUAGGAUAUGAACCUGCACAUAAGUUUGCCAUGAGUCAUCACUGUCAACUUCAACGCACUUUUUGACAUCAUUUCAUGCAAAUCCACUUGUGUUUAUCAUGUCAACGACCAUACUAUAUGUUUUUUUCCAUUUCUUCAACUUGGACUCAAUAUGUGGAUUUGCCUUUAUAUUUGAAUGAGGACAUAAAACAUUGACAACUUUUGCUAUUUCAACCAAAGUACCUUGUUUGAAAGCACCGGUGUCACACCGUUGCUUCCGAGCAACAAAAUCCUCAAGAACUCCUAGUAAUACUUCUUCCUCAAAUGCUUCCCAUUUACGCCUUCUUCCUUUUGGCUCUUGAGUAGCAUUCAAAAUAUUUUCGUUAUCCAUACCUAAACAAAAAAUAUUUUAAUGAAGGAAAAUACCAUACAAAUAAUCAAUUUGCAUAAUAUCCAAUCAACUUGCAUAAUAUCCAAUUAAUUUGCAUACCAUCCAAUCUUUGUGCUAAUAUCUAACAAAUGCAUGAUAAAAAGGAAUACUAAAAUAAAAUGUUAUCAUUAACACAUAUAGCUAGUUCGGUUGCUGGUUCCUAAUUGCUCUCCAUUCAUUAUACAUUUCCUGAGCCAUGUCAUUCCUCUUUGCAGUCCACUGGUCAGAUGUUUGAACACUACCAACAUAUUCACCUUCUUCUGUAUUUUGUCCAUCUUCUAUUAUUGGAAAAUUCUCCAUUGGAUCUACAGACAUCUCUUGCCUAAUAAGAUUGUGUAGUAGGCAACAAGCGGUAAUUAUUCGACCUUGUGUCCUUAUCGGAUAGAAAGAUGGACUCCUUAGUAUCGACCACCUUCCUUUUAGCAAGCCAAAACAGCGUUCAAUUACAUUCCUUGCCUUAGAAUGCUUCAUGUUAAAAUAUUCUUCCUUAUUAGAAGGUGUUCGUCCCUCCCAUUCAGAUAAAUGAUAAGGUAUUCCUCUAUAGGGUGCAAGGAAUCCUUCACCAUUUGUAUAACCACCAUCUACAAGGUAAUAAUAACCUAAUGAAAAAAAAAACAGACCUUAUUAGUGUUUUGUAGUUGACAAACAGAACUAGACCUAACUUACAAAGUUGAGACUAAGUAAUAGUCUUACCCGCUGGUACCUUAAAACCAUUAGGCCUAGUAAUUGCAUCAUGUAGCACUCUAGAGUCUGAUGCAGAACCCUCCCACCCCGUAAACACAUAUAUGAACUGCAUAUCUCCUGAACACACACCUAACACAUUAGUUGCGACUCGACCCUUUCUUGUUCGGUAUCUUGGUUUGUCAAUUUCAGGUACAUGCACAUCAAUGUGUGUUCCAUCCAAUGCUCCCAAGCAAUUCUUAAAAAAAAAAAAAAAAGUUUUUGUUAAUUUAUACAAAGGGAAUGAAGAGUUAAAGCUUAGGGAAAAUGAAAAAAAAUUCUCAUCAUACCUUAAAACAUCGCCACCUAGGAUCUGUAGAAUCAAUAGGCACAGGCUGAGGGACUUUUAGUAGGAUACCUUGUAAUCGCAAAAUUCCUUGCAAUACGAUAUUGAAAUACCUACUUAUAGUCUCUCCCGACCUAUAAAAUCUACCGCCAACACUACGAUUCUUAGUAUGAUGUGCUAAUAUUUGUAAAGUCAUACACACAUGCUCCUCUACAGACACCAAACCAUCAGUUUUUACCCUCCCAUCUUGACGAAGUAAGUCACAUAAUAUGCCAAAAGUCCUUCUAUCCAUUCUCAAUUCGUUGACACAUUCAGUAUCAGUAUUCCCUAUUAUACCAUUCAGAUAACACAAACUAAUCUCUCGUCUAAUAAGUGAACGGUUAGUCAAUGUGGGUCGUUCAACAUGUCUCUGUUUGCCACGUAGCAUCAUCAACACAAGAAUCGUACAAAUGCAAAUUGUCUCCAAAUAAGACAUCUCUAACAAUAAGAUCAAUAAAAGCUUCCUUCGAUCCAUAUCUAUCCAAACAAAAAAAAACAAAAAACAAAUUAAGGACAUUAUAUAUGUAAUAUUUACUGUUAUUAAGGGUUAUGGAAAUGAAGUGAUUAUGAUACGAAAUGAACUAGAUCAAAGUAACUAGCGAAGUCACAAUCCGAGGCAUCAAAUAUACGGGUGGUGUUGGAAAAAAAAAAGUUAUCAUUAACCCGAGGCAACAAAUAUACAGGUCAGAUGCACACACUGCAUACACACUCACACACAUACUCACACGGACAUACACACUAUCACACACGGACAUACACUCACACACACCCUACAUACAUACAUACAUACACACACACACUGCAUACAUACACACACACACACACUGCAUAUAUACACACACACACACACUGCAUACAUACACACACACACACACACUGCAUACAUACACACACACACACACACACACACACUGCAUACAUACACACACACACACGACAUACAUACACACACACACACACACACUGGUCAGAUGCACUGCACUCACACGGACAUACACACUCUCACACACUGACAUACAUACACACACACCCUGCAUACAUACACACACACACACUACAUACACACACACACACACACACACACACACUGCAUACAUACAUACACACGCACACACACUGCAUACACACACACACACACAUUGCUUUAUGAAAACCCCAAAUUCCAAAUUUGAAACCCCAAAUUCCAAAUUUCUAAUCUCAAUUUCAAACCCCAAAUUCCAAAUUUCUACUACAUACUUACAUACACACACACUGCUUUAUGAAAACCCCAAAUUCCAAAUUUCAAACCCCAAAUUCCAAAUUUCUAAUCUCAAUUUCAAACCCCAAAUUCCAAGCUUUAUGAAAACCCCAAUUUCUAAUCUCAAUUUCACCCAAAUAUCAAAACCCUAAAAUUUGUUCAACUGCAGAAUCAAAUAAAGCUCAAACCCAAAACAAAUCCGCCCAAAUCGACGAAAAAAAUCCACCCAAAUCGACGAAAAAAAUCGAACAAUCGAAGCUUACCAGACAACUGGAGGCAGAUGAGGGCGAGCAGAUCUGUUACGUGAAGACGAGGGAGUGGACGACGAGAGGAACAGAUGAGGAGCAUGAUGCAGAUGAGGGCGACCAGGAUGCAGCUGACGGCAAGCAGGAUGCAAAGAUAAGGAUGAGGAGGACGACGUGAGGGAGGAGGACGUCGACGACACUCUCUCCUAGGAUGAUCGAGGUUCUUUCUCGCAAGAGCGCAAUCGGAUGAGGAGGACGACGUGAGGGAGGAGGUUUUAUGAAUCUGGACGUUUUUGGGGUGGUUCGCUAAGAACUCCUAGCGAGGGUUUAAUCCGUGCGAGUCAGAUCUAAUCCCAUUAAACCUAAUCCUUGCCCCUACCAAACAUCAGACUACAAUACCAAUUAGUGGAGUCCAGAACAGUCCCCCCUAAGAAGGUCAAACAAACACGCCCUUAAGGCUCUAAUCUAAUGUUCAUGCUCAACAUCUCCUCUAUCUUUCUACGAUUGGUAAAACUUUUGUAUUAUUAUUCCAAUUUUGGUUACUGGGUUGUGGAAUUUUCCAUUUUUUUUCUCGGUAAUCAAUACUAUAUAUAUGCAUGACAAGUAUAAACAAUAUUUUGGGGCAAAUUUAGUUGUUUAAUUUUUAAUUUUUAUGUGACAGUGAGAUUAUGGUAGGAUUUCGUUUAGAUUCUGCGGCCCAAUGGGAGUCUCUGCUUUGAUAAGAUUGGGGUUGAUGCCAAGAAAGCCAAUAAGCCUACUGUGGACGCCGUAGCCGCCUGGCGCUGUUUUCCAAAAUCCUCUCUCACUUGGUUAAGCAAUUAAGACUUUUUGGUUCAGUUUUUAUUAUGCCCAAUUUUGUAUUUAAACCUUAAAAAAAUUUAAACUGAUUUGGGGAUACUGAAAUAGGCUGCAGAGCUGCCAUCCCUGAAUCAGAAGAUGUUCAGAAGGAAGAAGAAGAAGAAGAAGAAGAAAGUCGUGGAAUAUCAAAAGCUUUUAGCUUUGUGAAAGUAUGCUUUUUCCCAACUCACCUCUUGCUUUUGUUGCACUGAAUUGGUAGAUUGGGUUCAAAAAUAUAUAUAUGUGAUUUUUCGUGUAACUAUUUCUUUACAUAAUUACCAAUUGGAGGUGAUUUUAGAUCAUGUAACAUUUCCUCGCUAGAACCAAAGAUUGUCGUCGCUCAGAGCUGCGUUUCAUGAAACAAGUUCAUCUCCUGCCAAAUUUGUGUACCCACCUUUUAUUCAUGAGGGUUGGUGCUUGCUUGCAACACAAUUUGGUGUUAUUAAGUUUUGCGGUUUUACAAUUUGUUCAUGCUUAAACCUCUUUCAAAUUUUCAUUUCUGUGUAAAUCUUGCAGGUAGGACGACACACCUAUCUUGGCAAUGUCGGGAUGUCUAGGCUUGGUGGAGACGUGGUCUUAUGGAAGAGGUGAAGUAGCUUAGCUCGAUCUCAUUAGCUCUUAUCUGUUCUAUUAUGUUAAGAUCAAUAGUAAAAAGUUCUAUUGAUUUUAUAAUCAAAGAUACAUAUAUUAUAGAAAUAGAGGGUAUAUCAUUAAUUUCUUGAUGUAAACAAUCAUAACUUGAGGAACCAUUUAAAGUAUUUUGGUAAUCAACAUACUUAAACUUAAAUGUGAUAUAUCCAUUUAGUAUUUUUUUUAUACAAUGAUAAUACUUAAGUAUAAUUUACAUCAUAUAUCUUUUGAAGUACAUGAAACUAUGAAGAAAAUGAUAAACCAAAUCCCAUUCCAUCUCUGUUUGCUACUGCACAAUCACAAUCCAAUUCCAACAUGGAAUCCUCAGACGACAUGCCUACUGCAGAACAAGUUUCAUACUGACUUAACUUAUAUUUAGUCCACGUCCUGUUUAGAUUGUAAUCCUAGUUCUACGUGUGUUUGUAUAGUACUCCUAUAAAUAUCAAUGAACAUCGCUCACUCUAAUUAAGAGUUGAGAUUUUGCAAAUCAUAUUUACUAUCUUUCAUGGUAUCACGAGCCAGCGUCUAACGACAACGGUUCCUAUUAUAAUUUUUUUCUCUUUUGCAGAUCCUAAACUAUGGCAUCUUCUUCCUCCUCCGCUGCUCCCUCCAUCACAAAUUUUCUUACGAUCAAGCUCGACCGCAACAACUACCCUCUCUGGCAUGCUCAGUUUCUUCCCUUGCUGCGCAGCCGCAACUUACUCUCUUAUGUUACUGGCGAAACUCAAUGCCCCUCUGCCUUUCUUCUUGAUGACAAUGGUAAAUUCACCGACAAAGUCAUUCCAUUAUAUAAUGAAUGGAUCCAGACUGACCAGAUGAUCCUAUCUUGGAUUACGAGUUCUCUUACUCCCAAGGUUCUUGCUACGAUCGUCAACAAAAUUGAUUCGGCCUCUGCUUGGUCGUCAAACCCGAAUUAAUCUAAUUGUGGGGGUUUUGUUUUAUAUCAAUAUAUUGCAACAGAAGUCACACUUUGAAGAGUUCAUGCUGCACAGAAAGAUGAUGAAAUGUUACCCGUUGAGUCUAUCAUUGCUCCAUUGGAGACAGAGCUGAAGCUUACUGCAGGAGUUAUACAGUUGUUAUGCAAUAUGACCCCUUUAAUUUUAUUUUAAAACUGAUACAAAAUACUACAAAAAUUUAUGUAGUAUUUUUGUAUUAGUUUUGAGUGUCUAUUUUGGCUUCCAUAUAUCGUCUGUACAUGUGAGAGGUAUAGUGUUCAAUAUGUAUUUGGUUUCUAUAUUGUUAAUGGAUCCUUUUUUUUUUAAUUUAAUUUAAUUUUAUUAAGGUAACCAAGUUGCAGGAUGACAUCAGAACACUUGAUCUGCAGGUAAACCUUCAAUUUCCAUAUGAAGUUUGCAUGUUCGUUGUUUCUGGAAUUUGAGUUUUUAUUAUUUCUCAAUUCUAUCACAUAGAUUAUGAUUUCACAUAUGGGAUUAUUAAUGGCAAUUAUAUGAUAGAAGAAUUGGGAUUAGAAGAAGAUAUUGAGUUGUUUUAUUUAUGGGGAUUAGAAAAUGAUUAUCAUACGAGUGAUAUUUAUUUUUGUGUGGAUUGUUAAUAUAUAAAACUAUAAGCUUUUGAGAUUGGGAGAUAAAACCCACAAAUUCAAAUCAGACAAAAUAAAUAAAAAAUUUAACUGACUUAAAGAUCAAACUCCAAAAGGGUAUUAAAAACAAGGCUUAUUUGAUCCAUUGAGUGUGAAAGUUUUGAGCUUUGAAGAAGCAUAGGAGGAGAGUUGUUAACCAAGCUGCAUUAUCCAUGUAUUAGGAUGUUGAGGGUAGGCAGGAAAAAUACUUUUUGACGCCAUAUCCAGAGGAGCAUAACGACAGGCCUGCAUUUUUGCAGCAAGGACCAAAACAAGUAGAAGUGAAGGCUUGACUAUUUGGGUAUUAAUCCUAAACCUAAUUAUUCUUAUUUAGGUUUAGGAUAAAUGAUUGAGUGUGUCUCGAUGAUUGUAUUACCAUGUUUGAUGAAUGACUUGAGGAGUUGGAAAUGCUUUAUUGCUUAUGUUUUUCUUAGGUGUGUACUUUGGUUAUUUCCGAGCUUUUCACGACUCUUGAUACCUAAUAGAGAAUAUGGAAACCCCAACUUUAAUUUUAUGAAUUGGUUUUGGUGCCUAAAAUGAAAUCUAGCAUAGUGAAAUCUUGCAUAAUGAAAUUAUGACAAAUUUCCCUUCAUCUUUAGAUUUUCAUUUAGUUCAAUUUGUAUGCAAUUUAGGGUUAUUCAAUUCAUGAGUGAUCAAAUUAUGUUUUUAAUUCCUUCUUCUUUUGAUUUACAGUUCAGCAUUGUCGUACAAAAUGAAAAAGGUGCCAGUAACAGAGUUAUGGAUUUGGAUGCCUUUAGUGGAAUAAAACUGAAUUUUUUAACUUUGUAUAGUUGUAAACAUAAAAUACUCCAUCAGAUAGACUCAUAGCAUUUGAAAACAAUCCUUGAGGAUGGCAUAACAACAUCUCCAACUUUUGUCAUGUAAUGUAUGAAUGUAAAUAGCACUUUGUAAACAUAUGGAUGUAAUAUAUGUAUAUAAACAGUCUUUAGCAUGUAUAUUUUUCAAAACUUUCUACAUCUUCAACAAUGUUUCAAUGAUUUCUUGAUGUAAACAAUGAUAAUUUGAAGAACCAUUUAAAGUAUUUCGGUAAUCAGCAUACUUAAGCUUAAAUGUGAUAUAUCCGUUUAGUAUUUUUUAUACAGUGAUAAUACUCAAGUAUAAUUUACAUCAUAUAUCUUGUGAAGUACAUGAAACUAUGAAGAAAAAACCCUAAUUAAUCUGAUUAUGGGGGUUUUGUUUUAUAUCAAAAUAUUGCAGCAGAAGUCACACUUUGAAGAGUUCACGCUGCACAGAAAGACGAUGAAAUGCUAUCUGUUGAGUCCAUCAUUGCUCCAUUGGAGACAAAGCUGAAGCACACUCCAGGUGGUAUACUUUUGUUCUGCAAUAUGACCACUUUAAUUUUAUUUUAAGACAGAUAGGGUUGAAAAGAAUUUAUGUAGUAUUUUUGUAUCAGUUUUGAGUGUCUAUUUGGACUUCCAUAUUUGGUCCGUACAUGUGAGGUAUAGAGUGUUCAAUAUGUAUUUGGUUUCUAUAUUGUUAAUGGAUCUUUUUUUUUGUUUUAUAGGUAACCAAGUUGCAAGAUGAAAACAGAACACUUGAUCAGCAGGUAAACCUUCAAUUUCCGUAUGAAGUUUGCAUUUUUGUUGUUUCUGGAAUUUGAGUUUUUUGCAGGAUGAAAACAGAACACUUAAUCUGCAGGUAAACACUUGAUUGGUUAUUUCCAAGCUUUUCACGACUUUCGAUACCCAAUAGAGAAUAUGGAAACCCCAACUUUAAUUUUAUGAAUUUGUUUUGGUGCCUAAAAUGAAAUCUAGCAUAGUGAAAUCUUGCAUAAUGAAAUUAUGACAAAUUUCCCUUCAUCUUUACAUUUUCAUUUAGUUCAAAUCGUAUGGUUUAGGGUUAUUCAAUUCAUGAGUGAUCAAAUUAGGUUUUUAAUUCCUUCUUCUUUUGAUUUUCAGUUCAGCAUUGUCGUAUUUUGGAUGCCUUUAGUGGAAUAAAACUGAUUUUUUUUUAACUUUGUAUAGUUGUAAACAUAAAAUACUCCAUGAGAUAGACUCAUAACUUUUGAAAACAAUCUUUGAGGAUGGCAUAACAACAUCUCCAACUUUUGUCAUGUAAUGUAUGAAUGUAAAUAGCACUUUGUAAACAUAUGUAUGUAAUAUAUGUAUAUAAACACCACUCUUUAGCAUAUAUAUUUUUCAAAACUUUCUACAUCUUCAACAAUGUUUCAAGCCCCGCAGCAACGGGCGGGUACACUUGAUAGUAUACAUCUAAAAUUAUAAGACUAAAUCCUUUAGUUCUUGGAUUCAUCUAAGAACUACUUAUUCCAGCAGAUGCUAUGCUUGCACUACUAGAAUUUAUGGCUUGCCCUGUCAACUAUUGCGCGACAGAAGAUUUCGUCGGUUUCACUUUUUUUAACCGACAUAAUAUAAGUUUAGUAGGGCAAAAUCAGUCAACAAACUGGGUUGACUGAAUAAAUUUACAGGAUGGCUAGAGUUCGUAGGUUAAGACAUCAGUCGUUGGGCAAACAUUUGGAGCGAAGAUGUGAGUGUUUUAACUGACGAAUAAGCUGGUCGUCAUGUAGAUCUUCUUUCCCGACUGACGGUUCAACAUGUAGCUCUUUGGAUAAUAAUUCAUCUUCAAGGGGAACAGGUUGCCCCUCAGAUGAAUGGUUAGAGGCAAUUGUGAGACUAUAAUUUUCUAGGGCCGAAAUAAAAAAUACAUAAACCCUCACUCAUUCUGUCUCUGUAACCAUCCACCAAAUACCCUUUCUUCCCUUUCUAUUUCUCUCCUAGUAAUAUCCCCUGACCGAAUCACACAAUCCAACCAACUCUCUUUAAGCCUCCCUCACUGAUUCCAUGGAUUUCAUGGACUUAUCCCACCCUCUCUCCUUCCCUCUAUAUAUAGCAAGUCCCCUUGCCUCAGUGUCCCUGGCAACAGAAUUUAUGGCAUUUCUUCGUUCUUUCAAUUAUUUGAAAGCUUCCUAGCCCUGCAAUCUUGUACAAAGGCGUAUGGUGUUUCAUCAGUUCCAUUUGGUGGUUGGGUGGGAAAUGAAAUUAAAACACUGCAUUUCAAAUGCAUUUCAAAUGGUCUAAACCAAAUUGAAUCAAAUGUGAAGCAAAGGGCAAGAGGUGUAGAUUGAAGAACAAUGGCACCAAGAGCGAAAUUGAACUUGUUGACAGGAGGAAACCAAGUAAGGAUAACACGUCUAAAUCUUAUUUUGAAUCCAUUCAGCUCAUGAUGUUUUGAAUGAUGAUGAUCGGUAUACUCUGCUACAUGCUGUGAUUUUUCCGCUUUCAUGUAAUUAACGGCUUAUAUGUGGUAACGAUAUUGAUUAAAAAAGGUCGUACCCAGUGCAUAAGGCUCCCGCUUUACGCAGGGUCUGGGAGAGGUGAAUGUCGGCUAGCCUUACCCCCAUUUUAUGGAGAGGAUGCUCCAAAGUCUCAAACCCGAGACCUACCGCUCAUGGGCGAAGGCAUUUGCCAUCGCACCAAAUGCGAUAUUAAUUAAUUUCGAGAAAUGACAGUCUGAUUUUUGCAACUGUCUUUUGCAGGCAAAACAAAGACGUUUGCAAGGGUGAGUUGUGUAGGAGCUUUGUUUCAUGUCCAAAUGACACUUGAGAAUAAAUGUUUACACUCAUGGAUAAUAUCUAUCUAUUUGCAGGAGCAACCCUGGGUUCAUUUGUUCUGUAACUGCUGGUCAUUGCGGCAUAUCACGCCUAUAGCACUGACAAAAGUAAAAAGAGAAUCGAAUGAAAUUUGAUAAGUUUUCAGCGGACUACAAAGAUCUUAAGCCAAGCAUAUAUUCCCAUGCAGAUAUUAAGAGGUUUACAAAUCAAUUCAAGUACAAGUUGGGCCAAGGAGCAUACGGAACUGUUUUUAAACGAAAGUUUUUUUCUGAAUGCUUUGUUGCCAUGAAAGUACUUAACAUUUCCAAGGGUGACGGGGAAGAGCUUGUAAAUGAAGUGGGAACAAUGGGCCAUAUUCACCAUGUCAAUGUGGUUCACUUGGUUGGUUUUUGUGCUGAUGGAUUUAGAUGAGCUCUGGUUUAUGAGUUCUUUCCCUUUGGUUCACUCCAGGAUUAUAUUUCAUCAGCAGAUAGAUUUCUUUCCUUGGUUGGCAUAAGUUGCAAGAUCUUGCUAUCAGCAUAGCCAAAGGAACUAGGAAUGUGAUCUACAAAUCCUCCAUUUCGAUAUCAAACCCCAUAAUGUUUUGCUCGACCAAAAAAUCACGCCAAAAAUCUCUGAUUUUGGUCUGGCCAAGUUAUGCCAAACAAUUACAGACAACAGUUAUUCACUAAAUCACUUUAAGGCAAGAAUUUAAUUAAUAAUACAUUACUGCACUUUCUUAACCAUUUGACUAUCACCUAGCUGACAAUGAACACGUUAGCUCCGCGUUAGAACAUCUUGGGUUCAAUUCAUUGUCUUGAAUAUCACCCAUUGUCACAGGCGUCUGUUGGGGGCAUAGAGAAGGCCUGAGAGGCAUUUGCAGACAUUCAACAUCUCCUCCAAGCAUUUUGACAACUUUGGACAUCGAAGGGCGAUCAUUUGGUUUCAUUUGAAUACACCACAAGGCGGUUAUAACCAUCUUUCUUAUUACUUUCUUUUCCUCCUCUGUAACAUUGUCCAUUUCCAGGUCAUUUCCCACAAUAUAUUGAUCGUAUACCCACAUUGGGAAGUAGAUUUGGCUUGAAUGCUCUACCGUUGGAUUCAAAUUCUUCCUUCUGCUUGCCAUUUCCAUCAACAACAUUCCAAAACUAUAGACAUCUGACUUGUAUGAGACGCAUCCAAUAUUUUUGUAGAACAACUCAGGAGCAAUAUAUCCCAGUGUACCCCGUGCUGCCGUCAAAGAGACAAUGCUAUUAUCUACAGGAUACAAUUUUGCAAGCCCAAAGUCAGAAACCUUUGCUUUAAAGUUCUCAUCAAGAAGGAUGUUAUGAGGCUUGAUGUCGAAAUGUAGAAUUUGCAUUUCACAACCUUGGUGUAGAUAUUCGAUCCCUUGAGCCACUCCAAGAGAAAUCUCGUACAUGUUCUUGAUAGUUAAGGGGACACUUCCUUCUUUGGAAUAAAUGUAUUUAUCAAGAGAACCAUUAGGCAUGAAGUCAUAUACUAGAGCGCGUUUUGAUCCCUCAACACAGUAUCCAACAAGUUGUACCACAUUGGCAUGGUGAAUCCUUCCGAUUGUAGCUAUUUCGCUAAUGAAAUCUUGGCCAUCAGCUUUGGGCUUGCCCAAAACUUUAACUGCUACAAAUCGACCACUGCGUAGCUUUCCCUUAAAUACAGAGCCAAAGCCACCUUCGCCCAACUUGUCCUUAAACCUGCGAGUCAUUUUCUUGACGUCCGAGUAAGAGUACCUUAUAAGCAUGAUGUUGUUAUUGCAUUGCAGAAAAUCUUCUAUUGUGCUAUACAUUGAUAAAUGUCUUCUGCGCCAUGUGUAGAUUAGAAAUGCAGUCACAACUGGAACUCCAAAAACAAAUCUGGCUAGGAAAAAUAACCCUGCAUGCAUGGACAAUAAUAUGUUAGAUCCACUGUGUACUACUUUUUCUUCCCUUUCUUUCCAAAUUACUUUAUCUUUGAUGUAAUUAAAGAGAGAGAAUGGGAAAUCUACAUAUGUUGAUAAUAUAAUCUCGUCUUAGUCCUUACCGAUCCAUAUGAGUAUAAACCAUCCAAGUGCUGCAAAAAAAUCAAUCGACUAUGAGUUUGAAAAGUGCAUAAAGUGAAAAAAAAAAAAAAAAAAAAAAAAAUCAAAGGGUGCCUUUAUUGACACCCAAAUUUUAGUUAGUUUUACUCAACUAAAAAAUUUUUGUCAUCAAACUUUUUAAUUUGCCGUCGAAAUUGAGUUCACCCAACCACAAAGCAGCAACUACCACUCACAAAAAAACCAACAACACACAGCCACCAGUACCAUUCACCAAUAGAAAGAGAAGGAACACACAGACCCACCAAGGAGCCGGCAUCGACGCAUCUACGAGGGAGGGACCGGAGGGUGGUGUAGUUUUGUUGGGCGCGCGGUGGUUGUUUUGUUUGUUCAUUUUCUCUUUCUUUUGGUAGGUGGAGGCUGGUGUGGAUUUGGGCGAACUUAAAAAUGAGGGGAAACUAUGAAGUUUGACAAAAUGUUUUAGUUAGGGGAACUUAACUAAAAUUUGGGUGCCGAUAAAGAUACCCAAUUUCAAAAAUACUUGAGCUUAUAGACUAAUUAAAUGAAGUUGAUCUUACAGAUCUCGUGGCUGUAUGAUGAAUGCCACUUGCCAGCUGCAAUAGAUACCACGGAAAAGUGAAUAAAGACAUACAGUUACUAGGUUUAAGAAGUACAGAUAGAGCACACAAAAAAUAAAAGAAGCUUUUGGGAAGAAACUUCUUACGCCAAUAGUUGUGUUCUUGACCUACAGUAAAAAAUGUGAAGAAGAAUACACAACAUUAGCAAUAGCUCACCCAGUCUUCGGAAUUUAAAAAAUCAAGUUUGUCUCGAUCGAAAACUUGUAAAUAAAACAAAAAGAGGACCCCUUACGGAUUUGGUGCCAUAGAUAUUGAAAGAAACCUACAAAAACAAAGAAAGAACAAGACCACAUGCAUUAGCAUAACAAGUGUGAGGUGUAUAAGCCGUUAGAAAAUAAAUUUAAAAUUCUAGUGCUGUCAAUACAUUGAUAAUAUAUAUAUAUAUAUAUAUAUAUAUAUAUAUAUAUAUAUGUAUUAUUUUUCUGAAAAUUUAACUUUCUCCCUCCAAACUCAUUUUUCUAGUCUCUAGCCCAUCAUAUAAUAUUUAUCAGAAUAAAACCAAAUGAUUAGGAUCCAACUAAGAAACUUACCAAAUUAAGUUUGUGUGUCCAUUUUUAUAUUUUUUGGAUCCCUAAUAUACCCCAUCUAAGCCAGUAUGGAAAGUUCUUGUAAUUUUGCUUUAAGUGAUCACGUGCAUUGAAUUUGGCAAGGUCUUGUAGCCAUGAAAUAUGGUUCCAGAUGGAGGAAUGAAUUUGGAUUUUUUUUUAAUUUCGGCAACAAAUUUCAAUUUGAAUAUACCUAAUUUAGUGUUUAUUUUCAACAAUAUCUAUUGUUUAAUUUUAUGAAAAUAAUUAACCUAAUAUGAAAAUUAAUUUUAUGAAAACAAUAUCUAUUGUUUAAUUUUAUACCUACAGGAUAAUUACAUGAAAAUAGUUUACCUACUAUGAAAAUUAAUUUUUUGAAAGCAAUAUCUAUUGUUUAAUUUUAUGAAGAUAAUUUACCUACUAUAAUUACAUGAAAAAAUUUACCUACUAUGAAAAUUAAUUUUUUGAAAACAAUAUUAUUGUUUAAUUUUAUGAAAAUAAUUUACCUACUGUAUAAUUACAUAAAAAUUAGGGAAAAUUAGAAUCCCCUACAGUUUUUAUAUAUCAUUUAGAUUAAACAUUUGUACUUUUUUAAAAUUUGAUUAAAGUGCUUUGACCAAUAGUUACCUCUAUUUUUUUAAAUUAAAAUAAUUUUUGAAUUUAUCCUUUUAUCUGCACAAUGCACUUUUCCUUAUUUAGUGGAGAUAUUAGUAAUGAAACUAUAUUUUCCCUUCUUCCAAAUAUGUUUUUUCGAUCACAGUUUUUUUUUUUUUGGGUAUGCAAACAUUUGAUAUUAUUUUUUUUCCAAAUGGUUUUUUCUUUUUCAAAUAGUUGGUGAUCAACAUAUAAGCUCUGUGUAUUUUUUUCAAUGUUUUUGUGAAAUUAUAUUUUUUUUGCUGUUUUUUAAGUAUAGUUGUUGACGAAUUAUUAUUAGGUACAAUACAUUACGUAUAUAUUAUCUGCGGGUACGUUUGAAUUUACUAAAAUCAUUAAUUGGUACGUUUGAUUUGAUACAUAUUGUUAAUAUUGGUACAUUAUUUUUAUUUUGGUACGUUUUAUUUUGAACACAUUUUGUAUUGGUACGUUUAUAGUAUUCUCAAUCCUAUUUUCUCUUAACGUACUAAAAGAAAAACUCAUUUUGGUACGUUUGAUUUUGGGGGAUUUAAAAAUAUUUUAAACUAUUUUGGAAAAAAAAAAAUCUUAAAUCGUAGAUAAUUAUUGCUAAAUUGUAGCAUUAUUGUGAAAAUAAAUUGAAUCUAACCAACUUUUUUUUUUACAAUUAUCUCUAAUGGAGGAGAGUGUAAUCAAAAGGCUAGAUUAUAGGAAAUUUGUUACAAUAUAAUGGGCAUAUAGCACCAAAAUUAUGAUAAAAAAAAGUUUAAUCAAAUCAUUAAAAGGCAUGGAUGUUUGAUCUAGAAAAUUCAAAACUGAGGCGUCUAUAUCAAAAGAUCCCUAAAAAUUAAUGUGCCUACUUUUUAAAUUUGUAACAAAAUUAAUUUACCUACUUUUUAUGGUAUUAGUAUACAUAAAUGUAGAAUAUAUGUCCGUAUAUAUUUGAUCUAAUUAGGUUUUGGAUUGGAGGAGUUGACACAAAAUUAUAAAUAUAUUAAACAAAUUUAUCUAUUCUAAAGUUGGAGGGGAAUUGGUCUGUACAUUGCUACAGUAAACAAAUGCUACUCAAUUUCACGUUAUUUACAACAAAGCUAUCAGAUUUGGGUUGGGUUGGAGGGUAAUUUGUUAAAAGUUAGGAGGGUAAUUUUGUGCAUAGGGUUUAGGUGCCCUCCUAUACAUGACCCUUGAGUUUACUUUAUUUACACCACUGCCAUCAAAUAUGUGGCUGAAUUGGAGGGUAUUAUUAAAAGUUAAGAGGGUAGUUUUGUUCAAGGGGUGGGGGCGACAUUCGCAGACGGAGGCCGAUGGGAGCCAUGCCCAUUGCACAGAGAGAAAGGGAGUGAUGGGGGAAAUUACAGACAGAAAAGGAAGGGAUGGGAGGAUUUGAUGGAUGGUCACAGAGAGAGAUUCGGUGAGGGAUGUGAGGGGAGAUUACAGAGAGAUAAAUAAAAGGGAGGGAUCGGGGGAUUUGAGGGAUGGUCAGAGAGAGAAAUAGUGAGGGAGGGAGGGAUGGGGGGGCUGAUUUUCGGUUCCUCCUUCAGAUUUGUUCCGUAAAACCUGUUGGGUACAAUUCAAUUUCCUCCCCCUUUCCCCUGAACGAAAAAUUCGAAACCUACAAUUCAAUUUCCUCCCUCCUUGGCUUUCCGCUUUACUCAUCUCCCGGUGGUUCUUUCUCUCCAUACGAUUCGAUUUCGGUGAGUUCUUCGUUGCCCUCAUGAUUUCCCAGUUUGAUUUUUUGAGCGUCCUUAGUCGUUGUUUUUAUCUGGGUUUACUGCAUUGUUGCUUUUAGUUUCUGGAUUUUUAUUUGUUCCGCGGUUCGAUGAAUCGGUUAAUAAUUUCACACCAUGGGAUUUUCGCAUGGAAUUGAGCGCGGGGAUUCGGGGUGGGGUUUUACUGAUAAUUUGUCUUCAUUCAAAUGAAUGGUUAAAAUUUCUGAAGUGAGUGUGCAGGUGGGCCCGUUCACUAACUAAGCUUUCAAGGGAACCCAUCAGCGGUUUGCUUGCUGGGGGAAUUCGGAGACUACCAGUGUAUGAUUUAGUUAUCAUUUAUUUUUUUACUUAAAUUUAUCCAUAUAUAAUAUGUGGGUAAAUUUACACUAAACAAUUGUGAUAAGCCAAUAUGCCAUACGACUUUGAAAGCAUUGAUUUUGUGUUUAGUUUGCAUUUUUGCAUUGUGAAUGUUGAAUUUUGUGUUUGAAUUUGUAGCAUGAUCUUCCGCUGCAGCAUCCAAAUUUUGCAUUUGUAAAUUGUCAAAGAAAAACGAAGUAUGAGGAAAUUAUAGGAGAUUGUGUCGGCUUUGGCCAUGAAGGGUAUCAGCAGCUUGUUCCCCCAUACAGGUGAUUAAUCGUUUUUCAGUCUGUGUUCUAUUUGGAUGAGAAAGUGAUUGAAAAUAUGAUUUUUUUAUUUGUUGGUUGAUUUUGUAUGGACGAUGUAUUAAUUUUAUUUUUUUUGGGAUUUUGUGUAUUGGGCAUUGUGUAGAACCAGCAAUGCAAGAGCAGGAUCUGAUCAGUCAUGCCUGAAAAGGGGUUUGUUUCUCAAAUCACAUUAAUUAAUUAGAUUAUUAACGUGCGUUGGAAGGCUCUUCAAUAUGAUUUCUAAUUUCUCCUUUCCAGCAUUCUCUUUUUGGUUUUUGGAGUAUGUAUGUGAUUUGUAUUUUUUUAUAGAAUAAAAAUUAAUAAAACACGAGAUGCAGCAAUUAAUUUGCAUCCUUAUGACAACACAUAUGAAAGUGCAUUCAAUUUCAAUGUGCGAAUGUGUGACAGGAUGUGCCUGCCCGCUGCUGCUGGUAUGCUUGCUGUUGUUUCUCGCGUUGUUAAUUUUUUGUGUGUGUUGAUUUGAUUAACAACUCAAGCGUAUCUUUUUUUUUUGUGUUGGUUAGCAGCCAGUUUUAUGGCCCCGAUCUAGUGAUGCUUCUCAGUGACUGUGGUAAUUGCAGUUCAUUGCCACCAGUUGGUCAGCUACCUGCUCUGAAAGAGCUAUACGUAGAAGGGAUGAAAGUUGUUAAGAGUGUUGGUGUUGAGUUGUACGGGGGAAAUCAACCAUUUCAAUGUUUAGAGAAGCUAAAGUUUCGGGAGCUAUAGCAGCCUAGUCCAAGUGGAUGUGAAAGUCCAGACUUUCCUCAUCUUAAGGAGCUGGGGUUAUACGAAUGUCCGAAGCUGAGAGGAAACUUGCCCACUCAUCUUCCCUCCUUGAAAACACUUCAUGUGAACAAGUGUGAGGUUCUACAUAAAAACAGGGCCAGUAAUACCCUGAACGUGGAAUCCUUACGAGGAUCUCUUGAAAAACUGACAAUAAAUGGAUGCCCGGGUCUCUCAUUGUUACUAGAGUCGACGGAGACGCUGCCGUCGCUUCAGAAGCUUGAUAUUGAUAAUGUGGUGGGAAAGAGUUGUUGGCGCAAAUGGUGCACAACAGCAAUCGUCUUCAAAGUUUGACUUUAUAUAAAUGUUCCUCACCCUUGUCGUUCCUUACAAAUGGUCUGCCCACCACGCUGACAUCACUGAGCAUAACAGAUUGCAAGAAAUUAGAAUUCCCAUCACGUGAGAUGAUGGCCAAAUUGACUUCCCUUCAGUCUUUGCGUCUAUCCAACAGCUGUGAACGCAAAGGCUUGAGUAUUUGCAGUUUAGUUUUUUUUUUCUUCAUUUUAGAGAUUUUUCUACUGUUUGGUUUUUGGGUUUUGUCUAAUUUUUGUGGUCUGCUUUAUAGAUUGUUCUCUUUGGAAGCUUCUUUCCAGCCUUGACCUUCUUCUUGCCUGGUGCCUUCUCAUUGAGUAUUGGAGGAGCAUUAAAACACAGGUGUGUGUGUUUUGUCGACAUAAGAGAUGAAUGACAUAAAAACAUCCGUCUCUGUAUUUUUUUGUGCUUUUUCUAACCCAUCAAUUUCUUUUGAGUCAACCAAAUAGUCCCAAAUUGCAACUUAUGUUGUGAGGUAUUAUUGUCUAAAAUUAAGUAUGCAUGUAUAUUUUAUGUUUGUGCCCGCGCACACAUCCGCAUGGUGUUAAUCUCUGUGGGUCAUCUAUGUAUAUGUAGAUAUAUCUAUAUGUGUGUGUGGAAUGCAACAUAUCGGAUUUAGGUUAUACUGUGCAUAGUUUUAUUGCCUGUUAUUAUCUACGAUAUCACUAUGCCAUUUCUAUGCAGGCUCUGAAAGUUAUUCAUGAGCUUUAUAAGCACUUACCAUAAUUUAAGCAGUCUGUUUUGGGUUCUUUUUCAUUAGGUCAUUAGCUACAGAUUAAUGGAGAAACGAGGACCAUGCCACUGAUUUGGGUUCUUUUUCUAAUUUUCUGAUUUUGGGGUUUUGCAGGGAGAACUCCGCCUAUGUACUUACAUUGCCGAUCCCAAGCUCGGAUAAAGGAGGAGGGGGAGGGCGUCAGGUAGUCGACAGUCGGCACUCCAUGAUCACGUCGAAUCCUUAUGAAAAUGAAUUCAGAAUAAAAUUGCGCUAAAGCUAGGGCGUCACCCGUAAGUGGCGCGCUGUGUGGCCCGAGCACAGUGAUAAGUGAGCAAGGGUCGCUGUAUCUCCAUCGGCACCCGGAUGCAGUGUUAAAUGAGCAAGGGGGGCAUAGGAACUUCUUUUCGAACGACUCCACUCAAAGUUGUUUGGGAGCAUAUGCUCCUAUCAACUUUACACGGGACACACAAAAGAAGUACUUUGAUCCUAUUAGACGGGGGAGGGUGAAGAAGCUAGGACAGAAGGGUAGAGUUCAAGAAAGCAAAAUGCGUUUAGGAACGUGGAAUAUAGGAACCUUAACGGGAAAAUCUAUGGAAGUAGUGGAAGUUAUGGUGAGGAGAAGGAUAAAUAUUAUGUGCCUACAAGAAACUAAGUGGGUUGGUAGUAAGGCAAUUGAUCUAGAAAACUCAGGGUUUAAACUUUGGUAUUCGGGCACAAAUAGAACGAGAAACGGUGUUGGCAUCAUCGUGGACAAGACCUUGACACAAGAUGUUGUAGAUGUCAAGAGGGUAGGAGAUAGAAUCAUGGCAAUCAAGAUUGUAAUAGGACAAGAACUUAUCAAUGUGGUUAGUGCGUACGCACCUCAAGUAGGGUUGGAUACGAGUUCGAAGGAGAAAUUUUGGGAAGACCUUGGAGACUUGGUGUAAGGAAUUGCUCAGACGGAGAAGUUAUUUAUAGGAGGAGAUUUAAAUGGACACGUGGGCAGAGAGACAGGCAACUAUGGAGGUUUUCAUGGUGGCCAUGGUUUUGGGGAGAGAAAUGAGGAUGGGGAAGCUAUCUUGGAUUUUGCAAUGGCAUAUGAUCUCUUUUUAGCCAACACCUUCUUUAAGAAGAAAGAAGAACAUGUGAUCACCUACAAGAGUGGGUUGUCAAAAACACAAAUAGAUUUUCUUCUAAUGAGAAACGAGGAUGGGGAAGCUAUCUUGGAUUUUGCAAUGGCAUAUGAUCUCUUCUUAGCCAACACAUUCUUUAAGAAGAGAGAAGAACAUGUGAUCACCUACAAGAGUGGGUCGUCAAAAACACAAAUAGAUUUUCUUCUAAUGAGGAAAGGGGAUCGUAUAACUUGUAAGGAUUGCAAAGUUAUACCAGGAGAGAGCGUGGCUAAUCAACAUCGCUUGUUGGUGAUUGAUGUACAUAUCAAAAGAGUGAGACAAAAGAACAAGACUUGGAAGUGCCCAAGGACUAGAUGGUGGAAUCUAAAAGAAGAAAAACAAGCCAUUUUCAAAGAGAAAGUAAUCAUCCAGUGUGUGGGAUAGAGAUGGGGAAGCUAGCCAAAUGUGGGAUUCAAUGGCUAGUUGUAUCCGAAAAGUAGCAAAAGAGGUAUUAGGAGAGUCAAAAGGCUUUGCCCCACACCAAAAAGAAUCUUAGUGGUGGAAUGAGGAGGUACAAACAAAGGUGAAGGCUAAGAAGGAAUGUUGUAAAGCCUUAUACAAGGAUAGAACUGAUGAAAAUGGUGAAAGGUAUAGAAAAGCGAAGCAAGCUGUGAGAGAAGCUAAGUUAGCGGCUUACGACGAUAUGUAUAAACGACUAGAUACCAAAGAAGGAGAGUUGGAUAUCUAUAAACUAGCUAGAGCAAGGGAAAAGAAGACAAGGGACCUAAACCAAGUGAGGUGCAUCAAGGAUGAGGAUGGAAAUGUUCUUGCUACAGAGAACGCGGUUAAAGACAGAUGGAGAGGUUAUUUUCAUAAUCUUUUCAAUGAAGGACAUGGAAGGAGUGCUUCUUUAGGGGAGUUGAGUAACUCAGAAGAGUGUAGAAACUACUCUUUUUAUCGUCGAAUCCGGAAGGAAGAAGUGAUUGUAGCUUUGAAGAAGAUGAAACAUAGAAAAGCAAUAGGCCCAGACGAUGUACCAAUCGAAGUGUGGAAAGUUUUGGGAGAGACAUGUAUAACAUGGCUCACUGACCUUUUCAAUAGGAUUUUGAAAACGAAGAAGAUGCCAAAUGAGUGGCGAACGAGCACUUUGGUGCCUAUCUACAAGAAUAAGGGCGACGUACAAAAUUGCAUGAACUAUAGGGGUAUUAAGCUAAUGAGUCAUACAAUGAAGCUCUGGGAGAGAGUCAUUGAGCAUAGAUUGAGGCAAGAGACACGGGUUUCGGACAACCAAUUUGGGUUCAUGCCAAGGCGCUUAACCAUGGAGGCAAUCUAUCUCUUACGAAGAUUGGUGGAAAGAUAUAGAGAUGGGAAAAAGGAUUUACACAUGGUUUUUAUAGAUUUGGAGAAAUUCGUAUGAUAGGGUCCCAAUAGACAUUCUUUGGAGGAUUUUAGAGAAGAAAGGAGUACGAGUAGCAUAUAUCCAAGCUAUAAAUGAUAUGUAUGAAUGAGCAAAGACUGCUGUAAGAACUCAUGAAGGACAAACUGAAAGUUUUCCCAUAACUGUAGGAUUACACCAAGGCUCAUCCUUAAGUCCCUACCUUUUUGCGUUGGUAAUGGAUGAGUUAACAAGACAUAUUCAAGAUGAUAUUCCUUGGUGUAUGCUUUUCGCAGACGAUAUAGUGUUGAUAGAUGAAACACAGGAAUGGGUAAAUGCAAAGCUUAACCUUUGGAGAGAAGUGUUGGAAUCUAAAGGUCUUCGCCUAAGCCGAUCAAAGACAAAAUAUAUGGAGUGCAAGUUCAGUGCAAAUGGAGGCCAAAACGAGUUAGGGGUGAGGAUCGGAGAUCAAGAAAUACCAAAGAGCGACCGUUUUCGUUACCUAGGAUCUAUCUUGCAAAAGAACGGAGAAUUAGAUGGAGAUCUCAACCAUAGAAUACAAGCUGGAUGGAUGAAGUGGAAGAGUGCAUCCGGCGUGUUGUGUGACCGCCGUAUGCCACUGAAGCUCAAGGGAAAAUUUUAUAGGACGGCAAUAAGGCCGGCGAUGCUGUAUGGCACAUAAUGUUGGGCGGUGAAGCAUCAACACGUACACAAAAUGGGUGUAGCGGAGAUGAAGAUGCUUCGUUGGAUGUGUGGGCACACGAGAAAGGAUAAGAUUAGGAAUGAGGAUAUCCGGGGUAAAGUAGGAGUAGCCGAAAUUGUAGGAAAGAUGAGAGAAAAUCGGUGACGGUGGUUUGGACAUGUGCCAAGAAGGCCUACUGACGCUCCGAUUAGAAGAUGUGACUACUGGACAGAGGUUCAGGGCCGAAGGGGUAGAGGAAGACCUAGAAAAACUUUGGAAGAGACUCUAAGAAAGACUUAGAGUACCUGGAUCUAACGAAGGACAUGACACAGGACCGAGCAUAAUGGCGUUCUAAGAUUCAUAUAGCCGAUCCCACUCAGUGACUUGGAUUUUCCAAGUCUCCAGCCGAGAAGUUUUCCUCACUCAGGAAAUUAAGGGAACACUACCCCAACCUACAUGCUCCACUCACAAAGCUUCAACAAAAGAAAAUUCAAAGAACUUAGCGAAGAAGGCUUUGAUGUAUUUAACACAAUACGUUGAAAUGAAGGAAAGCUUAUUUAUUGAUAUCAUCGAUAAGCUACAAAUAUGUACAUAUACAUAAGUCAAAAUAAACAAACAAGAGGGAGCCUUCACAAAGGUUGCUUAGGAGAAGUCUCAGCAGUCGGUAGAGCCCCAGAAAGAGAAGGCACCGGAGGGGGAUCAUUCGGAGCCUCAGUACUGGACAGAACCCUAGAAGGAGGAGGCAUAAGAGGUUGAUCAUUUGGUGCUUCAUUACGCGGUACAGCCCCAGAAGACGAAGGCAAUAAAUGCCUUUGGAACAAACCCACAAAUCUCUGAUGAUCAAGUAAAACCUGACCAUCAGAUUCCUUCAUCUGGUCAAGCUUCCUCUUCAUGUUUGUAGCAUAGUCAUGUGCGAGCCGGUGCAACUGUUUAUUCUCAUGCUUGAGCCCUCUAAUCUCCUGUUUGAGACUCAUCACUUCAGCCGCCAAUGAUUCAACUUGGCGGGUUCGAGCAAAUAGGUGUUGGGCCAUAUUAGACACAGAACCUGCACACUGAACACUGAGAGCCAGAGAAUCCUUAACAGCUAACUCAUCAGACCGUUUGGAAAGUAGUCUGUUAUCUUUGGGAGUGAGAAGGUUCCUGGCCACCACCGCAGCGGUCAUAUCAUUCUUCAUCACGGAAUCCCCAACGGUAAGAGGACCAGUAGGGGAGACGAAGGAUGGGCGCCAUAUGUUGUCUGGAGAAGGCGGGGCUUCCUCUUCAACAAGGUUCAAGUCAAAACGACGGUCGGAGGGGCCAGACAUUUUCAAAUGUGUUGAAGAGAGAAGAGGUCGGACAAAUCAAGAUCUUAGAAGUGUAAGAAUGGAGCUUCUACUGGUGGAGAUUCAAGUGUGCUUUGGAACUUAAUGUCAGCCCCUAUAAAAAUCUGCACUCAACGGAGCUUCAGAAAUCGAAGAGGCGCCUGCUCAGAAAUCGAAGAGGCGUUUGCUUUCUCAAAAGCAAGGCUGCUCAGAUACCACGAGGGUCGAUCUCAGAAAUCGAAGAGGCGUUUGCUUUCUCAAAAGCUGGGCAGCGCAAAGACCACGAAGGCCGAUCUCAGAAAUCGAAGAGGCGCUCAAAAGUUGGGCUGCUCAGAGACCACGAGGGCCGAUCUCAGAAAUCGAAGAGGCACCUACUUUUCCAGCCUUGUCAGUACCUGUCACACACACACUCAGCUUUGCGAAAAUUAUGGGGAUUCGGUCGAAGACUUCUGGUGAAGUAGAAAGCACAUGAGUCUUACUGUUCAAUCACCCACUUCCCACACGCAACAGUAGCUCAUGGGUACCACAUAUAACUUUUCCAAAGUUCUCUGCCAAAGUUGAACACGUGAAGUUUGCAGCUCCCACUACAUCGCUCUGAUCAAGAAGGGUAAAAGAAUAGCAAAGAAACAACACUAACAAAGUUUAGACACAUAAAUUUUGAUGGUCGAGCUACCAUAUUAUUACCCACAAGGGUAAAGGAACAGUACCACUGCUGGAUAAUUGGAAAGUCCCUGUGUGUCAACCUCUGUGCUUCGUGGCAAGGUAGACUAUCAAACAUGCCCAACCUUUACUCACAUUCGAGAAAACACUCCCAACAAGAUUGCUUGCUCCAAAAUCGAAGAGGCACCGUCCUUCGAAUCUCGAGAGCCAGACUCCCAACAUGACUACUUUCUCAAAAAUCGAAGAGGGUAAAGGAACAGUACCAUUGCUGGAUAAUUUGAAAGUCCCUGUGUGUCAACCUCUGUGCUUCGUGGCAAGGUAGACUAGCAAACAUGCCCAACCUUUACUCACAUUCGAGAAAACACUCCCAACAAGAUUGCUUGCUCCAAAAUCGAAGAAGCAUCGCCCUCCGAAUCUCGAGAGCCACUCCCAACAUGACUACUUUCUCAAAAAUCGAAGAGACAUCGCUCUCCGAAUCUCGAGAGCCAGACCCCCAGCAUGAUUGCUUUCUCAAAAAUCGAAGAGGCACCGUUCUCCGAAUCUCGAGAGCCAGAUCCCCGAUAGGAUUGCUUGUUCGAAAACCGAAGAGGCAACACUUUCCCAAUUUCAAGAGCCGGAUCUCCUUGGAUAAAGCUAUCUGUAAUCUUCACUCGCAACAUUAGCUUUCCAGCUACCACAGACCACUUUUUCAAAGUGAUCUGACAACGUUAAAACAUGUGAAGCUGGCAGCUUCCACUACCGUGCUAUGACCAAGUAGGGUAAAGGAAUAGCAUUACUACUUGUUGUUAAGGAGACUCCUAUAUAUGUCGACCUCCAUCCCCAACGGAUAGGCAGACCUGCAAAAAUGCUCAACUCUUCCUCAUAUCUGAGAGGGCACUCCCAACGAAGCCUUUCGAAAUAUUCAGCUUUCUUUCCCCCCGAUAAUACCUCUGCAAACAAGCUAUACUAGAGCAAGAAUAUCUCAUAUCAUCAGGGUUAAAAGCAAGAGUAUCCCAUAUCAUGCUUUUUCCUUGUCUUUUUCUUUGGCCUUGUUCUUACCUGCAAGACAAGAAGAAAGAGAGCAAUCAGUCAGUACUUGGAAUCAAGCUUCCAGCCAGGAACUGACUGCCUGGAACCCCUUACCUGAUUACUUACCUGACAUUGUUCUCGAGUACUCAUCUUCAACAUCUUAUGCUUCCAGGGAAGAUACCGCAUCUGCCUGAGGAACAGAUAGGGCAAGGGAGAAGGAUAUAAGGAAGCAUGUGGAGACAAGCGUAACAGCACACGUGCCGAUACAUCCAUUACUCUGUCAAAGCAAAAGUAUCCCAUAUCAGUAGGGUCGAACGUACUCUAGAUUUGAUGGACUUGUUUUGACCCUCAAAUUCUUCAGUCGGCCUUAUACUCUGGAGGAAACCAGAAAUUUCUCCAGCUCAGUGCAAGAAUAAGCUUGUGGAAAGUUACUUCUUCAAAAGCAAAAGUAUCACAUAUCAUCUCUUCUCAUUUUCUUCUCUUUAUCCUUCAUGCUGCCUGCAAGAUAGGGAGAUUGUGAACAAUCAGCUGGAGCUAUGAUUGCUUACCUUGUCUGUCACCUCUUUCAGCAGAUCCCCUAGCUCGGCGAUUUGGGGGACUCCUACUACAUGGUUUGUAUCGCGCUUGACCAAGCCUGAAACUACAAGUAAGCUUCAAGUGAAAUUGAUACAUUACCUUGUGCAUCUCCACCAGUUAAAGAUACUACCCCUGGAUGGAGGAAGAGUACUUCCAGAGAAGAUGCCCCAUCUACCUAUGAGACAGAUAAGGCACGUCAAGACGAUACCACACUCUGAUACUUAGAAGUUUCGUGAUUACGAGAUCAUUCUCCCACAAUAUUUCCUAAUGUCAUUUGUACUAAAUCAUUCACUUGUACUCACUAAAGGAGAGCUUGAACCUAUGUACUUGUGUAAACCCUUCACAAUUAAUGAGAACUCCUCUAUUCCGUGGACGUAGCCAAUCUGGGUGAACCACGUACAUCUUGUGUUUGCUUUCCUAUCUCUAUCCAUUUAUAUACUUAUCCAUACUAAUGACCGGAGCAAUCUAGCGAAGAUCACAAAAAGCGACCGUUUUCGCUACCUAAGAUCUAUCGUGCAAGAGAACGGAGAAUUAGAUGGAGAUCUCAACCAUAGAAUACAAGCUGGAUAGAUGAAGUGUAAGAGUGCAUCCGACGUGUUGUGUGACCGUCAUAGGUCACUGAAGCUCAAGGGAAAAUUUUAUAGGACGACAAUAAGGCCAGCGAUGUUGUAUGGCACAGAAUGUUGGGCGGUGAAGCAUCAAUACGUACACAAAAAUGGGUGUGGCGGAGAUGAGGAUGCUUCGUGGGAUGUGUGGGCACACGAGAAAGGAUAAGAUUGGGAAUGAGUAUAUCCGAGGUAAAGUAGGAGUAGCCGAAAUUGAAGGAAAGAUGAGAGAAAAUCGGUUCCGGUGAUUUGGACAUGUGCAAAGAAGGCCUACUGACGCUCCGGUUCGAAGAUGUGACUACUGGACAGAGGUUCAGGGCCGAAGGGGUAGAGGAAGACUUAGAAAACCUUUGGAAGAGACUCUAAGAAAAGACUUAGAGUACUUGGAUCUAAUGGAGGACAUGACACAAAACCGAGCGCAAUGACGUUCUAGGAUUCAUAUAGCCGACCCCACUUAGUGGGAAAAGGCUUUGUUGUUGUUGUUGUUGUUGUUGGGGUUUUGCAGGGAGUACUAAUGUACUGAUUUUCUGGGAUUUUUUUUGUCCUUGCAGGAUUUUUGGUCUUUGAAAUGGGUAUGUGUUGUUUUUAAUGUUUCAGUUCUAGCGUUUUCCGUUCUUCGUUGCUUCGUGAUUCUCAUUUUUCAGUGUUGGGUGAUGGAAAUUUGUUAAAGUAGUUGGUAGUUUUUUGAGAAAGUUGGCAUUUUUAGUUAUAUUUUCUGUUUAAUCCUAAAUGUUUUGAAAACUCAUAAUUUUUUUGUUCUGGGAUUUAAAAGCAUCUUUUCCAGAUUGGUUACAAGGGUUAUGUUCUCUUCAAUUGGUUCACCUAAUUUUGAUUAGUUUUAAGUUUUGUCCUUUAAGUUUGUCUUUUAAGUUUUGUUCUUUAAGUUUUGUCUUUUAAGUUUUGUUCUCUAAGUUUUGUCUUUUAAGUUUUGUCUUCUGUGCUGUAAUGAGAGAUUUCCGUUGGCCUUUCGGAUUUUGGCAUGGGAAAGUUCACUUAUUUGCAAGGUUCUAAAAAACGCUAGGCGUUAGUUGGGCGGUGGGCUAGCGCCUAGCGGCUAGGCGGCUAGGCGGGAUCUAGGCGGGAUCUAGGCGGGCGCCUAGGCGGCCUAGGCGGAUUUAGGUAAAUUUCUUAUAUAUUUUAUGAAUUAAUUAAAUUUACUAUAUCAAAUGUAAAUAAUUAUUAACUAAUAUGUUAUUUCUUAUAGAAGAACAUACAUAGUGAAUGUUUUAUGUACAUAUAUAAUAUAUUUGUCUAGGAAAAAAAAAUAUUAUCUAAAUAAUUUUUAUAACAUAUAUAUAUAUAUAUAUAUAUAUAUAUAUAUAUCCCAAACUUUUAAAAAUAUAAAUAGCAUUGGGAGAGGGGCGUAGGGUUUCUAAAAGCACACUCAGAAAUAGAGCAUAUUUUAGUCUUUAUUUUAGAAUCCUAAGGAGCACCCUACUCGGAUGCACGACAUGUGUGCAAAUCUGGAGAUUCUUGCUGUAUCGGAUACACCAAUGCUUAGUCAAAAUUUCCUGCUAGGGUUUAUGGUGGACAUGUGUGUGUGGUCUUCAUUAUUAAACCCAUUAGCACCUCACCUUUUCACAUCACCCGUCCAUCACCUUGGGUGGUUUUGAUAAUUAAAACCAUCAACAUCCAUGGUUUUGAUAAUUAGAACUACCAACUUUUCCUUGGAUUUGAGAAUCUGAGAUCCCAUUCAUCGCCAUCAAAUAUUGAAAUGUUUCAUUGUUCAUCUCUUUCUCCCUCUUCUCACUCUCUAUUCCCUCAUCUUCACAGAGAUGAGUUACAGAAAUUCUCCGGUAAUCUCUCUCUCUCUCUCUUCGUAAUCGACGAGCUCCUCGACUUGAAGUCGCAGCCAAGUUAUGAAGAAUCGAGAUGCGAGAGCAAGUGGAGAGUGGAGACUCUGGAAAUUGGGAGUGACGAUCGACGACGAUGAGUCGAUGACCCAGGAAACCUCUUGAAGUUGCAGCAGGUGAGUGCACUGCAGUUGAGGAAGAAGAGACGAAGAGACUUAGUUUCUGAAAUUAGGGUAGCUGCAAGGCACGGGAACUUAAAAACAAAAAAACAAAAAGAAAACCGCCUAGCUCCGCCAGCCGCCUAGCCUGCCUAGGCGCCUCCUAGCCCGCCUAGGUGCCGCUUAGCCACCGCCUAGAGCCCAGCCGUUUUUUCCCACCGUUUUGCACAAAAACGCCUUGGCCACCCUCCGCCUAGCGCCUAGGCGGCCGCCUAGGCCGUUUUUUAGAACACUGCUUAUUUGUCUAAUUAGAUUGUGGAUGCCUUCGAUUCUUUAUUUAAUUGUUCUGUUUGCGUUCGGGUGUGAUGAUCUAAAUUUCAUAUGUUUGGAAUUAUUUACUUAACACCAAUUUGUUACAUUCAGAUCUCCACCCCACAUUUCACUAGUUCAAAUUCCAUAGAAGUUGGUUAUUGCAGAUUGCGUCUACAAUUAGAUCAGAGAUCAACUACUCUUUUGUUAUCCUGCAGAAGAUUGCUUUUGGGAAGGAUCUGAAGUAGUUUCUCUCUGUAUGUUUAUUCCCAUGUAGCUCUGUCUUUUCUAAUUGAUGGUGUUGAUAUUACACUGUAAUUCAUGAUGAUGAUUUAAUUGUUUAUUGAUUUGUAAUUGUUUGUGAAUAAUGUGGCAUAUAUGAAUUGCAAUCUGUGUUUGUAUGAAAGGGAUGGCAUAUUAUGUUGCUGACUUAAUUGUUUAUGUUUUUCAUAUUUGCGAAUGGUGUUAUGAUCAAUUAGGUGAUUGCUGACCUGUGACUUUGUUUGGAGCUCAAAUUUUGUGAGCAUUACAUUGGAUUGUUUUGAUGUUGUUUUGGUUGACAAUGCAGGGAUAGGAGAAACAAAGAGGAUGACACUUAUAACUGCCAUUCCCCAUCGGCCGUCUUCAAAUUUGGAUCACAAGAAGGGAGCAACAUAGGUGUUUUCCUUCUUUAUUUAGAUAUGGUUAGUGUAAAUAAUUGGACAAAAGAGCCAAACAAACCCUGUUCUCUCAAAUGGAGUUGAUGAUGUGGUCGACGGCCACCAGCCCCAACUCAAGAGUUUGGCCUUCAUAUAAUUGGAUUGUAGUAUAAUUUUAUUUUUGUUCAUUUCUUUUUUCCUUUAUAUAAGUGCAGGUGUUGUGAUGUUUUGAAUAAAGGGUGAUGAAAGGUGGUUCACACUUCCUCCUUACUUAAAGCAAGUGGAGAUGACGGUUUGUAUAAAAAGAAAAACUUGCCACGUACUUCAAUUUUCUAUUUUAUUAAUUAUUGUUUGGUUUUCCAAAUGUUGUAUUCACAAAGAGAGACCAAUUAUGUCUUUGAGAAACAAGUUUCUUUGUCUACAUUGCGAGAAUUUGCAGUUUGCAACUUUCAUUGGUUAUUAUAUUUGAUUGAGUUAAACUUGGAUUUCUGGAUUCUGACUUUUUCGUUUGUUUCUUUGUUGCAGAGUUGGCUUCAUUUCAUUCCAGGAACUCUCUAAAUAGGGCCAAGAACUCACUAAAUAGGUAGUCAAGAGGAAUUCAGUUUUGCCUUCAAUUUUUGCCUUCUGUUUACAUUCUUCCUGGAUGCACUCUCACCGCUUCUCUCGCUUACCACUUUUUUCUCACUCACCGCUUCAUCUCUUCUGUUGCUUACAAGGUCGUGUCAUAUAUUUUUUAAUUUUGUGGUUUAAUUUAUUGAAUAUUUGAAAAAAGAGAUAAAAUUAUAAGAUACUAUAUAAGAUACUAUAUAGUAUCUUAUAAAUAAAUGAAUCACAAAUGAUACUAUAGUUGUUAAAAAAUCCCAUUACUCAAAACUCCAAUUCCCUCCCAUUACUGAAAGCUCCAAUUCCAUCAAAACCGAGAUGGUAAAAGUACAAACUGGCUAGUUUCCACCAAAAAAAAAAGUACAAACUGGUUACAAAAAUAUGUUUUGUCCCAUCCAAUUGACGAAAAGAGAUAAAAUUUUCAAUUUACAAUUACUGAUAUGAUGUUUGUUUUGAAAAUCAUUAAGGUGAAUGGAGAGAUUUACAACCAUGAAGAGCUGAGGAGCCGUUUGCCAAAUCAGAUUUAUAAGGUCUCAUCAAUUAUGAAUAAACGACUUUUCAUUCCCAAUGACCUUUAUCGUUUUUCUUAAUGGGUUAGCUGAACAUGAGGUAGAUGCUGACUUUAUCAAAUAUGAGAAUGUUUUAGGAUUUCAUUCUAAUUUUUUGGCUGUUUGAUUACUUUGCUUUUCGUAAUUUGUUUUGCUUAUCGUCAAUUGGAUGGGACAAAACAUAUUUUUGUAACCAGUUUGUACUUUUUUUUUUGGUGGAAACUAGCCAGUUUGUACUUUUACCAUCUCGGUUUUGAUGGAAUUGGAGCUUUCAGUAAUGGGAGGGAAUUGGAGUUUUGAGUAAUGGGAUUUUUUAACAACUAUAGUAUCAUUUGUGAUUCAUUUAUUUAUAAGAUACUAUAUAAGAAACUGUUAUUAGCACUCUAAAAAACUCAUUCUACACUCGCGACAAGUGUAUUUUUCUUUUUAAUUAUGGAAAGUUUGAAGGGCAAAAUGAGAAUUUUGGAGUGCCAAUAACAAUUCCCUAUUAUAUAUAGCUCUACUGGGAAGGCUACUGUAUAUGUCUUCAUCCUGUUAAAUUGUAUAUGGCUCUUGAUGUCGGCUGAAUUAAAUCAAAAUGAAAACCAAGCUGAUCUUACCAGCCGAUAUCACUUAUCACUUGCUUAUUUAAAUUAUUUGAAGAUGCGUAUGUGGAUUGGUGAUUUUGUUGGAUUCACUUAGCUCAAAUAUAUGUUAUCUGAGUCGCUACAUUUGAGAAUGUGAUUCUGUUCCUACCACCAUUUUGCCCACUUUUUGUGGAAAUUAUUCAUUCCUGUUGUGAAUAAUACAUUCAUCCCCGGCAACGAAGUGCGGGCACAUUUUAUAGUUUAAAUUAAAUCACACAAUGGGUCAUCAAUAAUGACAAACUCGUCAUUUAUGCGAGUCAAACAUGAGGCCACCUACCUACUAGUUUAGUGGAAUACCACAAAGUGACAUGUUGAUACCUUUAAGUCUCAUAUAAUGGAUUGCAGAAUUAGGAUAUACCUAGACUAAUUUAGUCAGUGCGUGAACCCGAACAAUUAACAAGGGUUUUAUUCUUGCUUGAAUGUUUGUUAUAUGUUCCUAGUUUGACAAGGCAAUUAUAUUUCCGAUUACAAAAGUUAUUAAUUUAGUCGAGAAUUGACGCACCUGAAAUGGUGUGAGGAAAACAUGUAGACACAUCAACCGCAGUCCACUGUCCUGGGCAUCUAUCUUCCCCGAAACGAAGCUCAAAGCCAUACAUGAGGGCAUUGUGUAUGUCUUUAUAAGAGAAGUUGCUGUAGUCUUCAACGUAGCCGGCAGCCAAACUCAUCCACUCUACACUGCAACCCUCAUCCAAAUCCCAUGCUUCCAACCUGCCCCCGACAUAGUCAGCGACCAUGACAUAGCUAUACGUUUUUGGUUGACUCGAAGAAGAAGAAGAAGUAUUAUUCAAGCAUGGAGCAGUGUCCACGUACAGAGAAGAAUUCGAUGGAUUCGAACACUUCAAGUAAUAUAUAGAUAGAGAAUUGAUGUCAUAGGUGGGCCAAUAUGGAGAAUUGAUGUCCUCGGUGGUGGGCGGAAUAUUUUGAGACAUGGAAGAGCAAUUGUUGUUGUCAAGCCCAGGAUCUAGAACUCGGAUUGUAUUGUUAAUGUAGUUGAUUGCCUGGACAUAGUAUUUUCCGGAAGAAGGUACGUCUAGUACAGUAAUGUUGCUCUCACAGUACAGAGUAUACAUUAUGUUGCCACAGUACUUUGGAUCAUCGUUCAGUCGAAAAGGAUGGCUUAUGUAGUGGAUAUGGCCGCAGGAUGAAGUGCAGGACUUGGCACUACUGUUGUCAGCGUUACAAGUUUCACUGCAAAAGCAAAGAAGAAGAAAGGCUAAACUUAAGGUGAAGGACCUGCUUCCACUAAUUUCCAUUGAUCUGAGAGAGAGAGAGAGAGAGAGAGAGAGAGAGAGAGAGGGUACUAUAGCUUGAACACCAAGGAGUUAUAUAAUAUGGGAGGGGUUAAAGCGCUUCGCUUAAAGUUGCAGUAAGCCCGGCAAAUAUCCUAGGGAAAAGUCGGUCAAUGGUGUCCUAUAGAGAAAAGUCGGCCUUGGUGUUUGACACGGUCACUCACUCUCUCUCUCUCUCUCUCUCUCUCUCUCACAUUGACGAGGGACACUGUAAUUAACAAAAAAAUUGUUCUUCAGAGAUAGAUUUUGAAAUUCUUAUUUUAUAUAAAAAAACACCUAAUAUUAAUCAUUCAAAUGAAAUUCCUAAAAUUAAGUAUAAAUAAUACAUAAUAAAAACUGAACACAUACAAUCAACGGUCACGAUCAUGAAAUCCUUCGGAUCCUCAGAAAAAAAUCCGACGAUGAUCUUUUUCUGUGUAAAAUAAUUUGAGGGUAUAAUACUGGAUGUGCGAUUAAACCGAAGAACCCACCCACCUCCAUCUUCUCCGACCAACUUGAACCCAGCCACUACUACAUGUCAUCCCGACAACCCACUCUCAGCUUCCCAAACCGCCAUUUUUCACCCAUUCACCUACCACUGCCAUUAUUCAUUCAAUCAACCCAAAACACGAGAGCCACCCCCAUCUCACCAGUCGAACAGAUGCAGCCACCCACCCAUUUAAUCCCAGUCCAAAAUCAAACCCUCUCCUAAACCCACCCCAGAAUCCAAUAAUUUCAAAAAAUGGCUGAUUAUAUCAUUUCAAGAACCUCACAAUUCCAAAAACUAAAAACCCACUUCAAAGAUGUAAUAUUUUUCUCUCUUCCUCUUUUUGGGUUUUUUUUUCUUUUUUUUUAUCAAUUCUCUUCUGGGUUUUUGUUUACAGUGUAAAAUCAACACUAAUUUACUAAUUUUGCUUUGAUUUCAAACACUAUUGAGGCGUGAUAACCUGUUGCAAGCUCAGCCAUGGCGGCUACUGCGAAAUCUAACGGAAAAACCAUCACAGACUCUGCCAUUUCAUCCAAGGUUCCGACAAUAGCAAAACGAAUAGCUGUCGCAGAUUUCUUCCAACAUCAAUCACUACGCGAAAUUAAUUGUCAAUGAAGACGAUCCCAUUCCCCUUCGAAAUCUGCUGGGGAAAGAGACCUUCUUUCAGAUCUGCUCUGAGACCGGUUUAUGCGAGAGAGUGGUGAGCCUGACGACAGAGAGAAAUAAGGGCAGGAUUGGAAAAUUGGAAAGUUCAUUUAUUGGUUACUGUUUAUCCGUGUUUCUUCGAAAUAAGCUGCUUUUUCCAGCUUUGGGUUUCAGUGUUUUUUAACCCAUAAUUUUGAAAGAAAAAAAACUGAUUUUAAAUGUUUAUCAAACACUUAAAAUGUUCCAAUCUUUUUUCAUACCUACUUUUUAUUAAAAGUUAAGCUAAACAAAAAUCAAGAUUAAGUUUACUACUCUGAAGUUUCUUGCUUUUCAACAUUUCAUACAUUGAAUUUUUCUCAUCCAGUGUCAUAUCUAAGGUGGGAAUUGUGGGACACUUUUAUACAUCCGUUAGAUUUUAUGUGAAUUGCGUGGCACUUUUAUACAUCCGUUAAAUUUUUUGUGAGAACCUUCGCUGACCCACGAUGCGGCAUGCAUGUGGACAUUAAAAAAAUUCAAAAAAUUCAAAAAAUUUUAAAAUUUUAAAAUUUAAAAUUCAAAAAUACUAAAAACCUAAACUUUUCAUAAUAUUGAAAGACUGAAUCUUUUCACAGUCAGCCAAAUUUUCUUCAAAUUUUAAUUAGAUGAAAUAAUGAAUCUUGAACAAAGCAAAACAAAACGUAAUAUUGAGAGAUUCAGUCAUUGAAGUGGACGUGGAUGUUGGGUACUCAAUAGUCCAAGAAUGAAAACUCUCAUAUCAGUUUCUAUCCAAAAUUUUGGAAUUAUGUGUGUUGCAACGAUUGUCCAAAGGAUUAUUCUUCUUUUAUUAAAUUUCCAUGAAAAAUGAGCAUGGAGCACAAAAGUUGAACGAAUGAUUAUUCUUCUUUUAUUAAAUUUCCAUGGAAAAUGAGCAUGGGGCACAAAAGUUGAACGAAUGAAAUUUCAACGAUUUGAAAAGGGAUUGUGAGUUUGACAUGUCAUUUUUCUUCCUCUAAUGCAAUCAUGUUUAUUAAAAGACAAAAAUAAAUAUGACUUUACAUAAGGAGAGAGAAGGAGUAGUUUUCUUUGAAAAAAUCAACCAUUUAUUGAAGAGGAUGUGGAUGUUGAUUGAUGCGUCGUGAAUACGAAAAAAAGGACCUUGAAAGGAGUUGAGACAUUCAUUAAAAGCUAGAAGAAAAAAAAGUUAAAAGUGUUUUAGAAAAAAAGCAAGAAAGCCUCAUUUUCAAAGUUGUGGUCAUUGCACAAUACUUGAUUAGAAGAAAACUCAUAGUAUUGUAUUUACAAUUUCAAGUCUUUAUGGGGAACGAGAGAGCAAGUUUUCCAAUUGGAAUAUGAUAUGAAAUUUCUACAUAACUAUAUAUGACAAUGAAAGAAGUCUAAGUUUCUAAAUGGAAGGGCUUCCAAUUGAUGUGAGUUUGUUGAGAAAUUAGUGAACAACAGAACAAGUUGCUUCUCCUUUGGCCUUCUAACAUGAUAUCACAGAAAACAAGUUGUUACUAAUAAAUGUAUCUGAUUGGUGGACUUAGACGUGCGCGGUACGAUUUUUGAUAACUAGAGAAGAUGGGCAGUGUCAUGACAAAAUUUAUCCAAGUAGACCCAAAGGAAUGACUUAGGAACUUCAUAUGCAGUGGGAUAAAAUCUUAAGCUAAUUUCCUUACCUAUCUUAUAGGCAUUAAGUAAAAUGUAUAUGCAUAUUUCUAGACACACCAAUUUACUUAAUAUUAACUUCUUUCAAAUACCCAUUUGCAGAAACGCAAAGCUCUCUUGCAUGCUUGUUGUAAUGCUUAUGUAGUGCGUAUCCUAUAUCUUAUAUAUAUAUCUUACUUUUUGUGAUCCAUUUUUUCAUCACUAUGCCAAACGAAUAGCAAAACGAAUAGCUGUCGCAGAUUUCUUCCAACAUCAAUCACCACGCGAAAUUAAUUGUCAAUGAAGACGAUCCCAUUCCCCUUCGAAAUCUGCUGGGGGAAAGAGGCCUUCUUUCCGAUCUGCUCUGAGACCGGUUUAUGCGAGAGUGGUGAGCCUGACGACAAAGAGAAAGAAGGGCAGGAUUGGAAAAUUGGAAAGUUUAUUGGUUACUGUUUAUCCGUGUUUCUUCGAAAUAAGCUGCUUUUUCCAGCUUUGGGUUUUCAGUUUUUUUUACCCAUAAUUUUGAAAGAAAAAAAACUGAUUUGAAAUGUUUAUCAAACACUUAAAAUGUUCCAAUCUUUUUUCAUACCUACUUUUUAUUAAAAGUUAAGCUAAACAAAAACCAGGAUUAAGUUUACUACUCUGAAGUUUUUUGCUUUUCAACAUUUCAUACAUUGAAUUUUUCUCAUCCAGUGUCAUAUCUAAGGUGGGAAUUGUGAGACACUUUUAUACAUCUGUUAGAUUUUAUGUGAAUUGUGGGGCACUUUUAUACAUCCGUUAGAUUUUUUGUGAGAACCUUCGCUGACCCACGAUGCGGCAUGCAUGUGGACAUUGAAAAAAUUCAAAAAAAAUCGAAAAUUUUAAAAUUUUAAAAUUUAAAAUUCAAAAAUACUAAAAACCUAAACUUUUCAUAAUAUUGAGAGACUGAAUCUUUUCACAGUCGGCCAAAUUUUCUUCGAAUUUUAAUUAGAUGAAAAUAAUGAAUCUUGAACAAAGCAAAACAAAACGUAAUAUUGAGAGAUUCAGUCAUUGAAGUGGACGUGGAUGUUGGGUACUCAAUAGUCCAAGAAUGAAAACUCUCAUAUCAGUUUCUAUCCAAAAUUUUGGAAUUAUGUGUGUUGUAACGAUUGUCCAAAGGAUUAUUCUUCUUUUAUUAAAUUUCCAUGAAAAAUGAGCAUGGAACACAAAAGUUGAACGAAUGAUUAUUCUUCUUUUAUUAAAUUUCCAUGGAAAAUGAGCAUGGGGCACAAAAGUUGAACGAAUGAAAUUUCAACGAUUUGAAAAGGGAUUGUGAGUUUGACACGUCAUUUUUCUUCCUCUAAUGCAAUCAUGUUUAUUAAAAGACAAAAAUAAAUAUGACUUUACAUAAGGAGAGAGAAAUAGUAGUUUUCUUUGAAAAAAUCAACCAUUUAUUGAAGAGGAUGUGGAUGUUGAUUGAUGCGUCGUGAAUACGAAAAAAAAAGACCUUGAAAAGAGAUGAGACAUUCAUUAAAAGCUAGAAAAAAAAAAGUUAAAAGUGUUUUAGAAAAAAGCAAGAAAGCCUCAUUUUCAAAGUAGUGGUCAUUGCACAAUACUUGAUUAGAAGAAAACUCAUAGUAUUGUAUUUACAAUUUCAAGUCUUUAUGGGGAACGAGAGUGCAAGUUUUCCAAUUGGAAUAUGAUAUGAAAUUUCUACAUAACUAUAUAUGACAAUGAAAGAAGUCUAAGUUUCUAAGUGGUAGGGCUUCCAAUUGAUGUGAGUUUGUUGAGAAAUGAAGAUGAAGAUGAAUAUUGAUGUUGAUGUUAGUGAACAACAGAACAAGUUGCUUCUCCUUUGGCCUUCUAACAUGAUAUCACGGAAAACAAGUUGUUGCUAAUAAAUGUAUCUGAUUGGUGGACUUAGACGUGCACGGUACGAUUUUUGAUAACUAGAAAAGAUGGACAGUGUCAUGACAAAAUUUAUCCAAGUAGACCCAAAGGAAAGACUUAGGAACUUCAUAUGCAGUGGGAUAAAAUCUUAAGCUAAUUUCCUUACCUAUUUUAUAGUAUUAAGUAAAAUGUAUAUGUAUAUUUCUAGAUGCUGACACACCAAUGUACUUACUAUUAACUCCUUUCAAAUACCCAUUCGCAGAAACGCAAAUCUCUCUUGCAUGCUUGUUGUAAUGCUCAUGUAGUGCGUAUCUAAUAUCUUAUGUGUAUAAUUUUUUGUGAUCCAUUUUUUCAUCACUAUGCCAAAAUCCCUUUAGAAUUUGCAAUUUAUCCAUUUGGUUAUGGUAAAAAAAAAAACUCGGAAUUUCAUUUAAACUCGAAAAUCUAGAAUUGGGAAAGCAAUUUUCCCUUGUUCGGCAACUUGUAGCGAUAGCAAAGGCAAAUUGUACCGGAAAAAAGUGGAAAUUGGGGAUGAAGAUCCAAUUUUAAUUUCGUCAAAAUAAGUGUAAUUUCACAAUUCCAACAACGUUGAGAAUCACAAAUGCAUUGUGGGGAAAUCUUGCGACCACCAAACUUUACGAUUAGAGCGCCAAAUUUCAUGAUAAAACGUAAUAAGGGUUUAGGACUGCAUCGUUCGCUCUGUUAACUCUCCAAUCUUCGACGGGAUUUUCAACUCGUGCAUCAUUUUUUGCUUUGUUCUAGGUCAAAGCCUACUCUUUUCUUUCUUGAAUUAUUUUAGCUUUGCGGGUAUACUCUUUAGGCCAAUUGUGAAUUUUGCUAGUUAUUUUUAUUUUCUGAUGGUCAUAUGUUUGUUUUUUUUUUCUUCCAAUUGAGCUGUGUAUUGGUUGGAUCAGUAACUUUUUUUUUGGAUUUUUAUUUUUAUUUUUAUGGAUUUUGGUGUUAGUUCCUUGUUAUAGAUGUAUAGAUGUUGUGGAGCAAAAAAUAAUCUCAAAAAUCGUGGAGGUGACACACGGAUUUUUGGACAAGAAUGACAAAAUUAUCCUCGAAGCACAUCAUGAUUCCCACGUGCAUGCAACGGACAAUAACGGCUCAAUCAUGGAAGAGUCAAAGGUGAUCAAUAUGGUAUUUAUUCAAAUCCCUCUCAUCACUCCUCAUCAAUCCCUUUUUGAUUUUAUUCAAAAGGUAACUCCCAAAACUUCCUAUUUAAUUUAGGGAUCAUUGUCAUGUUAAUUGCAAGAUAUUAUUUCACAAAAUAUCUUGUAAUUAUUCUUCAAUUACCACCAUGUAUGGCCGGCCACUCCUCACCCUAUGGGCCGGUCACUCCUCACCCUAUGGGUCGGCCACUCCCUAUAAAUAGCCCUAUUAUUCCACUAAUAAGGAAGCCAUUUGCUACCCACAAACUCCUAAACACAUUCUUUCAGAAUUCUAACUUUGGCAUUGGAGAUUCUUAGGCCAAAUCCCCCCUCCCAUUCAUCGUGGGCGCAUAAGGCUUUUGGCCUUAGUCUUAGGUAUUAUUAUUUUGCAGGUGCAUUUUCGUCAAAGACGAAGAUGGUGGAAAUUUGGAUCCACAAAUUGGUGUUUUCAUUGAGAGUUUGAUUCACAAGCUCGAAGAAGACUCUCGCAUUCAAAGUUUCACAUUUCUCAUUCAUAAGUAAAUUUUUCAUACGUUCUUAUUCCUAGAAUUUUUUUAAAUCUUUGAAUAGACGUAGGAGAGAAAUACAAUGGCUAGAAAUUUAGAAACCACGACGAACGAAACUUCCUACGUUCAAAGAUCCAGAUCAAAUGAUGGAAAUUGCGAUGUAGCCCCACCACGACGAUCCACGAAGCUCAACGUAGUGGCAAAAUGAGUAACUUGGCCACCACGGAGUACCACCACCACCAUAGCCAAGGCAACCCAUGUUGCAGUGGGGAGUGGGACAACUCCAUGGCAGCAAGGCCACGAAGCAACAACAGAUGCCAUCUUGCAGUAAUGAGCCCAAGCCUGUGUCACAAGGUAGUCAACCCAGCGCUAGGUAACCUAGAUCUAGUAGGCCCACGACGUUGCCAUAGUAGCUGAGGCCUAAAGCAAGGCCCAAGCAGCUGCGACUGCGGCAAAUGGAGCAACACAACACUGGCGGGGCCAAUGCACCCUUGGCCUAAUGCCAAGCAGGCUAAAUCGCACCACACCCACUAUUCAAACUAACCCUAAGUUGAGUAAGUAGCAUUGAAGGUUGUCAACCGCAAGGCGUUGAAGUACGAAUAAAGUUACACACCCCGCACAUGACUUGGCCCACUUCCGCGGCCCAACUUGCUCGCAAGGUCCACCUAGUGAUCCCGACCAGUCGAAGGCCAGUUCAAUCAUCCCAUCUUCAGAUUUCUGGACUGACGAUUGAAUCGGGGGUAUUUUCACCCCGAUUUUCUACAGAUUUGACAUAUCUCAACACAAAUCUCGCACUUGGAGUCCAUUGCACUUCCAUUACUCAAGGAGACGCAUACCAUUUAAGAUCUUCCAUCCCAAAUGGCGAACAACACUUGUCUUGACAAGUCAUAGAGUUGACAUGCACUUUUGCGCAGUAGACGACCUUAGUGAAUCAGCUUUUGCAACGCACAAAGAUGCAGUAUGCCCCAGACGAUGUGUCCCGAAGCAGGACAAGUAUAGACGACGAUUCUCUCCAGCAGCGUCCCAACAAGCAGCCGCUCGACUAGCCACGAACCGAGCAUUCUGGCAGUGUACACUCCCGUCUAGGUCCUCAAGAAAGCAUAUACUCUCAUCUUAGCGCGCGGAUGAGCGUGCACUCCUGGUUAGGCCUACGGACGAGCAUACAUUCACGGUUGGGACCAUACUCUUAUAAUUAACAUGGACAACCUGCUAGACGAAGUGUUCAUUCGCGGCUAGGCUCGCAAAGAGCAUUUUCCACCUCAUAUUGGAGUAAGCAGCACAGAAGACGAAGAUAAGCAGUCAAUUAAUCUGGCUCAAAUUCAAUCGGCCACCUGUAAGUAACUAGCUCGCCUGCCAAGAACGUACCAUAUGCAAUGUAGCCACGACAUAGACUAGCUGAGCACAACGAUGAGCAACCUAGACUAACAGGUUACGACUGGGGGUAGCCAGAAGCUUCACUGCCCCAAUAUAGGUAAAUUUAGAAAGAAGUUGAGAGGCUUCUGACAGAACGAUUGUGCGAUUUCCAACGCAAUGAAGCUACUGACAAGGCGCUUAAACGAUACACGACCAACAUAAACGGGUCACCUUUUAUUGACAAGAUUGAGCAGACAGAACCAUCCUACAUACACUGGCGGAUACAAAUAUUACUUCUAUUUUAACAUACGCAUCAACUCAGCCUAAUGGCGUGUCGAGGGCAAAUGGGUUCCAGAAUGGCACACUAACCCAACCACCAAGAACCAGGGCCAAAUCUUAUUUUCAUCACUCCACACGAUUCAAUGCUUGAGCAUCACAUCACCAGUAAUAGAGCACCGCAGACCUAAUGGUCCAAUUCCUCCUGAUGCACACAAGCUCACCCCAGCUCCACGCUCAAAGCCGUGCCUACCUGCUCCACAACACUCAGCCACCCUUGAUUUGUCACCAUGGCUCACAGUUAUGCCAAUUUUGCACCACAGCUCCCAGCCGUGCUAAUCUUGCCAUGCGGCUUUUAACUACGUUAACCAAGCCCACGAUACUUCAUACUUCAAAACAUCCAAUGACGAAGUAGAACAUGAGGCUCUACUAGCAGCCCCUGCUAGUGAAAGGCUUUGCGGUGAAGAGGCUUCCAAUCCAUUCAAAUUCUCAGUUGACCACCUGUUGGGUUUUACGGCUCAAAAUUAGGAUGAUGCAAAAAAAAUUGUGUUACCUAUUUGGUUUUGGUGUCGUAUUUGGGUUUGGAUUUUGACCUCUUAGUUGGUUUCCUUGGUGGAGAGAUUUUGUUAAUUACCUAUUUGAUUAGGAUUUGGAUUUACUUCCUAUUAAGAUUCUUAUUGUAACCUAAGUCUUAUGCACUAUAAAUAGGACCUCAGGGUUAGUGUAUUUUGUGUGGCUCAUUCGUGUGGCAAUUUGGUGAGAGUCAAUUUGUGAGUUUGUGAGUUAGAGAGCAAUUUGGGAGAAUCUUCUCCGUUAGUUUUGGGUUCUCUACUCGUUUGGUUUAGGGUUUGUAAUUUGUGGGAUUUGGAUUGUGAGAGUUUAAACACUAUUUUGUAAUCUCCGUUUGUUUAGUGAAAUUUCUUGUCAUGCUUCGCUCGUGGACUUAGAUUUUACACCGAACCACAUAAAUCUCUUGUGUUAGUUUGAGAUUGUUUGUUUUAGUUUUCACCUACAACGUUGAUAUCGGUACUUUGCUAUAAUUUGCUUUCCUUUGCUCAUAAAAGUACGACAAGUGGUAUCAGAGCCCAGCUUUCGGCUUGGGCUUUUCUUGGCAAUCAAUAUGAAGCCUUCUGUGUCGUCGGUGAAAGUUGAUAUUGAAAAGUUCGAUGGCAAUGACUUUGGUAUUUGGCAAUUGAAGAUGCGUGCUUUGUUAAUUCAACAAGAGCUUUUAAAAACGCUAAAGGGUGUGAAGGCUUUCCUGAAUUCGUGGACUGAUGAAGAAAAACAAAGAAGUUAUGGAGCGGGCACUUGGAACAAUCCUGCUGACUUUAUCGAAUGAAGUCUUGCGUCAAGUUGGUAGCAUCAAAUCUGCACCGAAGUUGUGGCUAAAAUUGGAGAGUUUGUAUAUGACCAAAUCCCUUGCUAAAUGGUUGUAUUUGAAGAAAAGUUUGCGUACUCUUCGUAUGGAUGAAGGUACGUCAAUUCAUAAGACCAAAUCCUUAUUGCUGCCAAAAGUCCUCAACAGUUCCAAGGGAGAUGGGUAAGAGUUCGUAAUAGUGAGAGAUUGAAUCUUUUCACACUUGGCCAAAUUUUAAUUUUAAUUAGAUGAAACAAUGAAUCUUGAACAAAGCAAAACAAAAUUUAAUACUGAAAGAUUGAGUCAUUGAAGUGGACGUGGAUGUUGGGUACUUAACAGUCCAAGAAUGAAAACUCUCAUAUCAGUUUUUAUCCAAAAUUUUGGAAUUAUGUGAGUAUUGCAACGAUUGUCCGAAUGAUUAUUCUUCUUUUAUUAAAUUUCCAUGGAAAAUGAGCAUGGGGCACAAAAGUUGAACGAAUGAAAUUUCAAUGAUCUGCAAAGGGAUUGUGAGUUUGACAUGCCAUUUUUCUUCCUUUUAUGCAAUCAUGUUUAUUAAAAGACAAAAAUAAAUAUGACUUUACAUAAGCAGAGAGAAAGAGUAUUUUUCUUUGAAAAAAUCAACUAUUUAUUGAAGAGGAUGUGGAUGUUGAUUGAUGCGCCGUGUGAAUAGGAAAAAAAUGACCUUGAAGGGAGACAAGACAUUCAUUAGAAGCUAAAAAAAAGUUAUAGUGAUUUAGAAAAAAGAAAUUUUAACGAAAUAUUUCCGGUAUUGUUCACUCUUUACGAAAAACCACAUUUUUACAUUUCCUGGCUACUAUUCACUACACCUUUAUUUAUCAUUUUUCAUUAAAACUAAAUUUGUUUUUGAACUUUUCGUUAGUUUCCUUUAGAAAAAAGCAAGAAAGCCUCAUUUUCAAAGUGGUAGUCAUUGAAACAAUACUUGAUUAGAAGAAAAGUCAUAGUAUUGUAUUUACAAUCUCAAGUCUUGAGGGGUAACGAGAGUGCAAGUUUCUAAUUGGAAUAUAAUAUGAAAUUUCUACAUAACAAUAUAUGACAAAGAAAGAAGUCUAAGUUUCUAAGUGGAAGGGCUUCCAAUUGAUGUGAGUUUGUUGAGAAAUGAAGAUGAAGAUGAAUAUUGUUGUUGAUGUGAGUUAGUGAACAACAGAACAAGUUGCUUCUCCUUUGGCCUCUAACAUGAUAUUACCGGAAAACAAGUUGUUACUAGUAAAUGUAACUGACUGGUGAACUAAGACAUGCGGUACGAUUUUUGAUAACUAGAGAAGAUGAAUAGUGUCGUGACAAAAUUUAUCCAAGUAGACCCAAGGGAAAGACUUAGGAACUUCAUAUGCAGUGGGAUAAAAUCUUAAGCUAAUUUCCUUUUUAAUCUUAUAGUCAUUAUGUAAAAUGUAUAUGCAUAUUUCUAGAUACAUACACACCAAUGUACAUAAUAUUAACUCCUUUUAAGUAGUCAUUUGCAAAUCCCUCUUGAGUGCUCUUUGGAAUGCUCAUGCGGUGCCGUUCUAAUCUCUUAUAUAUAACUUUUUGUGAUCUGUUUUUUCAUCAAUAUGCCAAAAUCCCUUUAGAAUUUGCAACUUAUCUUUUUGGUUACGGUAAAAAAAAACUCGGAAUUUCAUUUAAACUCGAAAAUCUAGGGAUGUGAAAGCAAUUUUCUCUUGUUCGACAACAUUUAGCGAGAGCAAAGGCAAAUUGUACAGGAAAAAGUUAGAAAUUGGGGAUGAAGAUUCCCAAUUUUAAUUUCGUCUAAAUAAGUGUAAUUUCACAAUUCUAACUACGAUGAGAAUCACAAAUAUAUUGCAGGGAAAUCUUGCAACAGCCAAACUUUACGAUUAGGGUGCCAAAUUUCGUGAUAAAACCUAAUAAGGGUUUAGGGCUGCAUUGUUCACUCUGUUAACUCUCCAAAUCUUCGACGGAUUUUCGGCUCGUGCAUCAUCUUCUUGCUUUGUUCUAGGUCAACGCCUCUACUCUCUUCUUUCUUGAAUUAUUUUAGCUUUUUAGGUAGGCUCUUUAUGGCUGUUGUGAAUUUUGCUAGUUAUUUUUAUUUUCUGAUAGUCAUUUGUUUGUUGUGCGUUUUUCCUUCCAAUUGAAUUGUGUAUUGGUUGGAUCUGUAACAUUUAUUUUUUAUUUUAUUUUAUGGAUUUUGGUGUUAGUUCUUUGUCAUGGAUGUUGUCCCUUUGAAGGUUAACAAUAGCCAAGACUAAACAUGAUGAUAUUGUUAAUUACUUUCUCAUGAUACUAAUGCCAUAUUGUUCUCUCUUUUGCACUUACAAGUGAAGAGAAAUAUCCUAGACCCUAACUGGAUAUGUUAUUGUCAUGGUCAUGCAUUGGUAUGGUAACAAUAUGUUUGGAUAAGGAAAAUAAACUUAGAAUUUGACAAAAGAUAGAAUUUAUAAAUUGAUACAAUCAAUUCCUUUGUUUAGAUUCAUAAACAUAGAAAUUUAAACUUUCCGUGUGAGAAAAAACUUGGAAUUUGGGACCUUCAAUUCUCAUGUUUAAAUUUUAUGUAAAUAGGUGUCAUUUCUAAAUUUCAGCAAGUGAGAAUUUAAAAAUAACAAACAUGUAUUCAAAUUUCAUUCCUCUUUUAGGUUAACCAAACAAGAAAUUUUAUAAAUUCUAGAAAAUAAAAUUUCGUUAUUUCAAUUUCUGUUAUUUUAAAAUUAGUAAUCUUAAAUUUUCCCAUCCAAACAAAGAGUUUCCUUGUCAUAGAACUUUCAAUUGGGAUCAAGGAAGACAAUCUUUUCACAACUGAUUAUUCUCACCAAAUUUUAUUAUUAUUUUAAAGCAGAUCAAUACCAAACUUCAAAAGCAAAGUAGGAAGGCUAAAAUUAAGGUGAAGAACCUACUUCCACUAAUUACCAUGGGAGGGGGAGAGAGAGAGAGAGAGAGAGAGAGAGAGAGAGAGAGAGAGAACCAAGCGAGAGAGAAGAGAGAGAAAACACCAAGUAGUAUUAUAAUAUAGGUGGGGUUAAAUCACCUUUCGUGAAGUUGCGGUAAGAGCAGCUCCAGCGGGAGGUCCAGCUUGAUGGACCGGUGAGAUUUCCUACCCAAUAGCCCCAGCUCCUUGCUCCAGCCCAUGCGGGCGAUUGGGCUGAGGGGGUGCCCGAGUGAGAGGCCUGACUCGAAUCGGUAGCCUGAGAGCUUGAGGCCAAAUGAUGCAUGGACGUCAGCCACGUUAUAAGAAGGAAGCAUAAACUAUGAAUAAUGAUAGAGAUUUAGAUUUUGGUGUGUGAUUUCAUCGGAUGGAUGGUGGGUUAUAUGGAGGAAAAAAAAAAGAUUAGGUUGUAGAUAAUGCCACGUGGCAUGCCGUCAUUCGUUAAAAAUCUGAUCGAAAUCUAUCAUCAAAGAUUUUAAACAGAUUAUGACACGUGACGCAACGUGAUUGGUUAAAAAUCUUAUCAGAAAUCUAUCCUUAACGAUUCUGAAAAGGUAACGAGAUGGGGCACGACGGCAUUGGAUAAAAAUCUUAUCGAAAUCUAUCACCAAAAAUUAUCUUUUUGGAUAAUGACACGUGGUGCAACGAGAACGAUUAAAAAUCUUAUCCGAAAUUACAAAUAGAAUUAUUUUGUAUUAUUUUAUAAAAUAAAAAUACUAAUAUUUUAUUGCCUAUUGACAUGACUAUUCAAUUAUGGGUGUGGAGAUGCAGAAGAUAAUUAUUAUUAAUUAAAGGUAAUUAUUGUUCAUUGGAGGGGAUUGAAUAUGAAGUUGCAGUAGAAGGCCUUUGUCACAGCAAUAGGCAGUUACUGUUCUAAGGACUUCUAUCCUAGAACAGAGACAAAAACACCAAGUAGUAUUAUAAUAUAGGUGGGGUUAAAUCACCUUCCGUGAAGUUGCUGUAUGGACUUCUAUCCUAGAGAAAAGUCGGUCAAUGGUGUUUGACACAGUCAGUCAACGACAAAGACAGAAUUGUGUAACCAUAAUUCUCUCUCUAUCUCUUUUUCAUUAACGGAGGACAGUGUAUAAUUACUACGUAUAUAUCUCUGCUCAAUUAUUGAAAAGAAAAAUCCAUGUGCAUUAUUUUUAUUAUUAUUAUCUCAGAAAUGCAGAAAUUGAUUAUCUCUUCCUUCUGCAUAUUGAUACUGGUUUUCUUCAAACUAGUUGAAGCAAGCCAAUAUGUGUGCGCGAAAUCCAACUGUAGCAAUGAUCAAGGCCCGGCUAAUUUCCUUAGGAGGGAGAGAGAGAGAGGGGAGAGAGAACCAAGUGAGCGAGCAGAGAGAGAAAACACCAAGUAGUAUUCUAAUGUUGGUGGGGUUAAGUCACCUUCCAUGAAGUUGCAGUAAGGACUUCUAUCCCAGAGAAAAGUCAGUAAAUGAUGUUGACACAGUCCGUCAACGACAAAGACAGAAUUGUGUAACCAUAAUUCUCUCUCUAUCUCUUUUUCAUUAACGGAGGACAGUGUAUAAUUACUACGUAUAUAUCUCUGCUCAAUUAUUGAAAAGAAAAAUCCAUGUGCAUUAUUUUUAUUAUUAUUAUCUCAGAAAUGCAGAAAUUGAUCAUCUCUUCCUUCUGCAUAUUGAUACUGGUUUUCUUCAAACUAGUUGAAGCAAGCCAAUAUGUGUGCGCGAAAUCCAACUGUAGCAAUGAUCAAGGCCCGGCUAUCCAUUUCCCAUUGAACAUCAGGCGCACACAUCAUUGUGGAAAUUCUGGGCUUGAAUGCAAUGGGAGAUAUGAGCAGCAAAUACUAAUAAAAUUAUUUGUCAAAGACACAGAUUACAAGCGUCAGGAAAUCCAAGUCUAUUCCCCAAGUAACUGCCUGCUGCUAAAGCUUGUUGAAAUCCCAAACAUGCCACCCUCUCCCUUCGUGCCAGUAGUCGAUUACAUGAUUAAUUUCAUAAACGUUACCUUAUUCAGUUGUCCUACUUCUGUUGCAAUACGAGAUACGUAUGGUUGUCAAGUCCCCUGCCUUGGCGACCGUGGCAAGAGAACUUAUGCCAUUGAUUCUGGGGUUUAUUUUGAAACUCUCUUCCAGAAUCUAGAAUCCUGUACAAAAAUGUAUGAUGUUUUAUCAGUUCCAAUAGCCGAUGAAUAUUAUGUUUUUCGUUUCAAAUGGUCUAUACCAAAUUGCAGAAAAUGUGGAGAGGGAAAGAAGUGUGAAUGGCAGAACAAUGAAAUUAAAUGUCUUCCCUGGAGGAAACCAAGUAAGGAUAACAUAUGUAUUCAUUGCUAGUUUUAAACAUCUUUACAUUUAUGUCUUAGUAAUUAUUAUUUGAAGGAUGUUGUCCAAUCCAUUUUUACUAGGAAUAUUACCUGACAGUCUCGUUUAAAUUCGCAAUGAUCUUCUACAGGCAACACAUGGAAAAAAGUGGUUACAGGUGGAAUCCUGUGUGCUUUGCUUCUUGUUCUACUGACGAUUGCAGCAUAUCGGGUAUAUAGCGCUGAUAGAAAGGAGAAAGAGAGUCGAUUAAGAAUUGAAAGAUUCUUGGAGGACUACAAAGCACUCAAACCAAGCAGGUAUUCGUACGCAGAUAUUAAGAGGAUUACAAAUCAAUUCAAGGACAAGUUGGGCGAAGGAGCCUAUGGAACUGUCUUCAAAGGAAUGCUCUCUUCUGAAUUCUUCAUUGCUGUCAAAGUCCUCAACAGUUCCAAGGGAGAUGGGGAAGAGUUCGUAAAUGAAGUGCGAACGAUGGGUCAUAUCCACCACGUAAACGUGGCUCGCUUGGUUGGAUUUUGUGCUGAUGGAUUUGUACGAGCUCUUGUUUACGAGUUCUUCCCCAAUGGUUCCCUGCAGGAUUUCAUUUCAUCUGCAGAUAGUAAGAAUUCAUUUCUUGGUUGGGAUAAGCUACAAGAUAUUGCCCUAGGCAUAGCCAAAGGAAUUGAAUAUCUUCACCAGGGAUGCGAUCUACGAAUCCUGCAUUUCGACAUCAAACCCCAUAAUGUUUUGCUAGACCAAAACUUCACUCCAAAAAUUUCUGAUUUUGGUUUGGCCAAGUUAUGUUCCAAGGAUCAAAGCUUGGUGUCCAUGACUACAGCAAGGGGGACCAUGGGCUACAUUGCACCUGAAGUGUUCUCCAGGAAUUUCGGAAAUGUGUCGUACAAGGCAGAUGUUUAUAGCUUUGGAAUGCUACUGCUUGAGAUGGUAGGAGGAAGGAAGAAUAUUGGUUCAAUUACGGAUAACACUACAAAUGAAAUUUACUAUCCACAGUGGAUUUAUAAUCUUCUAGAGGAAGGGGAUGACCUACGAAUCCACAUUGGGGAAGAAGGAGAUGGUAAAAUUCCAAAGAAACUUGCAAUUAUAGGGCUAUGGUGUAUCCAGUGGCACCCGUCGGAUCGUCCUUCCAUGAAAAUAGUGGUUCAGAUGUUAGAAGGAGGAGGAGAAAGCUUGAGUAUGCCGCCUAAUCCCUUUGUGCCUACUGGUUCUACAACUAGGAAUGCAAGACACCUAGAGCUAGAAGCUAUUGCUGAAUUAGAGUAAAAUGUAUAUGCAGAUAUGUAGACGUAUAGAUAUAGUAAUAUUUAUAUUGAAUAAGAGGCCGUUUGAUAACCAUUUCGUUUUCAGCUUUUAAUUUUUAUUUUUCACUUUUUUGAAAACUAAAAACUAAAAUCUUGUUUGGUAAAUACUUUUAGUUAAAAAAAAAUGAAGACUGAGAACUAAAAUGUGAAAGCUCAAAGGAAGUAGAUUAAAAGUAGUUACCAAACAAACCGGAAUCUCAAUAAAUAAAAAAGAUUGAAUUGCACAAUGCAAUCCAAACCAAUCAAAACAUUUAAAAUAGCAAAAAAAAAUUAAAAUUCUAGUUGAUUAGAUUCUAAACAUAGUAAAAAUGAACAGAUCCGAUGAAAAAAACAAAAAAUUCUCAGAUAAAAAUAGGGAUAAAGUAAAAUAUUUAUAAAUAGCUCUUUGUCUCUUAUGCCAUCAAUUAUUUCUAUAGUAUAUACACGUUUUUGGAAAAAUUAGGUUCCCAUCCCUUAUUUUCAUAUUACAUUGAUUGAAAUCUUAUUAUUUUUCUAUUUUAGAUCAAGGUCCCUUGACUUAUUCUAUGUCAUCAUUUUAGUAUUUAAAAUAUUACACGUUAUCAUAAACGAAAUCUCAUCCCUUUCUGCAUUUAAGGCAAAAUAAACUAUAUGAGUAAGUUUAAAACAAGGAAAAUCCAUUUGAACUCCUCCAUUCUUCUUCUUCUCUUAUAAACAUCUGGAAUCUACAACACCCCAAACCCAAUUUUCUCCAUUUUUUCUCCUUUCCUGAAUUGAUCCAAUGCAUAUAUGUUGAAUAAACCUAUUGUGAUUAAAAUACAAAUUAGCAUCAAUGGUUUUAUUGGCUUGUGAGAUUUGUGUGGCAUAGGCAAGGCAAUGCAGGCAUCGUUUUCUCAAGGAAUCUGGUUGAUUCAAACAUGCAGAGACUGUAGAGUGAGUGGGCUAUGUGAAAACUGUACCAUUCUGAAGUCAUUUUCUUUUGUUCUUUAUAUUUUUUUUUCUUUUUCUUUUAUUAUUAUAUAUUAGUCUUGGUUAUUCAAUGCCUGGUUGGCUACACUUAUAUCCAUGGGUACAUUUUUAAUCUACAUGUUUCGUUCUAAUAUAUCUAUUGCUAUAAUAUGUUUUGGUUGGUUCAAAUUUGUUUUACAUAAAUAUAUGGGUACAAAGUUUUUGGAGAAUAUUAUGUAAAUGGUUUUUAAGGUUGCUGCAUUUUACGUACCCACAUAUGCAUGUCUAUAAAACAAUGUGGUAUGAUGUACAUUCUUUUCUUUGAGUUUUUAAAUGUACCCAUGAGUUUUUUUGUAAAUUCGGUAUGUACCCAUAUGCUAUUUAUGUUAUGGGUACAUACAUUAUUUUUGGUCUAAGUUCAGGGUACAUUGCUUUUGUAUGUAUGAAUUCAAGGGGUACAUUAUUUCCCUUAAUACUACUCAAUAAAAUUCACAAAAUAUGUGUAGUGUGCAUGAUUUUUUAUUGUAGAAAUUGUUUUUUUUUAAGUCUCAUAAUUCAUGAAAUUUGUACAUAUAUGAUCCCAUAAAUUUUUUAAUUUUAUUAAAUUUCUUUUAGACUUGAUCGAUUGAUUGAAUCUCAUCAUACUAGGAUUUUGAAUUACAUAAAUUCUUGGAUUUAAAUCCCUUAAAUGUUGGACUGCAAUCAAUAUUUUAAAUUAUAGUUUUUUAUUUAAGAUAUCAAAAAGAUGACAUGGAAAUAUAGUAAUACUAAAAUGCUGAGGUGUACAAAGUCAAAGGACUUUGAUCAAAAAAUAAAAAACAAUAAGAUUUCAAUCUAACAAUUAAAUUGACUAGGGACCGGAACCAAAAUGACCCUAGAUUUUUAUUGAGUUUAAUCUUAAUCAAAAAAAGACUUCUUGUAUCACAGAAAAUACAAGAACCAUUAUUUGAAUGAAAUAAAAGCUAUGGGAUGGAGAUAUAAAUGGAUCAUUUUAUUCACAAUCGGAUUAUAUUUAUUUGAUACACUAUUGUCAAUAUGAAUGUUGAGAAAAAGACUACAAAAGAAAAAACAAUUUAUAAAUAUAACUAACAAUUCCAAUUUCAAUCAAUUAGACAAUUAGA
RNAcentral lists this long non-coding RNA (95333 nucleotides) under Malus domestica (apple). The record is from RNAcentral. Lineage: Eukaryota; Viridiplantae; Streptophyta; Magnoliopsida; Rosales; Rosaceae.